UACUGCUUGACUGAUGGAACAUGAUGCACGAGAUAGCAUAAGUAGUAGUAGGAAGCAGCUCUUAUUUGUGGCGUCGGUAUACAUCAUACUAGGUAGAUGGUUCAAUUGGCAUGGAUGGGUGGUGGAGCCUUGAAGUGCUUGUGAUGGGGAGCCCACGGCUUCUUCUCAGGAGUUGGUGGCUUCUUGUAUGGAGUUGAUGGAGGUGUUUCUACUGGAGGGUGGCCAGGGUAGUGACCCUGGGGUGGUGAAGGUUCUUUUGUCGGUGGUGGCCUCACUAUUAUUGGCGGUAGAGUUGGUGGCUUGGGCGUUGGCGGUGGUCUCACUACUCUUGGGGGUAGAGUUGGUGUCUUGUGUUUUGGUGGUGGAGGUGGCUUAACAGGAGUUGGUGGCUUGUAUUCUGGGGGUGGUUUCUCCACCGGAGGUGGCUUAUAAACUGGAGUUGGUGGCUUGUAUUCUGGGGGUGGCUUCUCCACUGGUGGUGGCCUGUAAACAGGGGUUGGUGGCUUAUAUUCUGGGGGAGGCUUCUCCACUGGAGGCGACUUAUAAACAGGGGUUGGUGGCUUGUAUUCCGGGGGUGGCUUCUCUACGGGAGGUGGCCUGUAAACAGGGGUUGGUGGCUUCUCCACCGGAGGUGGCUUAUAAACGGGGGUUGGUGGCUUGUAUUCUGGGGGUGGUUUCCCCAGUGGUGGAGACUUGUAAACAGGAAGAGGUGGUUUGUGCUCAUAUGGGGGUGGCUUGUGGUCAUUAGCAAGUGAGGGAGUGGUGAGGACCACCAAUCCAAGGAACAACACGAGUGAGCAAGCAGAAGACAUGUUUGGGCUCUGGUGAUGCACAAGUAGAAGAAAUGGGAACCAUUUAUAAUGCUUCGAGACCUUGGUUAGCACCAAAAUAUGUCAAAAUCUUGAUUACUUCAUUUCAUACAUAGAUUUAAAAUUAUUUCAAUCAACCAUGAUCCUUAAUUUUCUGGGUGGUCCAUAAAUGUAAUGGGGUCAAUUUGGGACCUAACAAGCUGAGAAGUUUGACAAUGCUGCAAGGCUUCAUCCGAAAGUCCGGGGAAGAAUAUUAGGAGUUACACUCCGUUUCCUUUUUUGGGUGCAUUUUUCUCCUUUAACAUUCUAUUCCCUUUUACAUUAGCAUUUGAUCUUAGCUCAUUUCAAGUACAAGUUUCUUGAACCCUAUACCAUUGUCAAAGUUGAGUAACCAUCUCUACUUUGCUCAAGAAACAUAAAAGACAAUGACAAUAAAGAAAAAGGAGAGAGACCAUACGUGACUUGGUUUAUAGGUGGCUUUGUGUUGACAUUUGAGUAUGGAAGCCGACAUGCAUCUUAGCUUCGAUUUUAAUUAAAUUUGUACAUUAGUGUCUGUGUCAUUCAUUUUGGUAUAAAAGGUCUCUUGAUUUCGUAAGUUUGGUAAGAACCGUUGAAAAUAGCAGUAGCAGCACAUGGUCCACUUUCUUUCACAAAAUAAUUUUAAAAGUUUAGAAGCAUAGGAGGUAACAUUAGUGGCCUUGUGGCUCAGCCACGAGUACUAUGUGGUGCUCGAGAAAUUGAGUUUAAUUUCCUUCCGAUAGUUCAUGAUAAGGUCCGUCACUGUCCUGAGACAGAUUGCGUUUUUUCUUUUUUCCUUUUUUAGUGUUUUAUUGACUAGCUAGGUGUGACUUUUCCUACUUUAAGGCACGAGGCAGAAAAGAAACUGGGAUUUAGUGCUUAAGAAGGCAAAUUUAAUUCGAUUUGGAUCUAAAAUUUGCCAGCAACAUGAGAUUUUCCAGCCUAUCGUUGCUCCACAUAUAGACAAGGCACUUGUAGAAGUGGCUUGUUUGUAGCCAUUCCCGAUAUUUGGACUCACUUGAUUCACCGGACACUUUGAUAAAAUUUAAUAUUUAUUAUUUAAUAAUUUAAAUUGAUUUAAAAUUAAAUUAUACCGAAGUUGUGAUUUAAAAAUUAUUAUUUAAUUCUUACUUUUAAAUAUGAAGAUUAUUUGAUAAAAAUAAUUUAAAAUUUAUUAUAAAUUAUCAAAUUAACAUAUUUAUCCUUAUAAAUUAUAAUUAAAACAGAAAAGGUCAAAUGAUUUGAGUAUCCAUAGAUGUGGUAAAAUAAUAAAAAAGAUUAUAAAAACAAUUAUGAUAAAUAAAGAUAAAAAGUAAAAUGAAUAUGUGAAUUUAAAGAAUAAAUUAAUUAUUUUUAUUUAUUACUUAAAAUUAUUUUUGACUUUAAAUUAUAUUAUUAAAUUAUUUUACCAAACAUACUUAAUUUAGUUAAUAAUUUAAAUUUAAUUUAAGUUAUUAAAUUGAUUCACCAAAUACCCACUUAAUCAAAGACUGAAGUAUACAUUAUUUGGCCAAAUGCAGCUAUUGAAAUUUAACUUUUUCCAAACUUAUUCAUUUUGUGGAAAUAUUUUUAGAAAUGAUUUUAAAAAUGCACUAUUCUGUGUGUUGAUUUUAUAUUUUGGCAUUAAUCCAACAUAGAAAACGGUUCUUAUUUUCGCUGUUAAAUAGGUACCAGAUCCUUAAUUAGUGCCGUGAAUCCGGCAGCUUCCAAUGAGUAAUUUGGACUUGGGUAUUGACAAUGUGUGGCCAUGCUUCUACUAUUUUAUUAUUCUUGAAACAUAUAUGAUAUAUUGGACUUUAUACAGGGAAAAAAAAAAAAAAAAGUCUUCACCAAAAAUGAUUCCUCCUAAAAAAUAGACUCCACAAACUAGGUUUAACAGGAAAAUGAUUCUAAUCUAGUAGUUUCCAGCCACAUGAGCAUUUACGUAACAAUAGUAUAGUUGAUAACGACUUUUAUUUUAUUUAUUUUUAAAUAGUUAAAGGGAUAAUUUUUGAGCUUAAAUUUUAUUUUUUUAUUUAGAAACAUUUUACUUUAUUUUUUAAUCAUAAUUCUAUUAUAUUAAUGUUUUAUUUUCUAUUUUUUAAUAUAUAAGGAGAUACUAAAUUUAUGUGAUUAUUUUUUAAAAAUUUAGUAUAUGAAAUUAAAUAAUUGGAUAUAUAUACAUAUAUCAUAUAAUGUUUUUUAAGUGUGAUUUUUGAACUUUUUAGUCAUUUUAUAAGUUUAAGCUUUUGAUUUUUUUUUUUAAACUUUGGUAUUUUUUAUUUUAUAUAAAACUAUUUUGAUUUAAUUUUAUUAAAAAAUAUUGGUAUUAUAAAUUAUUGUAUUAAUUAUUUUUUUAUAUUAUAAUGUAACUGGUAUAUACUAAAAAAUGUAUGCAAGUUCAAUUUAAGUUUCAAAUUAAAAAAUUUCAUUUAAAUAUUUAAUAACUUGUUCAUAAUAAAAAAUUAAACAACAUAAUACAAAUGAAAAGAAACAUAAAAGAAAAAGGAAAAAAUGGUCCUCUCUGUGUGUCACAUUACUAGGUCAUCCUCUUUUUCUAUGACCCUUACAAUAGAAUGGCAUAUUUGUCAAAUCUACUUAUGAAAGUUGGAAUGUUUCUACAUGUGUAGGGUCCAUUGGAACUAAUGGAGGAAAGGCUUAACGUCUAUGUAAAUCACAACGUUGCCUAGGUGGGCAUAGAUCUAGUUGUGUAACAUGAGAUGGUGUGAGAGUACAAUAUAUGCAUUGUAGUCUCUAUGGGAAGAGAGAUAGGUAAUGGUAGGGUGGUAGACGGUAGGGUGAUCUCUAAUAUAAUGACAUUUGAUGUGGUGGCUUCUAAGAGAGGAGAUAUAAGAGAUGGUAGAAUGACAUUUGGUGUAAUGGUCUCUAGUGCAAUGACAUGUGAUAUGGUGACCUAUAAAGAAGAGAUAUAGGUGAUGGUGAAGUGGUAUGUGGUGUAGUGACCUUUGAGAUAGAAAAUAGAGGUAAUGGUAGGUUGGCAGGUGGAGUGGUCUUUGGUGUAGUGACAUCAAUUAUAAAUGUCUCCAAGGGAGGAAAUAAAGGUGAUGGUAGGUAGUAAAUGUUGAGGUGGUCUUUGAUAUGUUAUGCUCUAAGAGAGAAGGUAUAGGUAAUGAUAAUAGGGAAUUUGACAUAGUGGUGUUGGAAAUAAAAAGUGAAAGUGACCGUAGAGGUGAAAGGGCAAGUGUAAAAGCCUCAAGUACGAAUGGAGUAAUUAAUGUGGAUGGUGCUAACAUAGUCUUAGGUGGAUACACAAAUAGUCAUAGUCAUCAACUAGCUUGCCCACCAUCUGUCUUUCUGCUAGUGAUAGGUUACAUCUUAAUAGUAAUGGCCAACAUAAGUGGUGUGGAUCCGAUUUUUUUACGUGUGUCCCCACUCAAUCGACAAGACUUAUUUUUUAUUAGUGAAAAAUUAAUUUUGGAAAAGUUGGAGUCACCACUUAUUUUAUUUUAUUUUAAAAAGGAAAGUAAAACAAGAAAGAGAACUCUAAAGAAGUGACUUCAUAGUUUUGGAAAAGUUAGUCUUAAAAAAUCCAAGUCUUGGUCCGGAGAUCAGGUUACUUAUUGGGAAGAUACCUCUAAGAGGUAAUACCCCUCUAAACCCUAAAGAAGUCUCUAAUGACUAAGUUGAGGAGAAUGUGGUAAUUAAUUAAUUGAUUGAGGGUACCUAGGUAGACUAAGGUGAUUUCAGAAUUAACAUACCAAGCUAGAAAGUCCAAUCAUGAUCAUAAAAGAGAGUCAAAGUAUGUACCUGAACUGCUUCUCAAACGCUAUCAUAAAACAUCAAAGUUAGUAUAGAAAUAUAACACAUAAUAUUUGUUUUAUCCAAGCAAAUAAAGCAUACAUCUAAGCACCCAAGAAUCACAUCAAGUAUGGAUAUAGUCAUCAAUAGCAUACGUGUCCAUAGAACUAUCGAAAGUAAAUGUGGAGGAGCGUAUCUGGACAACAUAGAUAACUUAUAAUGUGCUUCCACAAGACAUGGGGGUUAGAUAAAAGUUAUAAUAAUAAUUAGUAAAUGAAAGAAUUCUAGCAUGUUUGGUAUCUAAAUAACAUAGCAAAAAUGAACAAGAGUACACGAAAACAUCAAUUAUCACACGAGUCAUAUUGGCUAGUAUUUAAUCAAUAAACCAACAAUAAAUGACUAUAAACAUAUAAAAUGACAUAUUCAAAGAGACCCAAACAUAAAGAGCCUAGAACACAAGCUUACACUAAAUUUAGAAAACUAAAACAUGGAAUUUUAAAAGCAUAAAUUAGCAAACAAAUUGAUGGAAACUAAAUUUAGAUAACUUAAGAAUAUUUUUCUUAUCCUUCAAUUUAAAUCAGUAAGCCAACAAUAAAAAAUUAUAGAAACAUGGAAUAUCAAGAUCAAUGGGAUACCUAAACUAUAAUUUUUAAAAGAAAAUAAACUAAGCAUAAUAUCUACAAAGCAACUAAACUAACAUUUUUUUAAAAAUAAAUUAAACAUGACAUUAAUGGAGUAACCAAACUAAAUUAAAGUAAACUAAAAACAUUUAUGAAUUUUCAAACAUGGAAUCAGCUUUCUUAGUAAAUUAAAAUUAUUAAAAUAAAAUCUAAGCUUAAAAAUGAAUUAAAUACUAACUAAAGCAAAUCUAAAACCAAAUAUUUAACACAUAGGAUCAAUUAUAUUAACAAACUAAAAUUUUAUAAGAACACUUAAACCUAAAGUUGAAUUAAAAACUAACCAAUUUUUAAAACUAGAUCUUUAACCCAUAGGAUCAAUUAUAUUAACAAAUAAAUAAUAAAUAAUAAAUAAAUAAAACUCAAACCUAAAGAUGAACUAGAAAUGUACCAAAGUAAAUUCAAAACAAGAUCUUUAACACAUUAGAUCAAUUAUAUUGACUAACUAAAAAAAAAAAAAAAAAACACUCAAACCUGAAACGAUGUAUUAGAAACUAACCAAAGCAAAUUUAAAAUAGAGUCUUUAACACAUAGGAUCAAUUAUAAUCACUAACUUAAAUUACAAUUUUUGAAACAUGAACUAAUUAGUGUUGGAUUAAUUAAACUAAUUAACUAAAAAAAACUAUAAACUAGAAUACGGUGAAUCAAGAAUUCAAAUCAACAAACAUAAAAUAUGGGUACAAUGAAAUGAAAAUCUAUUAAACUAAUAAGACGGAAAUAUGACAAACUCAUGAACCCACAUUUUGAUCAACUAGGAAAUAGAAAUUAAUAGACCUGUAGCAUGGAUACAAUGAAAUGAGAUCAGUUAAAUUUAUUUGCCGAAAUUCUAAAAAACACAUACACUCAAAUAAGAUCUAAAUCUAAGACCAAGCAAAACUCAAACUUUCUCAAUCUAAUGCAAUGAAUCAAAACUAAAAUUAAAUAGAAAUCAAACCAUUUUUUUUUUAUCUAAUAUAAUAAAUCAAAGCUAAAACUAAACAAAAUCGAAUUUUCUUAAUUUAAUAUGAUGAGUCAAAGCUAAAAUUGAACAAAGUUCAAACCUUUAUAUAAUGGAUCAAAGUUAAAUCUAAAUGAAAUCCAUACUUCCACAAUUUGAUAUAACAAAUCAAAAAUAAAACUAGAUAAAAAAAAAGUCAAAGCCUUUCAACUUGACAUAGUGAAUCCAAACUGAAACGAAACAAAAUUUUAACUUUUCCAAUGAAACCCAAUAUAGAAAAAAUUAGCUUACCUUCUUUAGAAUAUAUGUAUGGGCCAUAAAGAAGUCACCUUGGUGCAUGUGUUCCUCACUUUGACGCCAAUGGACGACUUUCUAUGGUAGCAAAUGGAGAUCCUUUUUGGUGGUAACUUGCGUGUGGAAACCUAUGGUACAACCAAUGUCAUCUUUUAUUGUGCGUGUGGACCAAUUUCUUCUCGAGAACUCAUGUGUGUUGUGCUCAAAAUAUGUUGCCUGUGAGAAUCUAUUGGUAUACCCCACAUAUGGUUUCCUUGAGAGAAUCUGUGGUUGUGUGUGGGCGUUUUCUUCAUGACAGCAUGUGGAUGUUCCCAUCUAUGGUAGAUUGGUUGUGAUGCUUUAGUGCAUGGUCUCCAUAGGAAUAGUGUGUUAUGGAAAUUUGGUUUUUUUAUUGGUGCAUGUUGUCUAGACUUUCCCAUAUGCGUGGACUGUGUGUUCAUGCUUUUCUUUUCGGAUGGUCGCCUGUGUUAAUGUGUGGCGGUGUCUACAAUGAAAGAUACAACCCUUUCUCUCCUUCUGCGUGAUAGAAAAGUCAAUCCCCCAUGGUGCGACUAUGUUCCCUCGUCCUUUUUGAAAAAUUUUGGUGUUUUCCCCCCAAAAAAUCCCCUCCAAAAAUCUAAUUAUAAAUGUCUGCUUUGGCCUAAUGUGUGUGCUACUUUUUUUUUCCUUCUUUUUAUGGUUGUGCGUGCUUUUCUUGAUACGUGGCUUAUUUCUUAAGGAUAUGAUUCGCUCCCAAUUGGUGUCUCAGCUGAUUCAUGUCCUUUCAAUGGUCCCUGACAGUGGUGCCAUUUGAUUCGUGUCCAGCUGGUGUCCCUUGAUUGUGGUCCUCAGAAGGGAGUAAUCAAUAAAAUUUAUAACCUAUUACACCAUGUAUUAGGAUAGCCUUAGCUAGCAUAGCAUAGUGGCUCUAGGGUCGUUUAUUGGGAUGAGUUUUCACUUCACAAUUGAUAUUAAUUCAAGAGCUGAAUUGGUGCCUUUUCAUUUCAAGGUUAGCUUUAAAAGAAAACAUAAUCUUUGGUGGAAAAAGGUUUGGUUUUAAACUAACCAAAAAUAGUAACUGAUUUUACUUACAAAGAAAAGUGUUCUUUGGAGUUUAGAUCACUAGGCUCAGGUUCCUCAUACAAAAAGGAGAGUUCCGAUCAUUUGUUUCUUUUCCUCGCAUUAGAGAAUUAACAUAUAGUUAAUUCUCUAACCGGUGCGGUACAUAUGCUUCCCAUUAAUGGGUUCAAACACUAAAUACCUCUCACUGAUGCACCUUGCAAUGGCUCGUGCCUCUCACCUAGCAUUUAUCAUUCAAGGUGAUCUUUAACCUUGGAUUACCCAUCAAAAGCUCGCAAGAGAUAACUAAAGGAUGUCUCCUUAGAGUCCAAAAGCUUACCAAGUGUUGGUUAUUCUAGAAAAUCCUACCUUCAAACCACCUCCCAAAGGCUCGCAAGAGAUAAACAAGUGCAUCUCAAUGGAUGAAGAUCACUUGCCUUACCAAGUUUUGGCCCAGAUGAUUUAAUGACAUUUUAAGUUAACUAAAAAGAUAAAAACCAUUAACGGGUCACACUUUCUCUUCAUUAAAAACUAAAACAACAAAACUUCCAAUUUAUGCAUGAGGAAACUUACCUGGCUUUCUUCACUUCAAGAGAUGAAGAGCCUAGCCACUCAUCAUUUGAGGAAAAAUCCUCAGAGUUUGAUUUGCUAGAAAUAAAAAUAAUGAGAAAACAAAAAUAUAUAUAUGAAAAACAGAGCAAGUUCUCUGUAAUAUAUUUUUCUUCCUUAUACAAAAGGUUGUCUCUAAGAACAAGUUCCCGAGAUCUAUCUGAUUGUAAAUAAAAUUACAACUAUAUAUAAGAGGUUAUUCACCCCUUUGUUCUUUCUUAAAGACUAAGGAAUCCUAUGAUAGGUGGGUUACAAGGAGAGUUUGGGGAUUUAGACAUCAAAUAUCUAAAGCAAAAUAUCUCAAGAUGUUAGUCGGAAAUAUCAGGAAGCUUCAGGAGAACACCGCGACACUGUAUACUGAGAGAAAAACUCUCCGGGUAAGCUCUAUCAAAGGAUCCAGACAUGUCUGACUGGGAAAGUUGAAACGUCCUUCUCUCCCAUCCGGAUGUGAGAUAUCCGGAGAAAGUGAAAUGUCGGUCGGACAGAAUUCUUUCCCCGGGUGGAAUGAGUUGUGUUGCGCGUCGCAAGGGGGACCGUCUGCGUGUACAAGUUGUAGGGACCCCUCUCCCGGAUGACACCGAGCGCGUAAGGCUAUCCGGAUCAACUCCAUUCGGAUUCCCCAAGAGGACAUGUGGCGUGCUCCCCUAUCAGGACUCCCUUAGGGAGAAGCACACGACACUCGUGAACAUCAUACCCGGACGAUAGCAUGUCCUAUCCGGAUGUGUUGUCCGGAUCAUUGACUAAAGUGAGCAAGCCUUGCUACGUCAUUCGGACAGCUUGCCACAUACCAUGUUCCGUCGCCAUCUGAUGGUGUGUCCGAACGCCUUGUCCGGACAUCUUUUGCUCCUUGCAUUCCGGAUUUGCUUAUGACAAAGGACUUCAAAGCUUCGGUUCUUCAUGUUUCUGAGCUUUCCAUUGCUUUGCCAUGGAUUCCAAAGAACUCUCCUUAAUCACGGAUUGCUUUGGUGAUCAAAAAGUUAUCAAAACACAAAAACUUAACAUAGUUUGAUUAGAAUUGAUUGCAAGGGUUCUUAAUAUGUUAAUUGGGUUAAAAGGUGAUAACUACUACUCAAAAGUGUUUAUAAGAAUUAAUUACAAGCUAUGAAAUAACACUUUUUGAGUAGUAAUCAGGAUACAUCCUAGUUUUUCAUGGAAUUGAUAGUGGGUUGUUGUGCAUGAAUGCCACCAUUUCAACUAUGCUGUUGUUAUUUUUAAAAAAAAUAUGGAUUAUGCGCGAGUGGCAAUUCUCCACUAUGGAAAGUGGAUUGCUCCUUCAACCCAUGCAUGGCUACGUAUUCCUAUGUCUUUCUACUUGUGUUUGAUCCUCCAAAAAAAAUUUCGGUUUAGUGCUAGUAGAUUUUAAGUGGUGGAUCCCCAUUUUUUGAAAAUGAAGUGGCAGCCUCCCAUUUCAAGACAAAAUGGUAGCCUGCCUUUAAUCUUUGGAGAAAAAUCUGUGCAUGACCUUUUUUUUUCCCAAAAAAUCCGUGCAUGGUGUCCUUUAAUAUUUGGAGAAAAAUCUAUGUUGGAUCUUUUCUUUUCUAGAAACAUUUGUGUGGUCUUUUUUGUUAGCCCAAGGGUUCUUCUAAUCAAGUUUUGAUGAUAACAAACCAUGGUUAAGUGACUAAUUGGUUUAAUGAUUAAGAAUCUCAAACAUAAAAUCGAAAAUUCAUCAAAGGACCAAAUGGAUACAAGAUCGAGACGCUUGGAAGACUUGUAAUCAUAGGAAACUAAUGUAAGAUGAAUGCAUGAGUGCACUUAGGAUUUUCACACGUUUCAUGCAACUUAGAAAACCCAGUUUAUUCUUUAAAACUUCAUCCCAGUUUAUUCUUUUUAUGGUUGUGUGUGCUUUCCUUGAUACGUGGCUUAUUUAUUAAGGAUACAUCCCAGUUUUUCAUGGAAUUGACAGUGGGUUGUUGUGUGUGAAUGCCACCAUUUCAACUGUGCUGUUGUUAUUUAAAAAAAAAAAAAAUGGAUUGUGCGCGAGUGGCAAUUCUCCACUAUGGAAAGUGGAUUGCUCCUUCAACCCAUGCAUGGCUACGUAUUCCUAUGUCUUUCUGCUUGUGUGUGAUCCUCCAAAAAAAAUUUUGGUUUAGUGCUAGUAGAUUUUAAGUGGUGGAUCCCCUUUUUUUGAAAACUAAGUGGCAGCCUCCCAUUUCAAAACGAAGUGGUAGCCUGCCUUUAGUCUUUGGAGAAAAAUCUGUGCAUGACUUUUUUUUUCCCAAAAAAUCCAUGCAUGGUGUCCUUUAAUAUUUGGAGAAAAAUCUAUGUGGGAUCUUUUAUUUUCUAGAAAAAUUUGUGUGGUCUUUUUUGUUAGCCCAAGGGUUCUCCUAAUCAGGUUUUGAUGAUAACAAAUCAUGGUUAAGUGACUAAUUGGUUUAAUGAUUAAGAAUCUCAAACAUAAACUCGAAAAUUCAUCAAAUGACCAAAUGGAUACAAGAUCGAGACGCUUGGAAGACUUGUGAUCAUAGGAAACUAAUGUAAGAUGAAUGCAUGAGUGCACUUAGGAUUUUCACACGUUUCAUGCAAUUUAGAAAACCCAGUUUAUUCUUUAAAACUUCAAUUUCAUUAAAACCCGAGUUUUUAACUAAUGUACCUUAGGCAAAAUGUUUUAUAAUUGGCUUAAUAAUUCACCUAAAUACAUUUUCUAAGUGUUAGAAAAGAAAGGAAUUAAAAAAAGGUUUUCGGGGCAAAAAAGGCUCAACCGGUCGAGGCUAUGGUCAACCGGCUCAACCGGUUGAGGAACCAAUCGAUCGGUUGUGCUUGUCCGAUCGAAGACCAAUCGAGGGAUGCCAAAAAAUUUCUCUCUCUCCUAGUGGCCUUCUCUUCCCGGUCGAGGUUCGGUCUAGGCAACGGUAACAUGUCAAGCAUUAAAUGCUCCGACGACUAGUGAAUCGGUCGACCCCUAGCCCGAUCGGACGAGGUUGCCUUUUGCUGUUUUUGACUCCCGAGCUUAGAAACCUAUAAAUUGAGAGCUCCACUUCAUUUAUUGAUAAAAGAGAACACUUGCAUUCAAUAGUCUACCUACCUUUUCUUGAUCAAAAAGCUCUCAUUUCCUUCAUAGUGCAUUAAAUCAUCACUUGCAUAUCCUUUAGUGCACUAUUGUGUGUCAUCCUAGCUUUGUUUUGUAUUUGAGCUAUCCUUAAGCUAGGUUGAGGGAUUAUUUCUUAUAAAAAUCUGAGUGUUAAAGCCUUCAAGAGAUUUGAAUCUUGAAGAGAUUGUGUAAGAGCCCAUUGGAGCCGGAGUCCAAGUGUAAGAAGAUUGGAAGCUUGGUUGAAGCUUCAAGUUAGUGGAACCCUCACUCGGUUAGGAGGUUGAGGAGAGUGGACGUAGGUAAGGAAGUGUCGAACCAUUAUAAACCCGAGUUUGAAUUCUCUAACUCUAUCUCUUUAUUUUGCUUAUAUUGUGUUUGAAUUUGUUGUGAUUGAAAAGAUUUUAAAAACCUAAUUCACCCUCCCCCCUUUUGGGUUUUUUUUUCUUAAUUAAGCAUAACCUUUGUUUUCUAAUUUUCUUUUUAGGAAAAUCCAUGCGUGGUAUGUCCAAACUCUCCAAGUGGCAGUCUGCCUUCUUCUAAAAAAUUUGUUUCUAUUUCUUUAUUCGACUACCUUCCAUGUCUUCCUAAUGAGUGCUUGUGCUCAAUGGUCAAUCCCUGGUGGUUGCCUCCUUUUCCCAUAUAUACGUGUUGCAAAAUCAACAUCCCACUAUAUGUGGGUUGCCUCUAUGGCAAGUUCACAUUUCCCACAUGAAACCUAUGAGUUUCCACCAAAAAUUGCCAUGAAAAAGUCUUUAUAUGCAUCUCAUGCAAUAAAAAGUCAAGCCAAUACUCAUCUUAUCUCGAAAAAUAAGUAACCAAAAUCAAGAUCAUGCCUAAGUGAACUAUGCCAAAAGAAGUGUCCAAGUGACCUAUUAUGAAAAAAGUGCCUAAGUGACCUAAGGUGAAUGUGUGUAAGCUGGAAGGUGUCUAGGAUGUUUAGGACAAUGCCUAAGCCUAAAAUAGGGUUGCCAAGGGUCACAAUGGGGUUAGAUAAAUCUCUCAAUCAGAGUCUCCAAGGUGGCUCAUAAAAGAUAAGCUACACGAGUAAUGAUGGGCCACCAGGGAAUUAUUGUAAAGCACCAAACGAACACAUAAUAGGACAUGUGUUAGAAUGAAAAAAUGGAGGGUUUACAAGUGGUCUCAUGGAUGAGCUUGAUAAUUUAAAUGACUCACAUAAUGAACGUAUGUGAUGUUUCUCUCCAAUAACAAGCAAAACAUCACUAGCAAUAUGAUGAAUGUCUCCUAAAUCACUUGAAGUAGUCCUAGCAAAUCAAUUAGAAAAAUCACACAUAUUGCUCUAAUGUAAUAUUAUAUACAUCUGUCAAUGAAUGGGAGAACUAAUGACACAACCAUCAUGUUGAUAUCUCGAACCCUCUAAUCUCAUAUGUAGGUGGGAUCACACUUAGAAACUCAUAACACAGUAAUGACCAAUCUAAGUCAAAAUGUGUUGGUGAUCGGAGGCCCAUGAAUAUGAAGUUCUAGGAUGAUAAUGACAUCUUAUAAAGUAAUGAUCAUCUCCUUAAUAGAUAGGUGAAAUGUGUGUGUCUUAGGACACCAUCUCUCAACAAGACUUGUGAUCAAUCCCCAGUCUAGUGUAACAUGCCUAUUAUGACAUCCAUCGUAAAAUCUAGACUAGAUAAUAUAAGGACAAAUGUGAGGGUUCAUCUCCCUUUCCCACAUAAAUUUAAAAAAUUAUUAUUGACAAGUUAAGACCAAACUAAGUUGCAAAAUAUAAAUAAGUCCAUUAGAUAACAAAUUUAUGUUUUCUCAUUUUCUCAUUUUUAAAGAGAUAUUAUGUGCUUCCAUGUACAUACAUGCUAAAGUCAAUUAUACGAGACUUAUAUCCAUCUUGUAGAACCAAAUCGAACCUAUCUAAUAGAUCCAGAUUAGAAGUAUGUCCUCUAUACUCCAUAUUUAUAACACAUUUAUAAAGAUAAAUGCUAAAAAAAUGUUAAAGAUAUAAAUUUAAUGAACCAUACUUUAUGAUUUUAAUUCUCAAUUAUUGUUCAUAUUUAUAAGAGAAAAGUUAAAAAAAUUGAUAGAGUUUUCCCUCUAUCAUGGACAUUAUCCCAAAUAAAAAUAAAUUGAUUAUGCAAAUUACAUUAAUAUUUGUAACCAAAUGAUCAAUAACUAUCUUGUAUCAAUUUAGUAAAUAAAUUUAAGUAUAUCUUUUCAUUUAUGACUAACAAAUAACUCAUACUUGUCCAAUAAAAGCCACACCUAAUUUCUAAAAUUUUGUCUUCACCUCAAGUGAGUGUUACAUUGAGAAAGAAAAAAUAUGAAAGAAAAAAUGAACACCUUUUUCUUUUAAUAAAAAAAGGCCAUAACGAAACAUUAAAUCUCACUGUUACACCUAUCUUCAAUGGAAACAUGAGGAUGUGAAUGGUGGCGGUGAUAUUCUUUGCUUGAAGCUCAUAAACAAAUAUUCCUUACUAAGCCUAUGCCAUUUAGUAUUUCAAUAGUGGACCCCCCCCCCCCCCCCCCCCCCCUCCUUGCAUUUCAGAUUUAGCAAACUUAGAACCAAAUAACAAAGUGCAUUUGAACCCAUAAAGAAGUAAUGAGACUCUCCUAUAUUGGCAAUAGAAGAAAUUUUUGGAGGUAUAGGAGAUUCACGGAUGAAGAAGUUGGGCCCCAAUUGAGAUAAGACCCAAGAAAAGAUGGGGUAGAGAGGGAUGGUUGGAAAUUGUAAAGUAAGAUUUUCAAAAUGUAGUUGAUGACUAAGAUUUUGACAAUUUAAAAAAGGUUUAAAAAUGUAGUUAGCAAUCGGGGUUUUGUAACAUUUAAAAAAUAAAAUAAAAUCUCAGGCCACAUGGUAGCCCAUGUGAUUCAGAAGCUUGAGAAUUAUUUUAUAAGAAGACUUAAUUUGUGAUUUUUUUAUAACUAUAUUAUUUUUUUUCUUAACACACGAAAAAAAUUAUGAAAUAAGACAAUUUUCCUAAGAAAGCAUGUAAGUGACUCUUGGUUAUUUUAUUUAACUUCUUCUAGUUUGGAGAGGAUUAAUACCUUUGCUUUUACUCACUUGCUUGGAUAUGUACACGUUGUUCAUGUCACUUUUCAUUUAAUUUUCUGAUUAAGGGAAUUGGAACCGUACGUAACUGUCUUUAUUCCCUCUGAAACUUGGACUUGGAGUUGGACUUUCAAUCUCAUCAGUCGUGUUUCCAUAAAAAAGAAGAUGGAUUAACCAAUUUUCCUAUGCCUACUAAUCAUACACAAAACUCCACUUCCAAAUAAAAAGGAAUGGGAUAUCACUUGUUAAUAGUGGCUAAAGACUAUUAAUAACCAUGCAAAGAAAUGUCACAUUUUUUGUUCUACGCAAAUUUUAUUCAUCAACUACUAGAACCAUUUCAUACAAUAGUAGCUUUUCGAUCCUUUGAUAAAUGGACACUUGAUGUGAUAACACCAACUACACCUAUAUAUUCAAGCAAUCAUGCGUAUAUAAUAGUGGAUAUGGAUUACUUCUCUAAAUGGGCAAAAGUUUUGUCAUUCAAGGAAAGUGAACGAGGAAACACAAGUUUACUUUCAUCGGAACUAAUAUUAUAUAUUGAUAUGACUUCCCAUUAUUACUUACGAUGGAAUAUGCUUCCAUAAAAUGGCCUAGAUGAACAAACUAUCCAAGAAGUUUGGGAUCAAAUAAUAUAUAUAUAGUUCAUGUGUGAUUCUUUGGUUGACAACCUUGUUAAGGGGUGAGUGAAGCACUUUGGGCAUACCACAUACUACAUGCUAGACUUCCACCCAAGCUACCCUAUAUUCCUUAUGAACAAAGUAGAAGUUGUCAUCUCUCUUGAAUACCAAAUCCUUUCACCUAAUAAUGCUAUCUAAAAAGGUCUUAAAAAGGAUAAAAAUGCGCAUAUUUGAAUUUUUGAAUUAGGAGUGCUACUUAAAAAGAAGCUAGAUAUACAAUAAUAGAAUGUUAUCAAGCAUAUCUCUUCAAAGUUUUUGACCAAAAAAUAUAUGAUUUCUCAUUUUAGGUAGGAGACUUAGUACUCACUAUUCAAAAACCAAUUAUCAUUACUCAUAAAAACUAAUAGAAAGUUUGGGCCAAAGUAGGAUGGACCUUAUAUUAUGCAACAAUUAUGCCUAUAAAAUUGUUGCAAAAGAGGUUUUAGAAUCAAAUCAAUGAAUGAAAAAUUAUUAAAGCAUUACUAUGCUUGAAGGCUAGUCAUUUUCCCUUAAAGUGCAAUAUUAAGUUGCAUAGUACUAUGUGGAUCCGCAUUUUUCACAUGCGUUCCCACUCAUUGUCGAGACUCACUUUUUAGAAGUGAAAAAUUAGUUUUAUUAAAGUCGAAGUUGCCACUGGGGAUUUGAACCCUAACAAAAGGUUCAAUUUAAGGAUAAAAAUAUCGAUAAUCACAUAUAUAUAUAUUGGUACUUUGAUUUUAUGAAUAUAUUGAAGAAAUAUGGACAAAUAUUUUGACACAAAAUAUGUACAAAAUAAAAAUUAUAUAAAAAGUAAAAAUAAAUAUUUUAAAAUUAUUUUUUUAAAUAUAUAUAUAUAUAAUUUGACAUAUUUGAUAAUAAUAUAUAAGGGUCUCCAAAAAGCCCGUGGCCCGCUUUAGGCCCGGUCCGACCCGACAGGCUAAAGCCCGGCCCAAGCCCGCCGGGCCCAAGCUCGGCCCGAGCCCGUUUAUGGGUGGGCCGGGCCGCGAGCCCGUAGGCCUGCUCCUUUAAAAAAAAACUACAAAAAUAAAAAGUAUUAAAAAAAAUAUUCAUUUCAAAAUUUUAUUCAUUGAAUGUAUAAUUACAUUUGAAAAUGUGGGAAAAGUUUACAUCACUACAAAAUAAAUACAUCCCAACUAGGUUGGCACCUAUUUAUUUGUCAAUCAUCUGUAUUUUUCAACCACAAAAAAUAAAAAUAAAAAUAUAAUAUACAUUUAGUCAUUAUUUUCUGGCGGUGAUGGCGAACUAUCAUGCAUCCAUGAAGAUCUUGAUAAUUUUAAAGAUUCCAUAUCGGUAAGCAUCUUUGUUUCUCGAAUGGAAUCAUACAUCCUUUUAUCUGCUAUUUCCCAAUCUUUCACACAUAUCCCUGCUUUAAUAACAUCUGACGCUAAGUUGCAUCGUUUUUUACUAACUACUCUUCCACCUGCACUAAAAGCAGCUUCUGAUGCAACUGUACUCACAGGAACUGUUAGUACAUCACGAGCAAUUAUAGAAAGCACAGGAUAUUUGUGUUGAUGUGAUUUCCACCAUAUUAAAAUAUUAAAAUCUUCUUGAUCUUCAAAUGAAAUUAUAUCAGUAUUAAGAUAUUUAUCUAAAUCAGAUGUAUUAUUUGGAGAAUUAUUUGUUGUCUUUUUUCGACUUUUCAACAUUUCUAGAGCUCCUUUAUAAAAAGAUGAGGAGUUUGUAGAUGUAGGUGGUAAUUUAAUAGUAUUAAUAUCAUUACCAUAUUUUUCUUUAUAAUAGUUAUAUAAAUUAUAUAAUAAUGAAUUUAUUUCAUUUUUAAUUUCUUCAAUUUUUAUUUGGUCAUUAAAAUAAAUAAUUGUUAACCAUUCAUCCAAAGCUUCAAAUUUCAAUCUAGGGUCCACAAUUAAAGCAAUAUAAAAAAUUAAAGGUAUUUCUCCCCAAUAUUUUCUAAAUUUUUAUAUCAUUACAAAUAUUGUAUCAUUAAAUAUUUCAAAACUUAAAUAUUUUUGAAGUACAAUAAAAAUAUUAGUUAUUUGCGUAAUAACUCGAUUUGAAGUUGGAUAAUAUACACCACAAAAAAUGUUUGUUGAAGUAUCAAAAAUUUCAAAAAGAUCUCUUAAAACAUCCGCAAUAUGCCAAUCAUAAUCAUUUAAUGCAUAAAUAUCUGCUUCAUAAUCAUUGUUAAUUAAUUGUAUUUCAUAUAAUUCGACUACUUUUCUAUAUUUUGUAAUAUUUUCUAAAAGUUUAUAUGUGGAAUUCCAUCUAAUAGCCAUAUCCAAAUUUAUAUUUUUUCUUUUCAUAUUUAACAUUUUGCAACAAUCAAAAAAUAAUUCAUGUUUUGCUUGAAAACUAUUAAUACUAUAUGCAAUGCCUCUAAUUUUUUUCCAAUGUACUAUCAACAUUUUUUAAUCCAUCCUUUACAAUUAAAUUUAAAAUAUGUGCACAACAACGCACAUGAAAUAUUUUAGCAUGAUCUUCUUUUACUUGCCAAUAUCGUUUUAGUCUAUGUAUUGCUGCAUCAUUAUUAGCAGCAUUAUCUAAUGUUAUUGUCAAUAUUUUAUCACGAAUGCCUAAAUCUAUAAUUUCAUCAUUUAUUAAAGAUGCUAUAUUUUUACCACUAUGUGGAGUAUUUAUUAAUUUAAAUAAAAUUAUUCUUUUAUUUAAUUUCCAUUCAUUAUCAAUGUAGUGAACAAUUAUAUAUAAAAAACCAGUAUGAGUUAAAGAUGUCCAAAUGUCAGAUGUUAAACGAAUAUUUCCUUCAAAAUUUGCAAAAUUUUUUUUUAAAAUUUCUUUUUGUGUAUAAAUUUUUUUCAUAAUAUCUCUUUUAACUGUAUUUCCAGAUCAACCUUUAAAUUGAGGAUUAAUACCUCGUUGAAUUGUUCUUGCAAAAUCAUGAGUUUCCAUCAUGUUGAAAGGUUGUUCUGCUCUUAUUAUAUAAUCAAUCAUUUCUUCACAACAGUUAGAUUCAUCAUAAGAAAAUGUUUUUAAAUUUCCACUUUCAUUUUUACUUAAUUGCAUAUAAUUUCUAAUAUCUACAUUAUUUUUAGUUUUACAAUUUUCAUGAUGUCUUUUUAAAUGACUUGUAUCUGCAUUUGAGCCACCAGUAAGAAAUUUAUUACAAAUUUUACAUUUUGCUUUUAUUUUUUUUUUAUUAUUUUCUAAAAUUAUUUCUAUUCUAUCAAAAAAAUUCCAUAUAUUUAAAGUAAAUUUUUUGUUUGAUGAUAUUUCAUCACAUGGACUAGACGAAGAAGCACUUGUCAUAUUAUAAUUAUUGAUAAAAUAUUAUGCCAAAAAUAAUAAAGUAAUAAAUAUAAAAAAAAAUGUAACAAAAAAAAUAAAGUAGUAGGGGUGAAGUAUGUUACUCAAUUAGAGAACCUAUGCAGAAAUUCCUAGCAAAUUUGAACUCUUGGAGCCACCAAUGCUUGUUUUGCACCAUCAACAAUAUUGUAUAAUUUGAGGGAAAAAUAAAAGAAUUUAAAAUAUUGUAGAAUGUGAGAGAAAUAGAGAGAAUUUGAUGAAAAAAUGAAAAGGAAGAAAAUGUAUUUAUAGGAAGGUUAAAAAUAAUAAUAAUAAUAAUAAUAAUAAUAAUAAUAAUAAUAAUAAUAAUAAUAAUAAUAAUAAUUGGCCAUGUGACCGUUGGAGGCUUAGCUCCAACGGUCACAUGGGCUGGAGCUAGGCUCCAACAGUCACAUGACCGUUGGAGCCUUUAAUUUUUUUUUUUAAAAUAAUAUACUUUAUUUUUAUAUAUAUAUAACUAACUCAAUUAAUAAACAUAAAAAGAAUAUAGUUCAGUUGGUUAGAACCUUGAAGUUUAAACAUGAGGGGAGGGGUUUGAAUCCCUCCCUCUCCCUUAGGGGCUUUUUUAAAAGCCAUUUUGGCUUAUUUCAAAAAGCCUGUCGGCCCGACCCGCCCUGCAGCCCGCGGGCCUAGCAUUUUAGCAUGGCCUGGUCUGUUGACUAGUCAAAUGGCUCAUAGGCUCGGCCCGAACUGGGCCGCGGGCCUCUUAUUUACGGACCGGCCCGACCCGGCCCGCCCGUUGGAGACCCUUGAUAAUAUCUUCUAUAUUAAGUUACAUUAUAGUUUAUUUUACAAUAUUAUUAUGAUAAUAUGUCUAAUUUUAAAAUAUAUUUAAUAUUAAAAUUAUGAUCUAUUUUAAUUUAAAUGUAUUCAAUGAUAUCAAAUAAAUAAUAAUAUAUGUAUAAUUCUUUUAUUAUUUAUAUUUAUUAUUUUUAAUAAAUAUAUAGAUUAUAUAAAAAAGACCGGAUAUAUCUUUUCAAAUUUUGUAUCGCUCUCCAAGGAUAUUAGAUGUAUGGGAAUUUGUAUUGCUAUCUACGGAUACGUUGAUAUAUGGGUGAUUUAUCAGGAUAAUUAGAAAUUCUAAUUAUGUAAGCAGGUACGGAGUUCUGUGUCGGUGCGAUCUUGUCGACAACAGCUCCAAAUUGUGCAUCUUGCUCAUAGAGAGUAGCGGAAUGCACCAAUCGUAGGCUCAGAGUACCACUGAGUCGUCUGGCAGAGACCCAACUGAAGGUGCCUGUGUUGUUCCUGAUCUGAUCAGGCUUCAAACUACAAGGUGGAAUACUGGUUCCCCUAUAUCAGAAGCUGGAGAUACCCACCCCAUAUGCUCGUCUGGAUGUGCUCCUACCCUUUGAAGCCUUCUUCCGAGUCAAGUCCGAAUUGAUAAGGCUAGUGAGUUCCCAACCAACUGUACUCAGCAUGCUGCCAGGUGGAGACCCUCCAUAUUUGAUGGCUUCCUAAUAUUAAAAUGCUGACCACUGGUCUUCAUGUUCCACAGGCUUAAUUGUGUCCUUUGCUGAAAGAAUGGAUAGUGAUCCAUUUUAACACAUGAUUCACGCCGUCUUUGCCAUUCUUCAUGGUCUAGCCCUUUUAUAUAUAUGCUUCCUGAACUGUUGCUAUUAAUAAAAUGUGGUAUCUAUCCCGUACACCUUCCUGAUGGCCAGCGAAUGCAGAAGCUACAGAAACGGUUCCAUCUUUUGCUUCCGCCACUUUGGCAUCCUCCAUGAUGAGAUCGAAGGUGAAUAAUCAUAUUCUGGGGAUUUAUGUCCUGGAUAUUCUCAGUAAUGCCCAAUUUCCUGGUGCCGGCCUCAUUUCCAUGGGAACUGAUGGAUAACUUAAGGCUUCUACCAUCUGCGUGGUUCGCUUCUAACACAGGAAACUUCACGGCUAAAAGCAAGAUACCAAGAACAUCAAGGCUGUGACAAAAAUUAGUAUUUUUAACUUGUAGGAAUUUGAAAGGCAACCAACCAUCUAGCUCUGUUCUUAAAGCUCCCAUAGGAGGAUCAGAGGCUGGAUUGCUCAAGAUGAACUCAUCCAUUGUUGCACUUAAAAAGAAUUGGCAUGAAUUGUGGCCGCUCUAAUAGGUUCCCUAAACCAUCAUCCAAGUGGGCUUGCGGAAGGUAGCGAGUUUAAAACACCUAGGGCGAUGAACAGUGGACUGUGAUGCUCACAAAAGAGAAAAGGAAGAAUUCAAUAAUUCCUAAGAAUCCAUUUGCCUGUCAUCCAAAUUUUUAUAUUCUCUUCAGUCUGACGCGUUAUGCCAUAUAUUAAAAAUAGCGGCUUCUUCCAAGCCGAGACAGACUGUGCAAAGUUCGCAAGGCCAAUCAUCACCAUAAUCUGAAGUUGGCCUCCUCAAUCGCAGCUUGUAUCCGAAUGCUCACUUCACGGGAUGGAUUGUAAUGAAAACUAAUCUCAGUCCCAGCUAUGGCAGCAUCCUCACUUGACAGCAUUUUCUGCAUAUUCUAGAACAAAGCAAUAAACCCUCAAAGGCUCCUUCGGAUCAGAGUUAGAAGACUGUCCCUCAGGAACGUGAACACUAUGGUGGUUCUGAUAAGCAGUGAUAUUGCAUUAGAGCCUUUUGGAACAAGAGGAUCUUUUCAGGUGGAAACUGUAAACUGCUUCAUGUUGGGCUGCAACCUUUUCUUCAAGCAAUACUUUCUUUCUGUAUCACGACUUAUGUUGCUUCCGGAGCCAUCCCGUGUGGACUGCCCUUCAGUGAAAGAAUAUGUGUGUUGACAUGUUGGAUUGUAAUCUUUGUUCCACUCUAAUGGCUUUUGGUCCUCCUCUUUCUCUUUAUGACAGAGAACCAUUUAGUGAUCCAUCUCUAUAUUGUAGCAUUGCUGGUGCUUUGCAAUACUACACUCUCACCAAGCAUAACAUCUAUUUUUCCGUGACCAAAGUAUGUCGGUUUAUGCAUGCGCAAACUCUUAUUCAUUGGCAAGUUGUCAAGCGUAUCUCAUGAUUUCCCAAAGCCACAAGUUCUUAUGGUCUUUCUGUUCAAGCUUACAAUGAUCUAUCUUUUCUUGGUUAUACUGAUGUCGAUUGGGCUAGUUGCCCUGAUAACAAGCACAAUACUAGUGGGUACAACACUUUUCCUGGUCCUAAUCUCAUUUCAUGGGCAUUUUCAAAGCAGAAGGUUGUGUCUCACUCCAAUAACGAAUCUGAAUAUAGGGGACUCACUAAUUAAUGUUGUUGCCAAGGUCACUUGGAUUGAAUCUGUCUUACGUGAGUUGCGUGUUUCUCUACCCCAACCACCAAUUUUGUUGUGUGACAACAUUAGUGCUACACACUUGGACAAACCAUGUUGAAAUACACUAUCAUUUUAUCCAUGAAAGGCUUAUGCAUCACACACUCAAAAUUCAAUACACCUCUUCUAUAGACCAACUAGUCAAUGCUAUGACCAAAGCUCUUCCUUCAUCUCACUUGUACAAUCUUCAGUGCAAGCUGAUUGUUCUUCCCAAACCACUCAACUUGAGGGGAGAUGUUAAGCCAAUUUAAUAAAUUGAUUUCUUUUGGUUAAUUUGUUAGAAUCAUUUUUAUUAGAGGUUUGUUUGUACAAUUACAUCCAUUUAUCAGGAGAGUACACGUGUACAACUCCUCUUUUAAUCUCACCAUUGUAUAUAUAUGAUACACGACCUUACUCAGAAUUGCAUAACAUUUCCUCUGCUCAUUCCUUUUCUUCUUUGAAUUUUCCCUUACCUCACUGAUUUUGAUUUAUACCUGGUGUUUUCACCUUUGGUCUCUACCUUUCUAGCCAGUUUUCUAAUUAAUCCGUAUAUGGUAUACCUGUCAACUAAUGAGGAGAAAGAGAAAAGGGGAUUGCUGUUCCACCAGCUACAUAUAAUAAUUAAUUACAAUCAUGGUAAUGGAUCCUGAAAUCCAUCCUUUGUGGAUUUUGUACGGAAUAUUGUUGUUAUGUAUGUGGGCUCACUUAGAUGUAUAUUGCUAGCCUGUCUGGGAAAUGUGAUUGCAGGUCCAGAUUAUGAUGUUGAUAUUAGUGGGAUAAGCAAGAGAUGCAGUUAACACGUAUGUGAUGGACUUGAGUAACUUUUCCAUUUCAGUCCAUUUUUUAAGAUUAUGCUUAGUCUUAUUACAAGGAAAGACCAUAAGAAUCAUGAGUCAUUGGCAAGGUAAUAUCAUUCCCUCUUUACAGGCUUCUUCACCUUUUGGUUUUUUUAAUAUCCAUCAAGAUCUUUUAAUUGGAGGACAAUUACAAGUAUAUAUAUAUGUAUUAAAAGGGGAAAAUAUUAAAACAGGAAAUUUUAGGGAAAAUAUAAUAAUUAUUUCUUCCUUCUUUCCCAUAUAGAACUACACAAAAUAAAACUUUAAUAAUUUUUUCUUAUCUUUUUUAUUAUUAUUUUUUCUUAGAAACAUCCGUGGUCUCACAAGCUUGUAAUCCUAGAUUGUUAGGCUCCUUUAACAGUGCCCCAACAUCGUGGUCCAAUGACAAGCUUCCACGCCUUAAAAUCAGAAAAUGCCAUUAAACUUUAUCAGACAUUACAGUUCAAGACAAAGCUUUCAUUUGCUUAAUGUGAUAAUGAAAUUGUUAAUUUCAUUUCGUGGGCAUCUAAAUUUGGACGAGCAAGACCUCUGAAUUCCCUGUUUUUAUCACCAGCAGAGGAGAUAAAAUCUUAAUGGUGAGAAUCUCCACGUGAAAUUUAUGUGUACUGUCAACAUAUUUUUGUUUAUAUAGUCCAGUAGCUGCAGGAAGUCUAGAUUAUAUAGGUAGCAGUAGCACUAUUUAUAGCACUCGAUAUUCGCUGUAUGAAUACAUUAAACCUUGUUUUCAAUACGCAUCACAAGCAAGUACUAGAUACUACAAGGAGUGACAGUCGCAUCAACAUUUCUUGAUAAUAGCAGUGACUGAUUUAUACACAGAACAGUACUGUACACGUACCAGUCACCAGAGAUAGGAUCUUAUUCCUACAUACGACUCUUAUUGAUCGAAGUCACUCAGUUGGGGUAGCCUGGAGUUGGAGGUUUGUGUGGUGGCUUCUUCUUUGGAGGAGGCUUUAUCUUUGGAGGCAUCAUCUUUGGAGGCAUCUUGUGUGAGUCUUCUUCAGCAUUCUCUACAGGAGGAUGGCCAGGCUUAUGACCCUUAGGUGGUUUGCCAACUGGGAUUGGUGGCUUGUGUCCUGAGAGUGGCUCCUCUUCUUCGGGAGGUUUGCCAACUGACGUUGGUGGCCCGUGUCCUGGGGGUGGCUUGUGUUUUGGGGGUGGUUUCACUCCACCGGGAGGUUUACCAAUUGGUGUUGGUGGUUUGUGCUCAAUCGGUGGCCUCUCAACUGGGGGGCGCUUGGGGUAAUCAGCGAGUGAAGAAGUGGUGAGAACCACCACUCCAAGCAACAACACUAGCAAGUAUGUGGAAGACAUCUUUGAGUUUGGCUCAGAUGGUGUAGAACUAGAAUCCUGGGUGGCCUUUUAUAUUAGUUGGGCCCUAUGCCCGAACGACAAGUGUCAUGGUGACACAUAAAGUGAUGGGGUCGAUUUGGGCCUACCGGAUUUGAAAACUUGGACAAUUCGAGAAGCGUCUCCUGACUCCGGGUUGUAAAGUGAAAGAUUAGGUAUCGACCAUUGAAGUAUGAUCACAACUUUUGGCCUUUGGCUCUCUCUACUGCCGUAUAGCUUUUUUCCUUUGGAUAUUUUUCUUAGCUAGACACAAUUAUUGAGCAGUCUAAUCUCGAAAUGGGAUUAGUAUAGCUUUAAGCAAAUUUAUUAUAGUUAGUGGAGGACUUUUAAGAGUGCAGACGACAUUUAACACAUGCAUGCAGUAGUAUAGGGGACAUAACACUAUUCUUUUUCCAAAGAUUCACAUGAUUUUUAUAUUAUAGUAUUGGCACAUUGUAUGUAGCUGGUUUUGUGGUUAAAAUUCCAUAUGUAGACACUGGCGUUUCUCCAUUUCUCACAAUUGAUGUUUACCUCCACGAUUACUAGAUUAGAUAUACCAAACAAUAACACAUUGUAUAAUCUAUCCGCCCUUCAAAAUCUACUGUAUGAUGAAAUGUUUCAUGUGUGUGUGAAGUGUUAGAAAUGCACUAUAGGCAACAUCAUCUUCUUUUGUCUAGGCUUGGGCCUCAAAUUAUACUCCCAUGCCAUGAUAAAUUUUCAUGUGCAUUCUCUAAAGAAGAGUGUCUUGAAUGUGCCAAAUCAUUUUGAUUGAUUUUAUGAUGUUAAUUGCUCCGCAUAUGGAUGGGUAUGUGCUUUAUUUGCUUAUUCAAUCCACAAUUACCUUGAACUGAAGUCCUAUUGGAGCUCUAUUAUUUUAGCAACGUCCUGUCAAAUAGGCUGCUAACUUGGGGUGGUAUGGACCCAAUGAUCCAUCUUAAUCUUGGGUUGAUUUUGUCUGACUCUAUCUAUCUCAGAGAGAACCAGGAUCACCAGUGCUGGUCUGCUUAAAGAAGACUCAGUACUGGAUUAAUAUUGGUUUGGGUCAAUAGCUUAUAAUGCAUUGAAUGCAGAAUAAACAAGAUCAAUGAAACCCAAAACACACUGCCCACACAACUUCACUCUGGUGUCUGUUAUUCAUCAAUUCUAUUCCCACAUGAACUGGUUCAAGUUUAAGAAAAUGACAACGGAUCCACUGUAUUAACUUGGUUUUGCUUGGUUUUGAGCUAGUUGCCAAACCAGCCAUGAGUUUUACCUCUAAUGUCAAUGAACAAACCCCAAAUGAACAACUGCAACAGCUUAAAGAGAAGGAAUGGAGAUGAAAAUCCCUGUUUCUUCUCAUUCUGGGGACAAAUUAGAACAUAACUACAAAGGUUCUAUUAAUUGACUUACUCUACCAUGAAUUAUGGUUCUUUGGUUUUCCAAAUUUAAAUUGUACAUGAGAUUAUUUUUUUCCUUUAUAUAUAAACAUAUUAAGGUUUUCUUAUUUCGUGGGCAAAUGCGCUAAGGAUGAAAGUCAUUUCAUUUGGCUGCAACAGCAUCUUAUAAUCAACAUGCAUAAGCAGCAGUUUUAAUUGAUCGAUUGAACACCGACUCACAAGAAUAGAUAGAAUGGUACAAGACAGCUCUUAUUAAUUUAUACUCGUUACUCAUUUUAUGUAGCCCCAUUAAGAUGGCUGGCUGGACCACCGAGGUCUGGGGGUGGUGUUGCUUGUGUGAUGCAGCGGGCCGGGCAGACACUUCUCUAGUUGCUUCUAUUUGGAGUUAGAGGAUCAGUCUCUGCCAACCUUGAGGACUCUCUACCUCAGAGGGUCCAGGUGGUGGACUCUGGUGUCGGUAGCUUUGAACUCUCAGUAGACUAGUGUGUCUUAAUCAGUCACUGCCAGAGGCUGGCGUAGGCAGUGACGAUAAGGUGAGACAAAUUACCGAAUAGUCAAUAUCGACUGCACUUGACCAUUAUAGAUUUGUUCUGACAAAAGUGAGAAAAGGGAGAAAAUCGGAUGUUGACCUUUAUAGAAAAAGAUAAGAUUUACUGCAACACAGAGCACUGAUUUGUUACUUGGAAACCAAGUUAUGCUAUUAGCUAGCCUCCAUUAGCAGCAGGGUACCUUGCUGCCUGAUCCUAAUCUGAGUUCCCAAGGUUUCAAUCUUCGUUUGUUAACGCUUCAGGAUUUGGAUAUUUCAGCUUCGUUUCUCCAUUUAGCCAACGCUGCCUGGUUUGGAUUUCAAUCCUCAUCUGGAACAUUCUUUUUUCGGUCUGAUUCAGGAAGUGUUUGGUGAUAGUUGAUUAAAAUUAAACAGUACUAUCAUACAAAUAAAGCUGAUCUAAUUUUGGUGGGCAAUAUACCAACUCAUUUAUUCUUGAAAACACCAUGGGGAAUUGGAGGUCCAUCCGAAGUACUAUUUGAUGGGACUCACAAAAAGAACAGGUGCACAUUUAUGAGAUCCGUGGAAGAGAUAACUAUGACAGCUAUGCAUGUACAACAGAUUUAUGUCGAGUUCACCUCGUAGAUAUUUUGUUUUCAGUGUCGGUGGACCCCAAAAUGGAAAUCGGAAAUUAAGGUUAUAUUUAUUUUUUUAUUUAAUUUUAAAUAGAAUUUUAAUUUUUAAUAAUAUUAAGUAUUAAAUUAUUUUUUUAAGGGUAUUUUAUUUUUAUUAAGUAUUAAAAAGUAAAAAAAAUUAAUAUGUUGCUUUUUUAUUUUAAAAAAAUUAUAUAUUUUAAUUUUUUCUAUUUACUAAAAAGUUUAUAAUAAAUUAUAAAAAAAUAAAAAAAUAAAAAACUUAAAUUCUGAAAAUAAAUUAUUUUUAAUAAAAAAAUCCAAAAAAGCAAACACCACCUAAAUUUGAGAUGACUCAAAAUUUUAUAUUUUUUUUCACCUAAAUUAUAUUCAUAAAUUUAAAAUUAAAAAAUUAGGAAGUUGAAUUUUAUUUUGGAUAAUUGGAAACUACAAGAAAUCAAUAAAAAUAUUUGGAAAAAAAAGAAAAAGAAAAACUAUCUAUAUAUUCACCCCCUUCUAAGAAACAUAACUUUAGUUUUUAACUAUUUUUUAAAAUAAUUUUUGAAAAAUGUUAUAUAAUAUUUUAUAAAACAAAAAAUCUGUUUGACAAUUUGAUAUGUCUUUAACUUAUUUUUAAUAUUUAUAUAUAUAUAUUUUAAAAAUAAUUUUAUAUUUAGAACUUUAUCUUUAAUUAUUAUAUAUAUUUAUAUAAUUAUUUUUUUUAAAACAACUCUUAAAAAAUAAGUGAAAGUAAUUGAAAACAACUCAAAGAUAUUUGAUGAAAACACUCUAAUUUGUAUUUUUGAGAAUAAAAAAAUAAAUAAAUAAAUUUCUAGUUAUCAAAUGUAUUUUUUAAUUCUUUUAUUCUAAAAAAUAGAAAAUCGUUUUUGAAAAUAAUUAUUAAACAACAUUCUUAAAAAUUCACUCGUUACAAUCUAGAUUUAAUGCAAGAAUGAUUGAAGGAGUCCUCCAAUAGAACCCAAAGUUAUAAACAUGAACAAGAAGCCCUAGAAACACCAAAGAUCUCAUAUGGUAUAUAUAUGAGCUUGAUUGAGAACUGUUUUAAAUUCAGUUUUUUUUUUUUUUUUUUUUUUUUGUUUUCAAAGUCAAAACAAGUUUACUUUUAAUUUUUACUUCUUUUUUUUAAUUUUAUAAAUAACAGUUUUUUAAUAAUUUAUUUUGAAAACAUGAUUAUUUUUAAAACUUAUAAUGAAAAUAGGAAUUUUUUUUUUAAUAUCAUGGUUAUUUUCCCUUCUUUUAAGGAGGGCUAUUUUAAAAAUAAAUUUACAAAUAUGAAAAAUGAUUCAAACUAAAGCAGUACAAAUAAAAAACAUUUUUAAGAAAUAUUUAAAAAUAGAGAAAAUUAUUUGAGAACAUUUGAAGUCCUUAAAUAGACUUUUGUUUUAGAAAAGGCAAGAUAAUUAUUUUUGAAAAUUGUUUUCAUAAUGAUAUGCAAAAACCUACGUAAAAACCAUAAUUAUAAUCGGCCACAUAUCAAAUCUACUAAAUAUGAAAAGUAAGUACAUAAUUAUAUUUGACUUAGAUGCAAGGAGGAAAAUGUCGCGAUAUUAUCGCCGAAAUAUCGUGUGUCGAAGGGUAUCGACACGAUUUUUCUUGCAGAAAUAUCGGCCAGUCGAUUUUUCGGGAUAAAUCUCGAGAAAUCGGCAAUUUAUCGCGAUAUAUCGGCGAUUUUUCCUCGAUAUAUCUUCUGGUCAACGCGGGUCAACGGAGUCAACACGCUACAGUGAAAGUCAAAUGUGCUACAAUGUCCCCGCUACAAUCACCUCCCCAAACAAAUUGCCAAAUUGCUUCCGAGGGGAUUUGAACCAGCCUUCUUGCCAUUUGGGCUAACUCGCCCUUAUGAUAUAUAUUGCAUUAAACAUAUAUAUACUUAAAGUCCUUAUAUAAAGAAAAUGUUAAAAAAAUAUUUUAAAGAGCAAAUUAAUUAUAAUUAUUUUAUAAUUAAAAGCAAAAUUUUCUUUUAAUUAAUUACCAAAAAUAUAAAAAUUAUAUAAUUUUCUUCAUAAUGUUUUUAAUAUCAUUAAUAAUUAAUUAAAUAUUAAAAAAUUAUAUAUAUAUAUAUAUAUAUAUAUAUAUAUAUUAUAAUUUAUUUUAUAUUGUUUAAUACAAUUGAAUUAAAUGGAUCAUAUUUUAAUAUUAAUAUAUAUUUUAAAAUUAGACAUAUUGUAAUCAAAUAUCAUAAUAUUAUAUGUAAUUUAAUAAUAAAUGUACACUUAUAAAAUUCAUAUUUUUAUCGAUGCAUACAAUAUUAUUAUCAAAUAUGAUAAAUCAUGUUAUACAUAUAUCAAAAUUUUCAAUAAAAUAACUUUAAAAUGUCUAUUAUACUUCUAAUUAUAUUAUUAUGAGGUUUUCUUUACAUUUUCAUGAGUUUUAAACAAUUUUAAGCACCAAUAUUUUUUUCCAAAAUAUCCACCGAUAUAUCUCCGAUAUAUCCAAUAUAUCUCCGAUAUCUCCGAUAUAUCCGUAAAAUCGAAGUACCGAUAUAUCCGUGAUUACCGAUAUUUUCAUCAUUGCUUAGAUGCAACCUUCUUCCAAAUGACAUACUUUAGUCAAUACUUAUAUUUUUUCGUUUCACUUCUUUGAUACAACACCUCAUGGAUUUAUUGUUUAAUUUAUUUGUAAUUAUAAAACUAUUUUUCAUUUUUAAUAAGACUUGAAUUAAUUUAAUAAAUAUUAUAUAAUUUGAAUUUAUAAUUCUUUUUAUAAAAUCAAAGUAUAUUAAAAAAAAAACAAUUUAUCCGAAGAAAGUUUUUUAUUUUUUAUUUUUUAAAACCGAUUUUAAAAAUAACUAGCUAGACACCCUUAUUUUGAUAAAAUACGAAAUAAAAGUGUAAAAACAACAUGGCCAAAUAGGGGCUUAAAUUUUAUUUUUAAAACAUUUUUUUACACUAAAGUGCAUUUUAAAAACACCAUCAAAACCAACUACAAGUUAUGCUUCUUCCCGUAAUAGAAAUAUUUUAGGCCAAAAUAGAACCUCCCCAAAUAAAGACCCUAUACUAAACUCCUUUUCAUUUUAUUAAUACAAAAGUGGGGAAAAAAGGUCUAUGCUCACCUAAAAAACAUGAAUAUUGUGAAUUCACCAUUUCUAUAAGGAAGUUGAAAACUUCAAAAUUUUAUCAACAAAUUCUCUAAAAUCCUCAAAAUAUAUAGGGCCUGUUUCACAAAGUUUUUUAAAAUUUGUUUUUAUAAAUUGCUUUUAAAAUAUAGAAUAAAUAACAGUUUUUUAGAUUUUUUGAAAAAUAAGAGUGUUUGGUAAGAUGUUUUUUUUUUUUUUUUUUUUUUUAAGAAUUAAAUAAAAAAUAAAAAAAUUGUUUAGAUAAAAGAAUUUGUAUUGUUUUUAAAAACAAUGUCUUACUUUUAUGUUAUAAAAAUUUUAUUAAUUUAAUUUAUAAUAAUAUGAAAUGAAAUUCAAGUUAAGUCUUAUUAAAAAAUACAAAUUAAAUCUAUAAUUAUGCAUGAGUUAAAGAUAAAUAUAUAUUUUUUAAAACUAUAAAAUAAAUUUUCUAUUAUAGUGAAACAAAAAUUACUAUAAAAUAAAAAUAAUUUUAAUAUUCAUUUUUAAUACAAGUCAAAUAAGUACUUUAAUUAAUUUUUUUUAUCAUGAUUUCUUAUGUUUUUUUUUUUUUCUAGAAAUUAUUUUAAGUAAUAUAACUAAUUUUUUUUUUAAUGUUUUAUAAAAAUAAGGAUAUUUGGCAAGUUGUUUUUAUAAAAGGAUUUUAAAAAUAAAUGGAUUUUUUUUUUUUUUAAAAAAAGAACAAAAUGAUUUGUUUGAAUAAAUUGUUUUGAUUUUGUAAAAACAUUUUAAAUUCAAUUUAUAUAAUAUUAAUUAAUUAAAUUAAAUUGAAGUUUUAUUGAAAAUAAAAAUAAUUUUGUAAUUAAAAUUAGAUUAAAAAAUAUAUAGGUUUUAAUAAAUCGUAAAUAGUAAUAUUAUAAUAAAAUUAUAAAUUAUAUUUUUAACAUAAAAUAUACUAUUUAUUACAUAUUAAAAAAAAUAUUUUAUUAUAUUAAUAAUUUUAUGGUAUUAAUGAGUUUAUUAUUUAAGUUUUAAAUUAUUUUUAAAAAUUAAUAAAUUUGUUAACAAAUGCAAUGUACUAAAUGUGGUUUAAUUUGGAGUUAAUUUGUUUAGGGAAAAAAAUAAAAAAUAAAAAUCUUAUGUAAAAGAGAAAUAAUAGAGUGUGUGUGUUUUUUUUUAUUAUUUUUAAAAAUCAGUAAAAAGAACUUUUACUUAUUGCCUAAAAAUUAUUCUCUAUUUUAUUUUAUUUUUUAAAUCUAGAAAUAGAUAACAAUAAUAAAAAAAAUUAAAAAAGAAAAAUGUUUUUUAAAACUCAGACUUAUAAUUGCUUUUGUUUCUCAUUCGCACCCCUGGAUUCCUGGAUUCUAAACACAAAAUUAAGUUGAAUCGUCCAUCUAUCUUGUAAGCCAAGAAUUCACAUAGAAGAAAUAAUCGGAAUUUGAUUUGAUAUCAGAUUUAGAGUGGCUCACUACUCAUGCAUUGUCCCACAAUAGUAAUGCUUUGGGCCGAGAUAAACCCAUUUGUGGGCCCAAAUAAAACCCCUGGUUUGAAAACAUCGAUUUUACAGUGGCCCAAAAGAUUAUCUAUGAGGGGAAGAUAACUUGGAAGUCAAGCAAACACAUUUAUCGCUAACUUUUCUCUAAUUAUAAAAUUAUAACUUGGUCUUCUACACGUCUCACUUAAGAGGCGGAGCCACUUGGCACUACCUUUCCAUAUUGUAAAAGGAGAAGAAGCAGAAGGAGAAGAUUCUUAUGCCAUUCCACACACCAUGGCUAGUACUGCUAUGCUGCUUGGCCCGCCGGCUCUCCGCCAUCCUAAUUCUCCCGCCGGCACUGUCUUUGAAGAUGGGGUCAUUCUAACGGAUUCCCUGAUCGUCCGCACCAGUAAUCUGGAGCUUUCUGAAAAACCGCCACUGGAAUCCCUGGCGUAGUGCUCUGUCAGUGGGGAUAUUGCUAUGGAUUGUUUGGAUUCCCAAGCCCACAAUCUUCAUCUUCCCGGGAAACCGCCGAUGGGCUUAACGGAAAACAAGUCUCCGACCUUUUUGUCUUCCGGGAACCCGUGCUUGGACUUCUUCUUCCAUGUGGUUCCCGAUACGUCGUCUGAUGAUCUGAUCCGACGGUUUGAGUUGGCUUGGGAAUUCAAUCCGCUGACGACGUUAAAACUGAUAUGCAACUUGAGAGAGGUGAGAGGCACCGGAAAAUCUGACAAAGAGGGUUUCUACACGGCGGUUCUCUGGCUCCACGACCACCAUCCCAAAACCCUAGCCUGCAAUGCUAGGGUGUUGGCCAGCUUCGGUUAUUUCAAGGAUUUUCUCGAGAUUCUCUACCGGCUUCUGGAGGGCCCUAAAAUUCGAAGAAUCGAAAAGAAAGACUGGCUGGAUCGAAAAGGAAGGAAGAAAAAUUCCCGGAAAAGGAACUCAAUAUUCAAGCGAGAAAAUAGGCCUGGAGUUGAAUUUCCUGUAGAAGAGAAGGAUGUGGAGUAUAUGGUGGAAGAAUUUGUGGAUAAAGAAAAGGCUAGGGUACUGAGAAAGGAGAGAGAACUUGCUCUUGCCAAAAGAGCCCUGCACAAGUAUUCUACUGAUUCUAAUUAUCAGUUCUUACAUGAUCAGAUUUCAGAUUUAUUUGCUGAACUUCUGAAAUCUGAUAUUCAGUAUUUAAACUCCGGUGAGCUUUACAAGAUUAGUCUCGCAUCCAAAUGGUGUCCCACAAUUGAUUCUUCUUAUGAUAAAUCCACCUUGAUAUGUGAAAAUAUUGCUCGAAAGGUUUAUUCUCGCGAGGAAUAUAUAUCCAGAAUACCAAGGAAUUGAGGAGGCUCACUAUGUUAAUAGAGUCAGGGAUAGGUUGAGAAAACAAGUACUUGUUCCAUUACGUAAGGCCCUGGAGUUGCCAGAGGUUUUCAUGUGUUCGAACCAGUGGGGAUCACUUCCCUACAACCGUGUGGCUUCAGUGGCCAUGAAAUCAUACAAGAGCCUCUUCUCAAAACAUGAUACAGAGCGGUUUGGUGUGUAUCUUGAGAAAGUGCAAACUGGGAAGGCUAAGAUUGCAGCUGGUGCAUUACUUCCCCAUGAGAUUAUAGCUUCAUUGAAUGAGGAGGAUGGCGAGAAAGUUGCAGAGCUUCAGUGGGCGAGAAUGGUGGAAGAUUUAUCAAAGAAUGGGAGGCUCACAAAUUGCAGUGCGGUAUGUGACGUAUCAGGAAGUAUGAGUGGAACUCCAAUGAAGGUGUGUGUGGCUCUGGGGCUGUUAGUUUCAGAGCUCAGUGAAGAUCCAUGGAAAGGUAAUGUAAUUACUUUCAGUGCAAGUCCUGAGCUUCACAAGAUCCAAGGAGACAGCCUUGUAUCCAAGACUGAAUUUGUGAGGAUGAUGGAAUGGGGUGCGAACACUGAUUUUCAGAAAGUUUUUGACAGAAUCUUACAAGUAGCAGUGGAGGGAAAUCUGAGUGAAGAUCAAAUGAUAAAGAGGGUUUUCGUUUUCACUGAUAUGGAGUUUGAUGAAGCUUGUGGGAGGUAUAACUAUUGUGAAUAUGACUAUGAUAUGGAGGAAAUUGAUGAGAGUCAGAAGGCAUCUCAGAAGUGGGAGACAGAUUAUGAAGUGAUACAGCGGAAAUUCCAGGACAAAGGAUAUGGAAAAGUUCCGGAGAUAGUGUUUUGGAACCUUAGAAACUCAUCAGAGACUCCAGUGAUGGCCACAGAGAACGGGGUGGCCUUAGUAAGCGGGUUUUCGAAGAAUCUGUUAGACCUUGUUUUUGGAAGGAGGUGGAAUUCUGACCCCUCAGGAUGUGAUGGAAUUAGCCAUCUCUGGUGAAGAUUACAAGAAACUUGUUCUAUUUGAUUAAGAUAUCAAGAGAUUUAUCAAUAAUAAUAUGUUUUUUUUUUUCUAUGUGAAAUACAUGUAAUAUUAACUAUGGAGUUAUCAAAGUUCUGGAAAUUUAAUUAUUUCUUCUUUUCAAGUUUUGUUUGUCUUUGUUAGGAAUUCCCCUUGGGCGGACCCAGCUGGGGACUUGGAUUGAGGAAGUAAGGAGGCGAAAUUGUGUUCUUCUAUGGACAGAGAAAAAAGAUAAAAAUAAAAAAUAAAAAAGGAGGUUAUUUGCAUUUGGAUGUCAUGUGGUUUCAGGGUACAACUACAAGUUCGAAAUUGUACAUAAUGUGAAAAUUCCUGUGUGGAGAACAGCAUAAAUAUGUAUCUCAGUGUGUUUUGUUUGAGCUAAUUGGCAAAUUCGCUUUAAACAUGGUCACAUGGAUGCAUAUUUAUUUGUGAAAUGAUAGUAGUCGAUUACUUGGUCAGUAAGGUUUGUAUCUCUAACUCCAACAUCUUAUUGUAGUCUUUUAAAAUGUCAAAAGUUUAAUGCUAGCUUGAGAAAUUUUGGAAUGGAGACAUUCUAAACAAAGUUAAUAAUCCAUGAGACUUGGUAAAACCGAUCAGAUGAUGCUUACGUACAUGAAUGCCUUCUUUAAGCCGUAUCCUAUUUUCAUUGAAUGAGACGUGCCAUCUAGUUUUGUUCUUGUCUUGAUUGGAUCAUGAUCCCGGGAAUUGAUUACUGUUCUGAAUUUGCGAAUGUUCAAGGUAUUAGAGAAAGUUAAUAUUAUCGUUAAUUUACAUAUUAGUAUUUAUCUAGUUAUUAUAUAUUAGUUUGAAUUAUAAUAUAAUAUAGAAUUUGAAUCAAGUUUACUAUUAGUUUGAAUUACAAUAGGAAAUAAAGUUUGAAUUAUAGUAUAACUCAAAUAUAUUUGUAUAUAAAUAUCCAUCUUUAUCAAUGAGAAUAGUAAACCAUAUUUUUCUCUAUCUUCUUCUUUCUCUAUAUAUAUGGUAUCAAAGCCUCCAAAUCCUAAACCUAGUCUCAACUUAGAGCAAAUUUAGGGUGCAGGGUUUAGGCCCCGCCUCCCCCAACCCUUACCACAAAUGGUAGUGACCUUGUUAUGCCUAUGUAUUGUCAAUGCCUCAUUUUCUAUGGUCUUCAAUACAAUAUCUAGUUUCAAUGUCUCUUUCCUUACUAUCUCCAAUGCAAUAUAUUGAUUUCAAUAUCUCUUUACAACCAAGAGCUCCAAAUUUUCCUGGUUCAAAUCUACCAUAAUUUUUAUUCUCCUUUGCUUUUUACCAAUAUUAGUUCCCCUAAUUUAAUAUAUAUCUCUUUAUUACCUUCAACUCUACCUCUCUCUUUCUUUAAAAGCUUCCUCAAAGAUUUGAUUGCUUUCUUGCAUGUUUUGGGAAAACAAACAUGCUCAUAUUCUAUUACCUCUACUUGAGAUCUGCCUUAUACUCUACCUUCUUCUUUACCUCCUAUAUCAUCUACUACAUUAGCUUCAAAAACAUUAUUUAGUUUGAUGCUAAAUAAGGCUCCUAAUCCUACCCUUCCUUCAACUAACUUUCUUUUACAAGUCCCUCAAAGUUUUUUUUUUUUUUUUUUUGGAAAUUUGGCUUAGAAAGAUUUCAUUACUCUUACCUAAUCUUUCAACCAUCAAGUCGAAUCCACUUAUCUCUUGAAUCCAAGGAGACUACCCUCCACAAAAACAAGGAGAUUGACCCCCACAAUAACAAAGAGAUUGUCCUCCAUAGAAACAAAGAGAGCUUCCUUCAUGGAAGCCGAAUACAUCGCAAUCUAUUUUCUUUCUCUCAAGAUCAAAUCUCCAAUCGGAGCUCCAUCUUGUGGGGAUAUAUUAGAAAAAGUUAAUAUUAUCCUUAAUUUACAUAUUAGUAUUUAUCUAUAUUAUAUAUUGAAUUAGAAUAGAAUAUAGAAUUUGAAUUAAGUUUACUAUUAGUUUAAAUUACAAUAGGAAAUAGAGUUUGAAUUAUAGUAGAACUCAAAUAUAUUUAUAUAUAAAUAUCCAUCAUUAUCAAUGAGAAUAGUAUUCCAUAUUUUUCUCUUUCCCUGAGGCUUCAGAAUGUGAUCUUGAACAUUUGAUCUUUUGGAUUCUUCUUGUUUCGGUGGUUUAAUAUAAUGGAAUGUUUAAUUAUAGCCUACUUUAUCACCAUGGAUGUGCUCCUGCAGAUUUCUUGAGGGUGAUGGUUAUUUUGUCAUGUUUCUUGAAUGGUUUGCAUCAGCUGCCUGAGCUGUUGUUGCUGGUCACUUUUGCAACCAGGGAAAGAAUCAUGGCUUUGGAGAAGCCAGCUUCUGUUUUUGUUGCCCAGCUGUUAGUUCACUAAGAUUGGGGGUCCUAACAUGUAUGUAUAAUCAUAAGCAAGGAAAUUUUAUGUCUUACGCUAGAUAGGUACCAUGAUAUGAUGUUUGAUUGAUUUAUUAACUCUACCUGUUUCAAAAGGCAUCAACAUUAAUUUUACCCUUUUAACACAUUGGAUUGUUUGACCUUACGAGAUUUUCUAUUUCUGUACUAUUUGAACUGCAAUCGUUAUGGUCCUUAGGUCUCUAAACCUUCGUUUAAAAUAAAAGUAAGGAGCACACAUAGUAAAAGUUAAUUUUGGGUAACUUUUAAAACAAAGAGAAAAGUAAAAGUUGUUUUUGAGAAAAACAUAUAGAAAUUGAAAGAUUUUUUAUUUUGAGAAAAAAAAGUCAUAGAAAAGAAAUAAUAUCCCCAUAUAAGUAGAUAUGAUCUAUCCGAAGUGUAGCUACUCUCCUGGAUUUAUUCUAACAUUUUAAAAUUUUUCUCAAUGGGCAAAGGAAUAUCAAAUCAAGCUUGAGUAGGAUUAAUUUCUUAAUUUUUAAAAUAACUUAUAAUUAAAAUUUUUUGGUGUUUUCUUUUUUGGACAAUUUUUUAUGAAGACUCUGAAUCAUGCAAGAGAUAUGGUUAUUUUAAAAAAAAAAAUAAUUUAAAACUCAAAUACAUAAUCAAUGUCACAAAUUUAUAAACAAAAGGUUUUUAAAAAAUACUAUUAUUUCCCCUCUACACAUAAUUUUACUUUUCCGAUUUAUUUAUUUUUGUUGGAAAACAGUCUUCAAAUCAAGUAAAAUUAAUAUGUUAAAUUUGUUAAACAAAUAAAUUUUAAAAUACAAUUUGGAACUCAAAAAUCAAUUCAAGUAAUGCUAAAAUUCAAAAAAUCAAAUUUGGAAUAAAAUGACUUUGUAAAUUUUUUUACUAAACAAAUGAAUUUUAAAUCAAGUGAGAUUUAAUACAUUGGAUUUUUAUGAGAAUAGUAAUUUUAAAAAUUAAUUUGGAACUCAAAAAUAGACACAAUAAAUACCAAAAAUCAAUGAACCAAAAUUGGUUUGGAAUAACUCCAUAAUUUUUUAUUUAUUUAUAUAUUUAUUUUUUUGUGCACACGAAUUUCUUACUAAGCAUAUUGCUUCCAAAUUGAGAAAAAUUUACUAUUUAGAUUUUUUUAAUGAGUUUAAUGGUAUUUAAAAAUAAUUCAAAAAUUCGAAAAUUGACUAAUUUAAUAUUAUAAAUUCAUAAACCAAGACUAAUUCAAAAUGCAUUGGGGGCUAAGGGGGUUGAAAUUAAUGCUCCAUUUGGUUGUGGCCACCAAUUGGCAAUGGCCACCAAUCAACCAAUCAAGGUGGCUAAGGGGGUUGAAAAUAGGGACAAUGGGGUGGGUUUGGGACAGGACACUCAUAUCCCAUUCCCAUCCCAAUUACACAGUUAUUUCCCAUCCUUAUUCCAAACUUGUGUUGGGGCAAGUUGAUUUGUUCCCAUCUUUGUUAACGAAAUGACUAAUAACCUCAUCCUCUCCUUGUCUUAGAUGUACAUUUUCUCAAAUUUGGUCAGGUAUGAUUGAUUCAAGCCCUAACCUUAAUUGGUAAUGAGUGGAUACCACACCUAAUUGCAUUCUUCUUUCGUUGCAAAAUAAUGAGAUUAUAAUAAUCUAGCAAAUAAGAAAAAAUAGUAUGGAAGUUCAAAUUAACACCAUAACUAUCAAUAAUUUUAAGCUUAUAGAUGACUUAAAUGAUUGAAAACUAAUGCAAAAUACUAAAAAAAAAAAAAAUCAUCUAAAGAAUUCACAAGAGAAUAGAACGAACAAAACCAAAUAGGAACAUGGGUCAACAUUAGUUACAGAUUUUGAUCCCUUUCAAGGCCAAUCUUUGAACCAAGACUUCAUCAAAUCUACUACUUCAAAGGCUUUUGUGUUCUUCUUGAGUUGUACUCUGGAACAAAGACUUCGAGGUGAUGCUUUAGAUGAUUGCAUUACACAUAUUUAGGGUAGGGAGAUUGGAGAAGCUUGAAGAUGCCAACGAUGGGUACAAUUGAGUGGUCAAUAAGAACAAUGUGGCCUAUGACUAGUUUGAUGUCAUGGUAUAGGAGUUUUGGGCAUUGAGGUGAAAGCAAGAGCAACAUGGAAUUGAUUUCAAAGUCUUUCAAUUAGUGUAAAGGAGGAAGAAGAAGUGGUAUUGAUCCUAGAAAUAGUGUUUUAGGUGUUGCAUUAGAGGAAAAGAAAAAGAAAAAGAAGGAACCAUUGGAAUUAGUACGAGUGUGAAGAGAGAAGUGUAUACAUAAGGGGAAGUAAAAGCAAAGUUCUAAAAAUUUAUUUUUUUAUUGGUGGUGUAUGGUUGCAUGAUUAUCCCUAUAAAUAAUAGGAGUUUUUUGGUGUUCUACUAGUAGUUGAAGGAUAAUUUCAUAAGAUAAUAUUUAGAGCGGGGUGGGGUGAGUUGUGACAAAAUCCAUACCCGUCCCAAACAUUGGUUCAGGUUUUUAAAAUAUUUUCAAACUUAUCAUAUACCCAAUUUUAUAUUUCAUACUUGUCCUAAUAGAGACAGGUUAGUCAGGGUUACUUGAGUAGCCUACAAAACUAUCAUCCCUAGUUGAAAUGCUCUUUUUGGCAGUGGCAGCUAGAAGCUCGAUCGAUUGACCUACAAGACUAGUUGUCAUCAUUUUAAAAAGAGUUUUGGCUUUGGUUGUGAGUGCAAUUGAAUCUAAACUAACAUUUCCUUAAUGCAUCUACUUCAAUCCUAAACUUCUUACUUAAGCCUCAAUUGUUGUUAAGAUUUUGGAAAACCCAUUUCCUUAAAUUGUAAAUUUAAGAAAAAAAAAAUUAAAAGUGAGACAUUUCUUGAUUGAAUGUUGUUAAAGGUCCCUUGGAAUUAAGACUUGGUUGAAGCCUUGGAAGAUUAGCAGAACUCUCAACUUAUGUUUGAACCUUGAGGAGAGUGGACGUAGGCCAAAAUUUUGUCAAACCAUUAUACAAAUUGAGUUUGAAUUCUCAUUUCUUGAUUUCUUAUUUAUUUGCUUUUUCUUAUUAUUACUUGAAUUGUCAUUUGCAUUCAUUAAUGUUAAAAUUGGUUAUAAUUAGCCAACACUAAUUCUCUUUCCCCUUCCCUUAAUUUCUUGGGUGUAAACCUAGGUUGGAUUAACUAGAUUUUAUCAAAUCUAUUAAGAUGGUAAAAGAAUAAUUAUUCUUAACAUACAUAAGAUCAUCUUCAAUCAAAUGACUCAUUGGCUGAUAUGUUGAAUUUGCUUAUUACUUGCAACUCAAAAUUGUGUUCUAGUUGAUAUGUCAAGUCCUGAGUGUAUGGACAUUAAAUUUGUAGUACGUGAUGAGUAUUUAGAUGGUCCAAUUCCAAGAAAGUGAUUGAAAACUAGUUCAAGAAAGGUGCAAAAGGGAAUUGUUUUGGUAUUUUCGUUUUUAUUCUUGAAGGUGGCAGAGCUAAAAUUUGAGAAAUCAAGCAAAACAUACUGAAAUUACAUUGAAAGAAAGAAAAUGGGAGUUAAUGUCUUGCAGUACAUGAUAAGGACUUCAUGCAUGUAGUGUGACCCAUGUCUUGGACUGAUGCCACACUCACGGUUACACUUAUACCCUUAGUUCUCUCUUUACUACCUUAGCUAACCUAGAUCAGGUUAUGAGAUAGGCACCUCACCACACCAUUACUUGCCCAUUAAUUAGUGACAUUUUCAAGCAAUGAGGUAACAUGGUGACACCAAGAGGGUAUAUUCCUCACCCCCAACAAGCCUAGACCUGGUCUAAAAAAAAUGGAGAAAAAUGACGUGUUGUUAUGCAGAAAUAUAGCAACCAUGCCUUCCUCAUUACUUAGAUUCAGAAUGUGAAGGUGAAAUUGAGAAACAGAAACUCUUGAAACCAAAAUGAAAAUUGAUACUUUUACGAAGAAUUACAACAACAUUAGAGGAAGACUACAUUCUUCCUCUUUAUUCCUACAUUUCUACACUACUUCUACUCCACUCCAUAUUUCUACAUACAUCUUUAAUCAGUCUUCCCUCCUUUAUAUAGAGCCAUCUUCACACAAAUUCCGCAAGGUAGAAAAGAGGAAUGAAACUUGGAGCAAGGUUCGACUACUGGCUGUAGCUUGUCAAGGCUGAAAGUGAACUUUUUUUCUUGGCUUUUCUGGGCAUAGGUAGUAACUUGUAGGUUCCUUUUUGGAAUGAAAAUGGUACGGCUAGAACAUGUGGCACUCUCUUGUUGGAUGAUGUGUCAAGCAUGUGGCAGCCAUCUAGUGGAGAUUAUGUCAAUUUUGGGAUGGAGAGUUGGCAUCCAAUUGCAAAGAAAUAUGACAUCUACCAACAUGCAAUGUCAACCUAUGUAGAUCAUAUGAAGAUAGAGAGGAAAAAUAUAGAAAUGGAUAUAUAACUAGAACUAGCUUUUUAUUAAAUGAGACGGAGAGCCAACAAUGAAGGAAAAUCAAAAUUUUUGGCUCAUAUCAAAGAAUUCACAUUGUGUUACCCUAGGUUUUCUUAAAACUUACUUUUAUGAUAAUAAAAAAUCAUUAUUGUUUAAUCCUUUGUUUUAAACGCAUGUUUAGCAGGUUGUAAAAUGUAAAUAUCUUUCGAAAUUCAAAUAUGAAGAUAUGACAUCAUUUCAAGCAAUAUAGUCUCUAGGAAUUAAUGUAAAGCUAAAUUAAGGUGCAAUUAAGUUAGUUCAAUGCAUUAUUUUAAGAAACUUGACCUAUCAAAACCUUGUCUUACUUCAAAGCCUCUUUUUCUUUUCUUCCAACUAACAUUUUAAUAAGUGAUCGCAAAAGUACAAAAUUAGAUGAAAUCCAUUUCAAUGGUUAAAAUGAUCAAAUUCAAACUUUUUCUAAGUAUCUUUUAAAAGCAUCAAUAUUGAAAGACAAUUUUAUAUUUAGUCAAAGCUUGGACAGAGCCAAAAAGCACACAAAAAUUUAUAUUUUCUAGCUCUCUACCUUGGAUGGUCUCUUGAUCCUACUUGGAGAUGUGCAUAAAUAAAAGGAUUUGAAAAUGACAAUUGACUAAGUAUGUAGUCAAUCAAUUACUCAUUGAUUGACUAGUUGAUCAAUUAACUUUGCAACAUCAUAUGCAAUCCUAAUAGCUAGUCAUCUAAUCAACUAGGUAGUAAAUCAAUAGGCCAAAAAUAUGUUUAUAAUGACUAUUUUGUACAAAAACCACUUAUAUAGUUAAAUAUAAUGCAUUUCAUUUAUAAAUCUUCUAAUUCUUGAAUAACAAUCCUAUCAUCCUUUGAAAGUUUUUAUUACACCUUUUCUACAUUUGUUCUAAAACUUAUACAUCACCCUUAAUUGUACCAUGAGAACCUAGCAUUUUUUUUUUUUUUUUUGUAUUUCAUCAAAGUUAGCUCUUGUACUCAUUGUUGUAUUAUUUUUAUUGUAACUUAGAGAGCGAGUGUUUUCAAGUGAGUGAAAUUGACUUGUAAAUAUUGUAAAGAUUCAUUGAUAUGUAUCUCAAACUAGGUGUACAAGUUGAAACAUUUGCUAGUAGAUUUUCUCAAGAUUUAGAAUGAGCUUAAGGCUAUCGAAUUAGGUGGGGUUGCGCCAAACCAUAUCACAUCGUUGUUUGCACCUUUUUUUUCACUCUCUUUUACUUAGUUGCUCUAUAUAUAUUGUCUAGCAAUAUCCUAAAGGCUUGAUGGGCUAGGGAGCAUCCCUCUGAAUGAAAAAUUUUCAUUCAAUUCUUAGUUGUAUUACGCAUAUAUAAAAUGCCUCAUUGUUUUAAUGGUAUUCAGUCGUGGCACCACAGAUAUGGACAUCUAAAUUUUAAAAGUUUGAAACUUUUAGCUAAAGAAAAUAUGGUGCUUUGCCUUUUUGGAAAGCAUGUUGAUGAAAUCCAUGAGAAUUGUAUACUUGGAGAGCAACAUCGAGAUAACUUUUUUUUUUUCUUUUUUUAUAAUGCAUUGUUUGUCCAAAUUCCGUACAAAUUAGGCCACCACAUGUUCAUAAUUCUCCCUUCUUGAAUUUGAAAACUCGGACAAUUUGACAAUGCGACACCUAAGUCCGGUUUUUAAAUGCUAAAGUGAAAGGGCAGGUAUGGACCAUUGAAAUGUGAUAACAACUUUUGGCCUUUUCCUUUUCUCUGUAGCCAUGUUGUCUCUUUUUAAUUUCUUUUGCAUGAUUUUCUUACCUAAACAGAAUCAUAGACUUGUUUAAUCUCUAAGUGGGAUUUCAUCCACCUUAAGCUACUGUAUUAUAUCUCGGUGGAGGACAACCGACAUAGAGCACAUGCAAGUGGGUAUAUGGGACAUGAAAUAUCUUCUUAUAAAGCUUGUUUUGCAGUUAAAUUAAUUGGAUAAGUAGACACUGGCGUUUCUAAAUUUCCCACCUAAGAUAAUGACCUUAUCCUUGACUGCUAGAUACACAAACAAUUAUACCUUCAAAAUCUACUGUGAAGUGCUUCAUGUAUGUGUGAAGUAUUAGAAAUUUCUUUCUUGGCAACUUGUUUUUUUCUUUGCGGUCUACUGAUAGGUUUGACUAAAAUUAUAUUCCCUGUCCUGCUAAUUAAUUUUCACGUGCAUGCUCAAAAGAAGAGUAUGACCUUAGUGCACCAAAAUCACUUUCAAUAAUUUGUGAUAAGUUUUUUUGCAUGACAUUAACCUUAUUCAUUUAGAUAAUGUUUAGUUCUCAUAAAUAUUAAGAAAAUGAAAAUAAAUAUUAAGAAAAAUAUUCUUAUAUUUGAUUGUAUUAUGAAAAAUAUCAUAAAAAAUCAAAUAUAAUUAAAAUUAAUUAAUAAUUUAUAUAUUUUAAAAUUAUUUAAUUUUUAUAUUAAAGAUAUAAUAUAAAUGAAAUGAGUUUUAAGUAUUAUAUAAAAAUGAUUUAUUUAUUUAUUUAUAUAUAUAUAUAUAUAUAUAUUUAGUUUUUCUCUUUAUUUUAUUUUCCUUAUGUUUUCCUCACAUUUUCCGGAAUCAAAGAUAGGGAAAUCCACAAUUACCUUCAACUGAGUAGAUUCUAUUGUUUUAGCAAUGUUAGGCUGCUAACUUGUGGUGGUACGAACCAAAUGAUCCAUGUUAAUCUUGGCUUGAUUUAAUUUGGCUCUAUCUCAGAGAACUCAAGGAUCACGUCAACUCUGGUUUCUACUAUUCAGGUCCAUUCCCAGAUGAACUGGUUCAAAUUUGAGAAAAUGGUAACAGACCUUUAGUGAUAUUGGUUUGGAGCCAGUUGCCAAACCUGCCCUGAGCUUUACCACUAAUGUCAAGGGACAAAGCCAUUUGAACAAAAACAAUAGCUUCAAGAGACUGAAUCGUGGAUGAAAUCUGAUCCACAUUUCUUCUCAUUUUGGGAAAAAAUGAGGACUUAACCACAAAGAUUCUACUGCCUCAUAGUGCUUUUCCUGAUCUAAGGUUGGCUCGUUUCCCAAAUUGUGAGGUGCACGUGCCACUCUCACGCUCAGGAGUGUAUCCACGUGGUGGACAUAAGAUGGUGGCUUAAUAUCUGGUGUCGGUGGCUUUACUUUACUAGGAGAGUAGUGUGUCUUCAUCUCAUUCACUGCCAGAGGGUGGCGUAAGCAGUGACGCUAAGGUGGGGCACAGUCAAUAUCAUUUGCAUUUGACCAUUAUAAUUUUCUCCCGGCUUUAAAGUAACCUUAUCGUGAUAAUGGAUUACUAGCACUAGUUCAGAUGACAGUCAUGUUAAAUUCGGACCAUGUUUGUGUCACAUUAUCAGCAACCAUGUGCUUGUGGUUCAUGCUAUCUGCAACUAAACUUGAUAUAUAACCAGGUGAACUUCAAUCUAAAUUCUGGAAGUACUCAUGUGAUAGAUGGUGCCUGUCUGCAGUGAGUGUAUCUAUAAGAGGGAAGGCUUGGCAAAUGUUCAGUUUUCUGGGAAUUCAACAGGGAUCUAAAAUAGAUUGUUUUCUUUGCUGAUUUCAAUGGUUGAAAUUUGAGAAGAUUGUGUCCACAUAACACAACUAUUACUGGUCCUUCUGUUGCAAUUUAUCCUCUAAGGCUCUAACAUGUCUUCCAAUUCCCACUUCCCACUUCCCUGUUACUCCAGGAAAGCUGUUUCUGUCAUUGUGAAGAAGAAAAGAGACUGUACAUAUCGAUGCUUUUAAGUGGACUGGAGAAUUCAUAUCAGGUGGUCUGCAGCCAUACAUGCCACUUUGUGAAGGUUGGAACAGUCAAUCACUAGGCUAUAUUAGUGGGGCCCAGCCACUUCAAUCAAGGACAAGUCUUCAUACUUAAAGUCAAAUUCUGCCUUUAGUCUCAUUAUAAAUUGCUGUUUAAAUAUCAAGCAAACAUUUGUUUAAUGCGAUUAAGACAGCACUAACUCAAUACUUGUUCUAUUUUUGGAUGCAAAUGCUUGAUAGUUUCAUCAUUGGAGGGGAUAAAGGUGCAUUCAUGAUUAUGAAUACUUGUAGUUAUAUUUUCAUUCUCUUUUUUCUCAAUGGGACUUGUUGGCACAAUUUUGCUGUUCAGAAACCUACCUCUCCAUGGAAAAUCAGUUGUGAUUGAUAUUACUGGAUAUAUUCAAGAAAGCUAAAUGUAGAUAGCACAAAAUAUUAUCGACAUAAAUAGCAUUAACAGCGUACGUAUGUCUCAAUGCUCAUCAGCUAUAAGCAAGGGGCAAACACUUACUAUGAGCAACUUACGUCAAAAUUCCGGAAUAGGACAUAGAAGUGACAGGUCAGUAAAUAUAGAACACUGCAUAUGAGUCACAAGAAAGGAAAUUACGGGUACAUAGCAGCUCUUAUUUUACAUCCUACUCAUACUGAUCAAAGUCACUCAGUUGGGAUGGGUGGGAGUGGGAGGUUUGUGGGGUGGCUUGUGCGGAGGAGUUGGCAGCUUCUUUCCAGGACCUGGUUGCUUCUCUGCUGGAGUUGAAGGAGGCUUAAUCUUCCGAGGUGGCUUGUAUGAGUCUUCAGCAUUCUCAGCAGGAGGGUGACCAGGGUUGUGACCACAAUGUGGUGGCUUCUCUCCCUUAGGUGGUUUGCCAACUGGGGUUGGUGGCUUGUGUUCCGGAAGUGGCUUCUCUUUGUGUUCAGGAGGUGGCUUCUCCACUGGAGGCUUGUGUUCAGGAGGUGGCUUCUCCACCGGAGGCUUGUGUUCAGGAGGUGGCUUCUCCACCGGAGGCUUGUGUUCAGGAGGUGGCUUCUCCACCGGAGGCUUAUGCUCUGGUGGUGGCUUCUCCACCGGAGGCUUAUGCUCUGGUGGUGGCUUCUCCACCGGAGGCUUAUGCAAUGGUGGUGGCUUCUCCACCGGAGGCUUGUGUUCAGGAGGUGGCUUCUCUACCGGAGGCUUAUGCUCUGGUGGUGGCUUCUCCACCGGAGGCUUAUGCUCUGGUGGUGGCUUCUCCACCGGAGGCUUGUGUUCAGGAGGUGGCUUCUCCACCGGAGGCUUGUGUUCAGGAGGUGGCUUCUCCACCGGAGGCUUGUGCUCUGGUGGUGGCUUCUCCACCGGAGGCUUAUGCUCUGGUGGUGGCUUCUCCACCGGAGGCUUGUGUUCAGGAGGUGGCUUCUCCACCGGAGGCUUAUGCUCUGGUGGUGGCUUCUCCACCGGAGGCUUGUGUUCAGGAGGUGGCUUCUCCACCGGAGGCUUAUGCUCUGGUGGUGGCUUCUCCACAGGAGGCUUGUGUUCAGGAGGUGGCUUCUCCACCGGAGGCUUAUGCUCUGGUGGUGGCUUCUCGAAUGGGGGAUGCGUAGGGUAAUCAGCUAGUGAGGGGGCGGUGAGAACCACCAGGCCAAGCAACACUACUAGCAAGUAUGUAGGAGACAUCUUUGGGUUUGGGCUCAGAUGGUGCAAAACUAGGAGAAUUGGCUAGCCUUUUAUAGCGGAUCGUACCCAAUAAUGAAAUGACACGUGUCAUUAUGACCCAUGUGUCAUGUGGUCGAUUUGGGUCCUACAGUGUUGAAAACUUCGACAUCCACUUUUUUGGCCUUUUGCUUUCUCUACAGUCGCCUUGCUUUUUCCCUCUUUUCUUUUGUUUUCCUCCUGCCCCAUUCUAUCAACUAAUCACAAUUAUGUAGUUGUUUAAUUCUUAAAUGAGAUAUUAUCCGUCAAUCAUAUUAUCUUUUAUCAAGAGAGAACGGAGUGAAAAGUGGCAAUCCAAAGAAAGAAGAUCCAUAAUGCAGCUGUAAUUUUAUCGUUUACUUUUAUCUCUAGGACCACUGCAUUUUUGUUGAGAGGUGCAAUAAUACACGUCUUUAUCUGCCAUUCAAUGUUUACAGUAAAGAGAGGGCACAAAACUCUUCACUGCUCUGCAUGUGCCCCAAAAAUGCAAUUGGACAAAUUAUGAUUUGCAUGCUAAAAAGAGGCAAAUGAGGUUAAUUAGCACCAAAAUUAUUUUGUUUUCUGGACACCCCGGGGCCCUUUGGUUGGUUUGGGGGUCAGAAAAUGAACAUCAUAGGGGGUUUUUCCCUAAUGUGCAUUUGCAUUUGUAUCUGAUGGCUUUAACUCGCCUUGUUACUACAAAGAAAUUGUCACAGAUAGGAACUUAUUCCAGGCUGAGUAUCUCCGCAUGGACCCUAUAAAAGAAGACAAGUCAUAAUGAACAUCUAACCUUUGUUCAAUUUGAUUCAAUGCCCCUAUUGUGUCCAUCUCACAAAUCUGAAUUAUUAUAUCCAUUGAAUACAUAAAUUAAUGAAGAAAAUAUGAAACCCAAGAUACAUCUCUGCACAACCUCAACCCUGGUUGCUAUGUUUCACUUCUAUUCACAUGAGGAUAUUGAUUACGGAAUAAGGAAACCUAGCAAGGGUUUACUCGGCUCUGGUUUGAUGCUAAUUGCCAAACUUGCAACAAGCCCUGAGUUUGACACCUAAUCGAUGGGCGAAUUAAAAGUCUCCUCCAAACAUAUAUUCCACAGCUUGAAGCUCACAGAAGAUGCUAUACAGGCAGGGAAAAACCUUCAGAGUUAGCUACCAAAGAUAAUUAUCAAGGAGAUAUCACCAAGAGAAUUCCAUGGAGUCUGAAUCAAAGACAAAUUGCUCGCUCGUGGGGGUUCUUACUUAAUUUCUUUUGGGUAUAACUCACUGAGGGCACUGGCUUUGUUAUUUGCAUUUCGCAUUUAGAGUUCUGUUCUGGAAGGUUUGUUCUGGAAACAUAUAAAAGGAGCAUCAUUUUGUUCUAGGGUAACCCAUAGUUGUGAGUGGGUCCAUUUGCAUGCUACUUAGUUGAAAAGUUGGACAAUUUGCUCCGACGCCUACCUCCUGGAUUCCAUGCUCGGAUAAAGCAAGAAUAAUAAAAUAUUUAUAAUUUACAAAUGGGGGAAAGAAAAAAAUGUCAACAACAAACUAGGAAAAAAGAGUAGUAAAAUUUAUGCCACAUGCUAUUGAUAGAAGGGGCAUGUAUUAGAUCCAUCACCAUUUGGUAAGAUUUUAGUAUUAUAUUUUUCAAGGUUCAUUAUUUGAGGGUGUGUUCUUCAUCUCUGUUGCAUUGCUUCUUACUAGGCCCACUGAGGUGGGUUCUUCACCUUUUGUAUAUUCUCUGCACUAGAUCAAUGAGAAAGGGGGAAUUUUGGUGAAUUUGCAGCCGUUGGAUGAUUGAUUCUAGGCUCAGUCCACCAAUGAUGCUCUCUUCACUCUUUCUCAUCUAGUGUCAUUCACAACUAUGUUUUGAUUCAUAUUUGUACUAUCAAAGAUAUCUCAUUAUUCUAGCUCAUUAGGUAGAGUUCCUAAUCUUCCUCCUUUUUGGUCUAUGGACAGUAUUGGCUUCAUAUUAAGAUCAUGUUUCAAUAAUUGCACAUUAAUGAAUGGAUCAUGACCCACAUAAACAGAGUCAGGGUUGAGUCAGUGAACCCUAAAAUUUCACAAUUCUAAAUUUGGGUUCUUUAACAAUGCAGGGUCAAGGACGCGUGGUGAUGAAGGAAAGCUGGUAAGCUCAGUGUUACUUCAAUUCCUGCCAUGUAGGAUGGUGAGGAGAUAUUCACUAUGCAAUUAAUAAUAGACAAUAUUCACUAUGCAAUAAUAAAGCAUAAAUUAAGUUGAAUGAAAAGCAUUUUCUUUGCAAGGAGUUGAUUUUGGUUUCAUAGUUUGUUCAACUGCUAUUUUGGAUAGGAAAGUGUGAGGAGAAGAAAAUAAAAAAUAAAAAUAAAACAAAAAAUAAAAAAUAGAUUUUAUAAAUUCAUUUAAUUUAUUUUUUUUUUAUAAAAAUUAACUAAUUUAAAAUAUAUGUAAAUUUCUAAUUAAUUUAAUUACAUUUUUUUUUUCAGUUUUUCAUAAUAAACCAAAUAUUAGAAAAUUAUUUUUAUUAAGACACCCAAGAUGAGGUAAUAUGCAAUGAAAACAUGAAUUAUAUUAAAAUUCAAAACAAAUUAAGAGAAAUCGGAAAAUAUACAUAGAUAUCUAAACAAAGAAAUUUAAAGAGAAGGAACCACAAACUUUAUUUACAUAAUUUGAAAAUAAAAAACAUAAAACAUACUUAUAGUAAGGAGAAAUUGAAUAUCUUACAAUGGAAGAAGGGAGAAAAGCUUUGAAGAAAGCUUUUGCUUGGAAGCUUACAUGGUGAGAGGUAGAGAAAGGAGAGAGAGAGAAGAAAAUGAAAAAUGAGAAGUGGAGAAAAUUGGAAGUUUUGUGUGCUUACAACUGAGGAUAGAGCCUCCUUAAAUAGCAAAAAAUGGAAUAUUAAAUAGUACCAAUCAGGAGACAAAAUAUUGUUUGCUUUUGAAACCCGUGCAUGAAUAGUAAUCCCGUGAGUGAAUAGUGAAUAAUAAAAGUGAAUAGUAAAAGUCACUUUCUACUAUAGCACUUUAGACUUUUUCAUCGAGAAUCUUACUUUCGGCUGAGUGAUGAUAGCUGAUAGGUUGCUUUGGAUUGUGGAGUCAUAUGUUUGAUGUUUUCGGUGCUGAAACCGCUUAGUUGGAGAAUAAUCUCGUCAGUAGAGCAUCAUGAGAAGCUUGAAUGGAGAGAGCUUAAUGAUGCCAUAUGAUUGGAAGGAAUCCUAUUUUAAUUUCCUUAUUGGAGGGAGAAUACCCUCACAAUCAUCUUCAUUAUCUUGAAGGUAGUUUGAUAUAGAGUCAUCUGACUCAGCAUAAGAGUCCUCUUGGGAGAAGCUUGAACUGCUUUUGUCAAGGAUUUUCUGAAAUUCUUGAGGGGUUUUUGCUAUUGCUAACAUGGUUUGGAGUUGCUGUUUCUUAAGAAGAAACUGUGCAAUAUCAUAAGAUGAUGAAGCUUGUGUAGGAUGCUUUAGGAAAUAUUGCUUUAUUGCUUGUAGUGAGGUAUCAUUUUUCAAGGCAUCCCACCACUUAGACUUGAAAGUCCUUCCAAGGGUUGGAAAGGCUGCUGAUUCAUCUGCUAUAAUGAUAUAAUCCCACUGGACUAUCCAGGCAAGGCCAAAUUCACUAAAAAAGAAUAAUAAUUGGGGAAAACUGAAAGUUCUCUAGGGAUAACAAAAGAACUUUGGAAUAGCUCAAAGCCAUCCAAAAUGGGUUUUGGGAGAAUUUUAAUAGUUGGACCAAAAUAUGUCCACCAAUUGUGGAACCAAAAUGGAAAAGAGGGGAGUUGAUGCUUAGAUGGGAAAUAGAACAUCCCUGAAUGAUGGAAGUCCUUGUUCUGGAUCAGAAAAGCAUUGAACCAUACUCUUUGGUAGUCUCAAUAAUUGAAAAUUUUAGGUUUUGAAGGCUUAGAAAAUUCUCUUGAAAAAUUAGGAUUCCCACCCCACUGCUUAACUGUAAGGAUUUUAUAAAUAUGGUAAGUGGAGAAUGCCAAAUCCAAAUUGCUGAAUUUAUCAGCAUUGUGCUUGAUUUUAACAGAGCCGGUUUCCAUAAGGAUUGCUUCAUAAAAUUCUCUUGUUUUUAAAAGAUCACCAAAGGGAUAAUGAAAAUUUUCAUGAAAAGCUUUUGCUGCAAUAUCUCUAGGGUUUUUAGAGAAAAACUCUUUUUCAAUAACCAAAAGAGGUUGAUUUAAAUCUUUUUGCCAAUAUCUUGCUUUUGCUGAAAGAGGUGUGGGGUUGGCUACCACCACAAUUUGCUUAUUUGAAAAAGAAGAGCUUGAUGCUAAUUCAUUUUGAGAGGGAUUAGCUUUAGUAACCUGCUUAAAGGUCUGAGACACAGUAAUAGUUGGAUACUGAGUAGCCUUGACUGGUUUAGAAGGAUUCGAAGGAUCAUAGUACAAGGACAAAAUCUUAUUAGGCAUAUGGUCAGAAGAAUGAAGCCUUGCUUCUUCUUCUAGCUCAACUUGUUGGCUCCAAAGUAUUUUAUGGGGAGAAGGUUCUUUGCUGGUUUUAGAAGACUAGGAUUCUGGAAGUUUAGGAGCUUGGGUAUUCUUUUUAGGGGCCAUGGUUUCGUGAAUCCUGUAAAAUUCACAAGUUAAGAAAUCAGGGCUCGAAGAAUGUUCUCCUUUAAUAUACUCAAUUUGUAAAUUAAAAUUGCUUAAAAUAGCUUGAUAUAUAGCAAAAAUAUGCUUAGAAGUUAUAUUCUUAACAUCCUUUUGUAAAACUAAUUUUGCAAAUUUACAAUCAACUCUUAAUAAAAACUUUUGAUUCAAAAGAUCAUCUUGAAAUUUUGAAAUGCAUAAAACAACGCUUAAAGUCUCUUUUUUAAUGAUGUUAUGAAUGAGUUGGGUAGUAUUCCAGGUUCUUGAAGUAUACCUAACUAACAUCUCAAGGUUACCAACACUUUGCUUAAGAAUCCCACCAUAACCUAUGUCUGAGGUAUCGAUCCCAACAAACUCAAAGGUUUCUGGAUUGAUAGAGCCUAAACAUGGUAGGGUCUUGACUUUGGACUUAACAUCAAUAAUGAAAACAAUGGUGAAAACAGAAAACUGGUUAAAGUUUUCAUCCAUUAUAUUCUGGAAUUCUGAGGUGCAUUCUUAAGAUCAAAGGGCAUUAUGAACCAUUCAUAAUGUCCAAGAGAUACCACAAAGGUGGUCUUAUUUGGAAUAGGACACCUAAUCCAACUUAAUGUAUCAUUAAGAGGCAUGUAGUUGACGACUAGUCUAGGUGUUCCUUUUUCUGAUUCAACUUGUUCCUGAACAUAGAAGGUUGAACAACUCCAAAGGGACUUAGACUUCCUUAUCAACUUUUUAUCAAGAAGAUCCCAAAUCUCCUUAUCACAAUAGCUUAACAAACCCUUGUUCAUCUGGAUAGGUCUUGAUUUAGUGGGAAUAUUCUUGUCACUAAAGUCUAGUUCAUAAGGUAAUUCUACCUCAUGUUGUUUCCUAUGCCAAAAUGCAUUAGGAAUGUUAGAGCAAACUUCUUCAACAAUCAGAUUAAUUUCUUGCUCAUGACUUUCCUUAGCUUGAAUCACCUGAUCCCUUAAGGUGUUUAUAUUUUUCUUAUUAGGUGGUUGGCAAAUUCAAAAAUAAUUUCCUUAUCUAAGAGCUUUGUUCUUAUACUUUGGUCAUCUACCCACAUGGGAUAGAUGGAGCUUAAAAAGGGGAUUCCAAGGAGAGCUUUCUCCUUAAGAUCCUUAACUAGAAUGAAGGUUUGCUUGAUGCAAAUGCCUUGGUUAUUUAUGUGAGCAUCUGACAGCUUAUACUCAAUGUCAAGCCUUUUACCAUUAGCUCCAAAGAGAGAUUCUUUGGUUUUCUUACAAAACUUAAUAGGACCUAGACCUUCUUGUAGGCAAUUCAAAGCUGUUCCUGAAUCAAUCAAAGCAACAAUAUCAAUGACAAAUUUACUCUUAAUUACUAUAGUAAGGGAGACUUUCCACCUCUGGAAAAUAACCCUACUAACAGUAUUUAAGUAUCCAUCCGUCUUUUCAUCAUUAGCAUGUGAAGAUUCUAGAACCUCUUCAAGGUUUUCCUAGUUAUCAACAAGAUUUUCUAUAACAAUCCUAUUUAUUUGUUCUUGGAGAUCUGAAAAACCUAAGCUUGUGUAUUGUCUUAAAUCUUUAAUUUCCUUCUUAUACUGUCUUACUUCUUCUUGAAGAUCCUUAAUGGUUACGUCUUUGGUAGACUACUGGUUAAAUCUUCCUAAGAUUUCAUUUAAGUUAUAAGAAUUUACUGUCUUCUUAAUCUCUUGCUUAUCGACAAAUUUCUUAAAAACUUCAUAAAGAUCUUGUUUAGUUUUUUCAUCUUCAACUUUCCUUAAAACAUCUAGGACAAGUUCUUGAUCUUGGCUUAUGACAUUUAUAGUCUUAGGUUGGCAAUCACAAUUAUCCUUAAUGUAUUCUUCUUGGUCACUAGAAGUUUGGCUUGAGAUUUCCUCACCACUACUAUCUAGUUGGUUAAUACCAUUUUCAUUAUCUGAAUCAAUCCUUGAUUCAGACUCUGUGGAAUUUAACAUUACUUUACAAAGCAUAUCUUUUAAGUCUUCUGUGACAUUUAAGUUAUUAAUUUUCUGCUUAACCCUACAAUCUUUCUUAUAGUGGCCUAUCUUACCACACUUAAAACAAACUGGCUUAGAUUGUGAAGGAGCUUCUAGCUUUUUAUGGGCUUCUUUGUUCAUCAUUCUUUGGAUGUGCCUUUGUUUCUUAGUUUCAUUCAUCCUAUAGUUGCCAUGAGUUCCUCUCUUGUUGUGAUAGGACUUUUCCUUACUAGGCUUUGUACUUACUUGUUUCUUACGUUGCUUAGAGGGGGGCUUAGUUUCUUUUUGGUUGAAUCCAAACUAGCUACAAAAUGAACCAAACUCAUUCUUGUAGAUCCUUUGUUCAUUUUUCAUCUGUUGCUUAAGCUUAAAGUCAUUGCACAGUUUAAUUGCUUCUGAUGUGACAAUGCUUAUAAUUUCUCCAUAAGAAAGCUUAUCAUAAGGGAUUUGUCCAUUAAACUGUUCCCUUAUCUUAAUCCUAAUCCUCUCAGAGAAAAGUCUAGGUAGUCCUAAGAUGAAUUUUUCUUUCCAAAAAGACUGGUUAUAGUUUGAUCUUAGUAUGACUUUGGUUAGGAAAACUUCUCUAUACCAUCUAAAGUCAUGAAGCUUGGGACACUUAAGGUUGGUUAAGAGAUCUACAAUCUUAUCCUUAAUCUUUGCAGGAUCUCCAAUGAAGUGCUUUGAAAUUGAAUAGAUUAGAGUAGCCACUACAUCCUCUAUAUCUUGUCCAUCUUCAUCCUUAACCACUUCAUUUUCCUCAUUAAUCCUAUAGGCUUUUAGGAUACCAUUUCUAUCCUCAAAGGUGAGAUAAUUAUCCCACCAACCCUAAAGUUGACCUGUAAACCCAACAACAAUUGUUUGAGCUACAGCAUGGCCUGACAAUCUAUUGUUUAACUUAUAGGUUGUACUAACCAUGGUCAUUUCUUGAAGCUUAGUGAGUAUGUUGUACUCAAUCAUACCAUCUAUGUUCCAUUCAUAGAUAGUGUCACUAGUGUAGGAAGCUUGAGUAUGCUGGUUUCUUUCCUCAUACUACAUAUCAGGAAAAGUUGGUCUAGGGUAGUAAUUCCUAGUUCUUGGUUGUUGAUAAUCCUCAUAACUGUUUGGUUAGGAGGUUCCUUAAAAAUCUUAAUUAGUUCAUCAGCCUCUGCUUCAGAACUAAUUUCUCCUUUAACCAUAUUGAUUCUCUUGUGAGAUGGUUGAGGUGUCUCAGAGACAACAAGGCUAUCCUUAACCUUUUGGCUUAUCCUAUCAAUGAGGGCUUGAUCAAUAUGGAGAUUCUCUAGGAAUUUCUUAGAGAAUUCAAAAGGCUUAAAUAAAGACUUAUUAUCUUUCUUAACAAACGUAGUCUUAAUGUAGUCUUGUGUUUCAAUGAUAUCCUCAAACUUGUUGAGUUGAUCGCCUGUAGUCUUAAGAAACAUGUUAGUGUAGUUGUUUUGUUCCAUGAUUCUUCUAACGUCAACAACACUAUCAAUUCCUUUAUUCUUUGGCCUAGUCUUAAAAGGUGAAGCUUUGACUAUGGUUCAAUUAAUGUUCUUUUAUAUCUUAGCUUCUAGAGGGUGGAUGGAUUCUAUGAUAGUAUCGUCACUAGUUUUCCAUAUCUUAGUUUUUUUGGAUGUGUCAUUGACACGCUUACUAGGGUAAUCUAGAUAUUCCUCUUGUUUGAAGAGUUCAAACCAGAUCCAAUACUUAAUGUUCUUCUUUUCUUGUCUUAAGUAUGUGUAGAAUUCUUCUUGGUAGAGGGUUCUAAUGUCUUUAAGGACCUUGCUAAAGAACCAAACUCUCCUUUUCUUAUUGACUUCAGAAUAGAAGUCUUUCCUUAAGAGGUCCUUGUUGAUUCAAAGUCUUCGUUAAUUAGGCUUACAGUGUUAAUCAACUGAGAAUAAGUAGGAGACAUAUCAGGAGAUUCGUCCUGAUGUGAUUCUUGAGUAAACUCAUUUUCCUCCAUGUAAAAGGGUUUGGCCACGUUGGUGUGACUUCUAACACCUGUUAGCUUAAUAUUCUUAGGAUUUGCUGAACUAGAUCCUUCCUCUAUCCUAGUGGUUCUUAUUGGGAUAGAUGAACUUGAAGCUCUAGAGGGCUCAUAAUAUGAAAUUCUAAGGCUGCUAGAAUGAUGAAAAGAGUUGGAGAAAAUUAGAUCUCGUUCUCCAUCAGGAUAUUGAACAAUCUGUUCAAUUCUUUCAGAUCUUUGCUCUAUGGCUGGGACAACAUUAGCAAAAUGCCAAUUUUCUGGAAACUCAACCUCAUUCCACUUGAUUUUCAUGGGGACUAUGAAAUUAGACUUGUUUAUCAUAUCUAAGUGGAAGAUAGUGGUUUCACCCUUGGGACUGGUGCACAAUGCUCCAAAUCCAACGCUUAUGGUCAUGCUCUUAUAGGCAAAUCUGGUGAUGAUGGAAACAUGAUUGUUUCCUUGCUUGAACUUAAAGUCAUGGGUCUUAACAUGAAGGACAACUGAAUCUAAGAUGUUGACAUCUCUUAGUCUAACUGUGAAGUUAGGGAAACACUGGAAAUAAACAGGACCAUCAUUUAAUCCUGCUUGGGUAGCUCCAAUAAUAGAAUCUCGGUAAUCAAGAUGUCUAUUAUCUCUUAAACACAUGACAAUAAAGGUGUUUAGACCUAGUCUUGUCAAGGGCUUAGCUGCAACUUGAAUCAUGCCAAAGUGUAUGAAGUUGUAGUCUCGCUUAUGCUUAUCAAUGGACUUACUAUCCAAGAGUCUUAUGACUUGAUCGUCGUGUUCUAAACUUACUGACAUUUCAGGGGUUUUAAUGGUGUAAUCUGUAAAGAACUUAAAGGUUCCUUUCUUAUAAAUUUCUUGAUUAGGUACCUUGGGUAACUUCCAAUCAUCUAAAUCAUCUUGGAUCUUAGGAUAAUUGAUCUCUUCAUUGUUUACUCUUGAGAAUUUGUGGAUUUCCUAGACAUGGUUCUGAAAAUCAAACUCAUUUUAAGGUUUUAAUCUAGAGCCUAAUAGCAGAUUAACAGACCUAGUGAGUAAUCACCCCAACCCUUUUCCAACCUUAACAAACGCCUAUCUCCAGCUAACAAUGGGCUCAACUCGGCAAGGAUCGCACUCAGGCACACUACUAUCUUUCCUAGGAUAGAUCAAAACACCCAAAACAAACCCGACUUCCUUUUCCUAGGAUAUAUAUAGUAUUUUGGGUUUGAGUAGGAGUUCAUGUUUUGUAUGUAAUUGUAGUCUACGUUGGACUAGGUUGUUUGCUCCUAAUUGAAAUAGGAAUGGUUGGUGUCACAUCUCAUUCAUUUUCUCAUCUAUUUCCAUGUUUAGAUAACUCAAGUAAUCAUAGGAAUGAAAUUAAGAAUGAUUUGAGGGAAAUGAAAUCUCACUUGUAAGUGGGAUCUCAAUUCAUCAUUAAUAGAAGGUAUUUUGAUUACAUAGUGCAAGUUAUUUUUAAAAACACUUUUCAAAAAUUGAAAAACCAAAAACUCUCUUGGAUAAGUUGUUUUUAAAAAGAAUUUUUGUAUUUUUAUUUUGUAAAAAAAAAAAAUAGUAAUUCAAUUUAUAUAAUAUAAAUAGACUUUAAUUUUAUUAAAAAUAAAAAUAAUUUUUUAAUUACAAAUAAAUUAAAAAAUAAAUAUUUGUAAUAAAAUAUGAAUAGUAAUAUUAUAAUAAAAUCAUAAAUAAAUUAAAAAUAUUUUUAAAAACAAAUAAGUUUAAUUUUUUUGAGGUACAAAUGAGCCAAAUUUUUCAUUAGGUACACAACCAACAAUUUUUAUUGGAAACAUUCCUCAAAAAAGAAUUCGUUUCCCAUAUAGCAAAGAUAUUUAUUAUUUAGUAUCUAACCAUCCGUAGUAAUCAUAUCAAUUCUACUAAGUUAUUUAAUAAUUCAUUUAUAUAUAGUACUCAAUUAUGAAUUUUUUUAUUUGAUGUAUAAUUAAUUAAUCAAUGUUUUGAAUUUUGAAUUAUUCUUAAAAUUUAAAACAUUAAUUAUGUCUAUUACUUUUUAUAGUCAUUAUAUAUAUAUAUAUAUAUAUAUAUAGAGAGAGAGAGAGAGAGAGAGAGAGAGAGCUUAAAUUUAUCUUUAAAAAUUAUUAAAUUUAUUAAUAAAUUCAAUACAAAGACUCAUUUGAUUUGAAAUUCAUUUCUUUAGUGAAAAUUUUGAAACUAAAUAGUACUUUGUUUUACUUUGUUUUUAAAUCAUACUCACAAAUAAGUUUUUAUCAUUUAGCCAAAAAAUCUCAAAGAUGUUUCUAAUUUUAUUUAUUUAUUUAUUUGUAAAUGAAAAUAAAAAAUUAGUUUAAACUAAAUAUGCGGAUAUUAUUGUUAAUUUAUUUCAUUUUUUAUUUCCAUUGUUAUUUAACAUUGAAACGGAAACAAAUAAUCAUUCCAAUCUUACAUUCUUAUAUGCAUCUAAACACAAGAAUUGAAAUCACCAAAUUCAUAUUCAAGGCAAAAUAGAAAUGGAAAAAAAAUAUUCAUUUUCAUUCCUCAUUCUCAUGUGCUAAACAUGACAUUAGUUCUACUACCUAUUUCACCAUUCUUCUUGAUAAAUUUGGUAUAUGCAAUAUUGAUCUAAGUGUGAGGUGAAUAAGAAUGAUGAUGGGAUGGGCUUGGAAAUAAGGGCAAAGUUUCUAGGUGCUAUCUAGAGGGGCAACGCGACUUUUUCAAAUUUCGAAUAUUUGUUCUCAACAUAAAGCAAAACUUUACUCACACAAUAGAUAAGACUCUGUUUGUUUUCUUCAUCCACGACUAUAUAAUGUAUAGCUCUUACUCAAGGGAUGAGCUACUUACUAUUAAGGAUUGGGUAAGAUAUUGCCUAAUGGCCAAGAAGGCAUGUCAAAAAAUAAAUCUAAUCACCAUAAAAAAUAAUAGGGGAAAAUUAAUAUAUUAUGAAUGAUGACUUUACUAUUUCUCUAUAUACAUAAUUAUAUAUUUUGAAUUUUCUCACUAGGUAAUGAGAUUCUAAAUCAACUGAAACAUAAUUAAUAAUUUAUAUUUUUAAUGAAUCUUUUAAUUUUUAAAAAUAAUUUAAAAUUUUAAAAAACAAUUCAAUUAAUUACAUAUUAAAUCAAAACAUUUCAAAAUAUUGUGUUUGUAGAUGAGUACUAAAUGCUUGCAUAUAAUAAUAAUAAUAAAAAAAUUGACUCAUUUAGAUGUUAAAAAAGUUAAAUGUUUUUCAUUAUUCAUUUUAAGUAAAAUAUUAUUGACAUUAUUAUUAUAAAAUUAUUAUUAUUCAUUUUUAACAAAAAACAAAAUAAGUUAUUCUUUUACCAAGAUGUCAAUAUCUAUAUUUUUCUAACAUAUAUUAAAAUAGUAUACUUUUCUUUUAUUAAAAAUAAUAAUUAUUAUUAUAUUAUUAUUCAAGUUUUAUUAAAAAAAUUUAUCUUUUAAUUCAUUUGUAAUUACAAAAUAAUUUUAUUUUAUUAAGAAUUUAAUUUAAUUACGCUUUUUUUUUUUAUAAAAAAAACAGUUAUGCUUUUACCAAGAUGUUAAUAUUCAUAUUUUUCUAGCUAACAUAAAUAGAAUAGUACACUUUUUCAUAUAAAAAAAUAAUUUAUGAUUUUAUUAUAAUGUUACUAUUCACAUUUUACUAAAAAUAUUUAUUUAUUUUAUUUAUUUUUAAUUAUAAAAUAAUUUUAUUUUCAAGAAUUUAAUUUUAAAAAAAUAGAAAUCAUUUAUUCUUUUACCAAGAUGUUAAUAAACAUAUUUUUCUAACAUAUACUAAAAUAAAAAAGUUUACUUGUUCAUUAAAAAAUAUAAUUUAUGUUUUUAUUAUAAUACUACUAUCUAUGUUCUACUAAAAAUAUUUAUUUAUAAUUAAAAAAUAAUUUCAUUUUUAAUAAGACUUGAACUAAAUUAAAUUUAUAAUUUUUUUUUAAAAUAAAAUAGAAAAUUAUUUUUUAAAAACAACUUAUUGAAAGAAAUUUUUUAUUCUUUACUUUUAAGAACUGUUUUUAAAAGCAACCUAUAAACCCCUUUGGGUCUGUUUGGCUAUGUUUCAUGCAACUUGUUUUUAAAAAUUGUUUUUUAUUCUUUAAUUUAAUUUUUUUUAAGUUAAAGAAUAAAAAACAACUUUCUAGUGUUUUAUAAAAAUGAGAGCUUUUGACAAGUUGUUUUUAAAAACCAUUUUUAAAAAUAAAAAAUAAAAAACUUAUUUAGAUAAAUUGUUAUAUAUAUAUAUAUAUAUAUAUUUGUAAAAACAUUUUAAAUUCAAUUUAUAUAAUAUAAAUUUAAUUUAAUUUAAGUCUUAUUAAAAAAAAAUUGUUUGGAUAAGUUUUUUUUUUUAAAUAGUUUAUUAUUUUUGUUUUGUAAAAACAUUGCAAAUUCAAUUUAUAUAAUAUAAAUUAAUUUAAUUCAAGUCUUAUUAAAACCAAAAUAAUUUUAUAAUUACAAAUAAAUUUAAAAAUAAUUUUUUUAGUAAAACAUGAAUAAUAAAAUUAUAAAUUAUAUUAUUGUGGACCCUGCAUUUAUGCUCAUGCGCUUCCACUUGUUGGCGAACUCAUUUUUUAUUUGAAAAUGAUUUAUUUUUUUAGAAAAUGACUUAGAGUCGCCACUUAUUUUUGUUUUAUUUUUAAAGGGCAAGCAAAAUAAGAAAGAAAACCCUAAGUGUGACUCCUUAUUCGAAAAAGGUAGUCUGUGUAAAACCGGAUCAGGGUUCAGGGAUCAGGUUACUUAUUGGGAAGGUAUGACAAUGACCGUAGCACUCCUCUAAGUCCUUAAAAACGGGCCUCUACUAAAAAAAAUAAAGUAAUCAUGGCAAUCAGUAAGGAAAUCACUGGAUACCCAGAACAAUUAUGCACAUGUGAGAAUUAAAACAUGCAUAAGAAUGGACAAAGUGAGAGUGGGUGCGUACCUUGACAACGAACCACAAUGCGUUAUCAAGAAAUGGGGUUAGUGCACGAUCAAUGAACAUAAAACACGUCACACAUGUCACUAAGCAGAGUGAGAAAUCAUCAGAUAUUACAAUUCAAUCAAAUUUAUUUUUAGAAGAAACAUCUGUUGAUGUAGAGCCCCUACCAAAGCCUAAUUUAUUUUUGCAUGAAUCAAUUUCAUAAAUUCAAUCGCUUGGAAUUACAGAAUUAAAUUCAUGCUUAUUUUAAAACAUCUUUUUAAAAUCAUGGAAGAUGUGAAAAUGGUUUUCCAAAGAGAAAAUGACAACUGAUUUUAUUGAAAAUGGGAUUUUGGGGACCUAAACGUUAAAGAGGGAUUAGGAAUUGAAAAUUAAAUCAUUUGAAAAUUGAAUUUUUCAAAAAUCAGUUUUGAAAGCAUGCAUGCAAGUAUGGACUGUGAAAGUGGGCCUAGGGAGGGUGGCCAUGCAAAAUGAGGUCAUACACGUGGGCCUUGGGUACAAUUGGGACUACUUUGCUGGUGCCAGUGGUGCUUGCAGCUGUCAUCCAUGAUUUCUUCAUUGGGAUCAAUUUCCAUUCUUACUGCCAAACAUUCCAUAACAAUUGACCAAACUAGUAACCCUGACCUUGCAUGAAAAUGAACGUUACCUAGAAACUCACUGCCAGUGAGAUUCAUUGCUCUUUCAAAAGGUCUCAUUUUCUUUCUCAUCCAAUUGCUUUAAGGAGCAUUCUAGCGUCACGAUUGGUGACUGCGCAUCAUCUAGAGCCUUCUUUCUUCUCAGAAUCAGGUUUGCGUGCAGAGGCCUGUGCUUGUUCAAGGUUGACCUAAAUUCAUCUAGGUUUAGAACCGACCAGUUGAGCUUGGGGAGCAACGACAAGAAUAUCAGUCACUUGCGAAGAGAAAACUCGAGAUCUUUCAAGUAAUGCCUGACAUAGAUUCCUCCAACCUGUGGCCAAUAUCUCAUUCCUUGUUGGCCAGACGCCUAUUAGGGCGUAUCUCAAUCAAUAAUAUGAUUUUUCGUUUGUUCACAAUAAAGACCGGAAGCCAUGGUUGUGAUUUAUGCAGUACAGAAGAAGUUGCCAUGGCUGGUAUCCUUACAAAUUCUGGUGUUUCUGCUAUCUGUUCAAGUGCAAAACACAACAGCUUUAUCAAGUUUGUCCCUAACAACUGAUAUUGAGCCCUCUGGAGGAAACCUUGAUAAAUUCAUAAUCACUUUUGACUCAUGCAUGGGCUGCCCAUCAAAUUUUCCUAGCAACGAGACGACUGCUGUCAUCUACUGCAAAGAGAAUUUCUUCUCGCAAAGACAAGAGGAGUUUAAGAAUACACACUAUUCUGCCAUUUCAUUUCCUCUUUCUCCACAACCAACAUAAACCAUAGUGUCUACAUUAGAGUACUUAGAAAGAGCUUAACUGAUGACCGUUUUUCCACAACCAAAUGCCCCAGGUAUGGCACAAAUUUCACCGAAAACAGAAGGGAAAAGGGCAUCAAGAACACGCUGUCCUGUAAGUAGUGGGGUAUCAGGACUACUCUAGGGAAGUUAUUUCUGUCAUUUUGAAAAAGAAAAAUUAAAGAAUGUACACAUGCUUUCAAGUGGACUGGAGCAUUCUACAUAUCAGGUGGUCUGUAGCCACAUGUGCCACUUUGUGGAAGUUGGAACAGUCGAUCACUAGGCUAUUUAGUGUGGCCAAGCCACGUUAAUCAAGGACAAGUCUUCAUACUUAAAAGUCAAAUGGUGCCUUUAGUCUCAUUACACAUGGCUAUUUAAAGAUGAACUAAUCUUUAGUGUAAUGUGAUUAAGACAGUACUAACUGAUCAAUAUUUUUUCUAAUUUUGGAUGCAAAUGCUUGCUGGCUUCAUCAUUGGAUGGGAUAAAGGUGCAUUCAUGACUCUGAAUACUUGCAGUAAUACUUGCAGUAAUACUUCAUUCUCUUUUUUCUCGAUGAGACUUCUUGGCACAAUUUUGCUUCUCAGCAACCUACCUCUCCAUGGAAAAUGAGUUGCGAUUGAUGGUACUGGAUAUUUUCUAGGAAGCUAAAUAUAGAUAUAUAGCACUCAAUGUCAACGAUAUAUAUAGCAUUAACAGUAUAUGUCUCAAUGCUCAUCAGCUACAAGCAAGGGACAAACACUUACAAUGAAUAACUCACGUCAACAUUCCUAAACAGGACAUAGAAGUGACAGAUCUAUAUAUAGAACACUGCAUAUGAGUCACAAGAAAAGAUAAUACGGGUGCAUAGCAGCUCUUAUAUUACAUAUUACUCAUACCGUUCAAAUUCACUCAGUUGGGAUGGGUGGGAGAAGGAGGCCUCUGGGGUGGCUUGUGCGUGUGAGAAGUGGAAGAAAGUUGAAUGGAAUGAAACUGAAAAACAGGGUAGAAUAGAGGUUUCUUGAAUCUUCUGAAAUCUUUAUUUUUCUGAGAUUUAUUCUCUGUUUUUGUGAGUCGUGACUCUACAUAUAUACAUGUAUUUAAAGUUAGUUAUGCCUUAUAACUAAUUAUCUAACAGUACCAAAACUAAUCAUCUAGUUGCAUGUUUCUAAUUAAUGCUAUUUAGUUACAACUAUAUAUGGCUUAACAUCCUCUCUCAAACUCAAAAGUCUAGCUAGAACAGUGAGUUUGCUUCAUAGAUUGAGAAAUUGUUGAAUAGGUAAGGCUUUGGUAAGAGCAUUAGCAAUCUGGUCAUAAGAAGGAAUGUGUUGAACCACCAAAGUCUUAUUGAGCACCUUUUCCUGAACAAAAUGGCAAUCUAGUUCCACAUGCUUAACUCGAGAAUGAAAAUAGGAUUGGCAGCAAGAAAGGUGGCUGAAAGAUUGUCAUAGAACAAAACAAAAUAGGAGAAUAAGAAGAUGAGAUAGAAAACUCCUGAAGAAGAUGUUGAAUCCAUUGAAGUUCAAAAGCAACAUUUGCUAAGGCCCUAUACUCAGCUUCAUUGCUGGAACGAGACACAACUUUCUGCUUACUGGAGUUCCAGGAGACUAGAUUAGAGCUAAAAAAGAUGCAAUGACCACUUGUACUUCGACGAUCAUCAGGGCAACCAACCCAAUCAACAUCAGCAUAAGCAGUAAGUUGAAAAUCAGGAGAAGAAUAAAAGGAAAGACCAAAGGAAGUAGUGCCCUUAAGAUAAUGCAACAAUCGUUUAACAACUUGCCAAUGAAGAUCAGUUGGUUAUUGCAUGAAUUGGCAAAGUUUAUUGAUAGAGAAAGAGAUGUCAGGCCUUGUAAUGGUACAAUAUUGCAGGGCUUCAACAAUGUUGCGAUAUUGAGAAGGGUCAGCCAAGAGGGAACCUUUAGAGGCAGAUAAAGUGUGAGAGGUAGUCAUUGGUGUAUCAAUAGGUUUAAAAUAUGGAAGACCAGCACGAGUUAACAAGUCCUGAAUAUAUUUGGUUUGGGAAAGAUGAAGAGAAGAUCCUUGCCAACAUACUUCUACACCCAAGAAGUAAUUCAGAAUACCAAGGUCCUUGAGAGCAAACUGAAAGUGUAAAGACGAAACCAUUUGGUGGACUAGCACGGUAUUAAGACCACUAACAAUAAUGUCAUCAACAUAGAUGAGAAUAAUGAUCAUGUCAGUCCCUUUCCGAAGAGGAGCUUGCUUCAGACCCUACAAGGCUUUGCGAAGUUUACAGAAAAAACCGGGUUUAGAAUGAUCAACAAAGCCUGGAGGUUGAACCAUGUAAACCUCUUCUUCUAACUCACCAUUGAGAAAGGCAUUAUUAACAUCUAAUUGUUCCACUAACCAACCAUGAGAAAUAGCAAGAGAAAGAACAAUUCAUAUAGUAGUUGGUUUAACAACAAGGCAAAAGGUUUCAAAAUAAUCAAUACCAUAUGUUUGAUUAAAACCCUUUGCAACUAAGUAGGCUUUAAAACGAUCAAUUGAGCCAUUAGCUUUGAGUUUCAGCUUGUAUAUCCAUUUACAACUAAUAAUGCGUGUAUUAACAGGUUUAGGAACCAAUGUCCAUGUGGAAUUGGUGAGAAGAGCAUCAUACUCAGUCUUCAUAGCAGCUUGCCAAUUAGGAUGCAAUAUUGCUUCUUUGAAAGAGGAGGGUUCGACAACAGUAGUUUGGAUAGCAAGGCUAAAUAUUUUUUUGGGUUUAAAAAUACCAUUUUGGCUACGAGUAACAAUAGUUCGGUUUGGAAGUGAAAGAGGAUCAGUGGAGGAGGCUGGAACAAGGGAUUGUGGUAAAGUAGGAAAGGAAGGUGGAUGAGAUGGAACAAAAUCAGUAGGGACAAUAAUGGGAGAAGAAAAAUUAGGUGGAGAAUGAUGAGGAUUCCUUGAAGAUGGUGUAGGAAUAGAGAGAAUACCAGAAUCAAGAAGUGUUAAAGAAGAGUUGGAUGAUGAUACUGGUUGACAGGAUAAAGACUUUGUUAAAAAUGGAAAUCGAGUUUCAUCAAAUACAACAUGACGAGAAGCAUAUAUCCGAGAGGAAGCCAUAUCCAAACAGAGGAAUCCCUUGUGUUUAGCACUAUAACCCAAAAAACAGCAAACAACAAAUAUAUUUGCUAGCUUGUGAGAAGCAUAAGGGCGAAGAUAAGGAAAACACAAGCAUCCAAAACUUCAAAGAGAUGUAUAAUAAGGUAAACGAUUAUAAAGAACUCCAUAAGGAGAAUUUUGUGAAAGAACAGCAGAGGGAAGGCAAUUUAUGAGAAAAAUGGCAGUUUGAAAUGCAAAUGACCAAUAUUUGAGAGGGUAUACCAGCUUGUAUUAACAAAGAAAGACCAACUUCCACAACAUGACGAUUCUUUCUUUCAACUCUUCAAUUUUGCUAAGGAGUAUAAUGACAAGAGACUUGAUGAAGAAGACCAUUUGUAGCCAAAUAAUUCUGAAAAGCUGAAACUGAAACUCAUCAAAUUGAUUUUUAGUAUCAAAUUUUCUUCAGACUGAACACAUUGAUUUUUAGUAUCAAAUUUUCUUUCAACCAUGGCUUGAAAAUGUUGGAACAUAAGUAAAGCUUCAUCUUUAGUUUCCAAAAGGUACAACCAUGAGAAUAUGCUAAAAUCAUCAAUUAGCAAGAGGAAAUAUUGAGCAUUACCAUUGACAGAAACUAUAGGAGUUGCACCCCAAAGAUCAACAUGGAUGAGACCGAAUGGUUUUAUUGCUCUAGAAGUGGAUAUUUCAAAUGGAAAACGAUGGCUUUUAGCCAACUGACAAGACUCACAUACAGAGUUAUUAUUGUCAUGUUUCAAAGGUAUUUUAUAAAGAGAUAAGAUUUUGGAAACUACAUUAAUAGAGGGAUGACCAAGUCUAUUAUGCCAAAGCCUCAAAGAACCAACGGCUAAAGUACUACUAGUAGAGUAAAAUACUAGUGGAUGACCAACAACUCUUGGUGUAGCAAGAAGUUUAUAGAGACCCUUCUCAAUUUUUCCUUGAAGAAGAGCAAGUCUCGUUUCCUGAUCCUUUACCACAAAAUGAGAAGAACGAAAUUCAAUAAAGGUGCCAUUGUUUGAGUAAAAUCGUUGCACGCUAACUAAGUUGGUGGUAAUAGAAGGAACAUGUAAGACAUCAUUGAAAAACAAAGAACCACUUGAAGAGGCAAGAGAAAAUUUACCAAUAUUUGCAAUGGAUAAACCCUUACCAUCUCCAACAAUUACUUUGUCACCACUGGUAAAUGGAUUAUGGAUUGUUAAAUUGUUAAGAUCAGAUGUGAGAUGAUGGGUAGCCUUUGUAUCAAGAAACCAAUAAGUGUCUCCCAUUGUUGCAGAAGUUGUAGUCAUAGCCUCAGGAUUGUUAGAGGUGGAAUGUUUAGAAUCUUUUGGCUGAUAAUCAGAGUUAAACCGAUACCAGCAUUGUAAAGCGGUGUGUCCGAACUUACAACCGAGAGAAAUAAUCUUUACUUAUUCUCUAAAAACUGUUCUUUAUUCCACACAUUAUUUCUAAAAACUGUUUCUAGAUAACAAUGACAAAAUAGUAUUAGGAAUUUUUAAAAAUAAAAAUUGUUUUUAAAUUACAUGAUCUAUAUCAUUCACAUUUGACCAUUAUAGCUUUGUUCAGGAAAACACUUGAAAGUAACCUUAUCGUGAUAAGAGAUAUAAGUUGGCUGUAGUUUCAAACUGAAAACAGAGGAUGGCAAUAGAAAGCAAAGCAUUAGUUAUCUGCAAUCAGUGGUGAUCAUGCCCCAUGUCAAUUUCGGACCCAUAUCUUAAAACCGUAUAAUUUGCAUUUCAACAUUUCUGAUUUCUCAGAUGUUUCAUACUCCACAGAAGAACAUUGUUUGUGAAAGCAUGCAUUUAUGCUGGAUUUUGGAUGAUGUGGGAACUGGGGCAAGGAUCAUAUGGAAGAGUGGUCGAUUUUUUCUGUACUUUAACAUUUGAAAUAGGAGCAGCACGGGCAUUUGUGGGGCUUAAUUGAUUUUGAAGCCUGAAAUUGCGUUUCUGUCAUUUUGUAAAAAAUAUGGCAGAUUCCAUGCUCUCAUAUGUUUGGUCUGUGGCCAUGUAUAGAUGCCACUUAGUGACCAGUUUGUAACUGUCAAUCAUAGUGUUUUGACUCUGGCUCAACAACAUCAGCCAUUGACGGAUUUUCAUACAUGCAAAUCAAAUAGUCUUCUUCCUCCCUUAGGAAUUUCGGUUUAAAUGUUAUUAAGCAUACAUUUGGCUGACAAUUAUUAACCACUUCAUGAUAUGGUUUCUUACCCUUAAUCAAUGGUUUCUAAGUGAAUAUAUGCAGAAGGAAAUCUGAACUGUAGACAGCAGUAUUGAUAAUUAUCAAUAUUCUUUAUAUAAGAGAAUAAACAACGUCAUAGUGAUCGUCGCCUACAAGAAAGGUACAUUUCCCAACAAGAUGUAGUUGUGACUGGUACAUGGACGUAAUUAACUCGUAGAAAAGGAUAAGACCAGUGCACGGCAGCUCUUAUUUUACAUGCUAAUUAUGCUAACCAAAGUCACUCAGUUGGGAUGGGAGGGAGAUGGAGGUUUGUGCGGUGGCUUGUGGGGCGGAGUUGGUGGCUUCUUUUCAGGAGCUUGUGGCUUUUUCGGAGCUGAAGGAGGCUCAAUCUUAUGAGGCGGCUUGUACGAGUCUUCUUUACUCUCGACAGGAGGGUGGCCAGGGUUGUGACCAUAAUGUGGUGGCUUCUCUCCCUUAGGUGGCUUGCCAACUGGGGUUGGUGGCUUGUGUUCAGGAAGUGGUUUCUCUCCCUUGGGAGGUUUACCAAUUGGGGUUGGUGGCUUGUGUUCUGGGAGUGGUUUCUCUCCCUUGGGAGGUUUAGUGGGUGACUUGUGUUCUGGAGGUGGCUUCUCCACCGGAGGCUUGUGCUCCGGUGGUGGCUUCUUGGUUGGAGGGGGCUUGGGGUAAUCAGCAAGAGAUGGGGGGGUGAGAACCACCACUCCAAGGAACAACACUAGCAAGUAUGUGGGAGACAUUUCUGAGUUUGAGCUGAUCAGAUGAUGCAAAACUAGAAGAAUUACGUGACCUUUUAUAGCAAGUAGCUCCCAAUACCCACAUGACACGUGUUACUGUGACCAUAAAUAUUAUAGGGUCCAUUUGUGCCCUACCGGGUUGAAAACUUGGACGCUUGGCCGAGGACACACCGAACUAUGGAGGACUAUUGACGUGUGAUCACAGCUUUUGGAUUUUUCUUCCUGUGCAGCUGUCUAGCGGUUGGCAUUAUUUUUUUAAUCUUAAAUAAAGGCAUAGUUAUAGAGUACAUUUAUAUAUCUUCAGAUAGCCAUUAAUAUAUUUGAUGAAGAAAGACAAGUGCAUACAACAUGUAUACGGCUUGCUUCAAUCGAGUACAUUUAUGAUCAGUUUUCCAGUGCAAGUAAACCAGUUUUUUGUUCCACAACUAUUUUGGAAUCUUGUUUAUCAGUUUCUAUCAUUAUAAUGUCACAUAGGCUGCAAACUUGGGCACCCAAAGAUCUAGUUGGGCAAAUUUGUUUCAGAAUUUCAAUGGUGGAUUCAGUAAUUGUUAAAAGGUGUUUCUUCAUUAAGGAAAGAGUCCUGUAAAAAUAUUGUUAAAAGGUGUCAUAGAAACUAUAAUAAUUAAAUAACUUCUUUUCCCCGUGGGUGGUGUUUCUUCUGGGGAUACCCAAAAUGAGUUCAGAUUAAAAUUGGUUCGAGUCAAAGCUGUCUCUUUUGUCCAGAAAUCAACUAUUUUGCGCAUUGCAUGAAUCGAUAAAGAAAAAAUGAAAGCCAAAUCACACCUCCCCUGCAAAACCUAAACCCCGGUUGCUAACUUUCUAUGUUUCAGUCCUAUUCAUACAGGAAUAUUGGUUCAAGUUUGAGAAAAAUGGCAACUUACCUAGGGAUUACUUGGUUGUGGUUUGCGACGACUAUUUACGCAACCAACCAUGAGUUUGACUUUAACGUCAUGGGUUGAAGCCUCCUACAAUCGUGUAUGAUAGUUCAAAGCUCGUAGUAGAAAUUAUACAGGAAGGAAGAAACCUCCAAAGCUAGCUCCAAAAGAGAAUUAUCACAUCGAUAGCUCCAGAGAUUCCCAAGGGGACUGAAUCAAAGACAAGUUCCUCACUUUUUCUUCUUUUGAGGCCAAAUAUGAACCAAGGAUCACACGACCUCAUUCAACUUCAUAAGUUUGAUUUCAUGCAGUUGAACACUGGGUGAAGGCCAUGACAAGAAUUGAUUAAAAAAUUCUACCACUGUUUUAAGUAAUGGAAGAUUAUUAUCUCUGAUUGGCACCACAACAGCACAUGCUGCUAGAUCUUUCUAGACACUCCAUGCAAUGAAAGUACAAUGGAUCUUGUAACGAUAGAAACUAAGCCAUGCUACAGUACUAGAUGACGAGGUAAAACUAUUAGACAUGGGUGGCAGCCUAUAUGGGAGGGACACAAGUCUAAUUGAUUUGCAUUUCAGCGUUCUAGAUGGGUAUGUUUUGGAAGAUUUGUUCUGGAAAUACCGCACCAAGUAGGAUUCUUUUUUCUCUUGAGUGGGUCCACUUGCAUGCCAAUUAUCGAGUUGAAAAGUAGAGCACCUACCUCGUGCUCGUGGAACCGAAGGUCAGUGAAGUGGGGCUCCUUUUGGCCUCUUGUGUUUCUGUUCCAACCAAGGCGGCGGAGGGAAAAACAGCAAUAUGUCUCCGCUAAAUAUCAACGCAUGAUAGCGAAUGAGGGAGAAAAAAAGUAAUUGGCAUCUCAAUCUCACAAACUUGGUACAGUAGUGACAUUAAUAGUCUUCCACAUGGUUUUUAUUUUAUUUUAUUUUAUAUUUUAUAUUUUCCAUUUUUUUAUUUUUUUGUAUGUCAAGGCUAAUGAAUAAAAUGCGUUAGCUUGUUUUGUGAUUGGAACUGCAAAUGUCCAAAUUGGAGUUUCUCCAUUUCUCAGUUCGGAUGGUUAACUUUAUAAACAAGAUAUAGGAAACAUGUGAACGUCUUGAGGAACAAUUCGAAUUAUUGAUUAGAACUCCUAGGUUGAGUUCCAAGAUUUAAAUCAGACCCCUCUAGCAGCUUCAGGGGUACCUAGCAAUUAGAACAUAUUAAUGAAGAUUUAGGAUUUAGACUCCGGAAUACAAAUUAAUAUGUAUCUUAUGCUCUGACUAGCUUCCCUGCAUAUGCACAAAAUGGAGAUGACCCAAAAAAUAGCAGAAUCGCCUUAGUUUAUGUGGUUAAGGUGAUUCUCCGGUUAAUAUCCACAUUGGCUCAUUAUGCAAAUCAACUGAGCUAUUUUUUUUUUAAUGUCAAAUAGGAACUCCUAAUUAACCUAACCAUUGGCCUGUGUAAAUUGAUUUCACAUGCACAAUGUUGUAGUAGAAGUCCACAUUUUGAAUUUUAUUUUUGGAAAGGUAAGGAAAAUGAAGCAUUGUGUAAUUAUAAAAAUAACUUCAUUGGAAUUCACAAGGUUCACCCAAAAUGGAGCUACAUCCGUAUUCUAUCUUACAGUAGACUAUAUAGAUUGUACAAUAGUAAAUUGCAAAUACAAUUAAUAAGUCUUGUGUUUCCUUACUAAUAAUCCUUUGACAUAAACAUUGCAGCACUAAGGUCCUCUUGGGCAGACACCUUGCACCCAUGAGAGCACUAAGAGGAAGCAAGGCGGAGUCAUGGGUGCAAUGUCAUGACUUGUUGCACUAAGAGAGGCUUGGUGAUGGCAUAGUGCUGCAGUAGCAAGAAUGUUGCCUUGGCAGGGACACGAUCUAGGGACAGAUGCCAAGAAAGGCUUAGCACUCACAUGAGUUGCACAAAGAUGAAUGAAAUAGAACAUCAAAGAGACAUCUUGGCAAGCUCAAGAAAGACAUGUGGGUUGGUAAAUGAAUGGAUGCAAGAGGCAACAACAUGAGGAGUUUCAAAUGGAUAGGGAAUGAGUCAAAGACAUUUGAAAGCUACAAGUUGGAUUCUAAUUACGAUUGCAAUUUGAGUUUGAGUAGGAGUUUAUAUUAUGAUUGUAAUUGUAGUAUGAGUUGGACUAGGAUUGCUUAUCCCUAGUCAAAAUAGGAGUUGUUCAUGCCACACCCUAUGAAAAGAGUUUGAGUAGGGACUAGGAUUGCUUGCUCCUAGUCAAAUAUGGAGUAGGUGGUGCCACACCUAUAAAAAAAAAAGGGACAACAUGAGAGAGAGAGAGAAUGAAUUCACCAAAGAUAUUGUGGGAGUUUUGCUUUGUUACAUCUUGUAUUAUUAUUUAGAAUAGUAAUAAAAUACAAGUUGGGGCUAGAGCCCCAUAAUCUCGUGUGCCUUUGUGGGUUAUUCUUUAUUUGCCAUCUCGUGUGGAUUGGAUUAGAUUGAUGAGGCGAAAUAUUAUGUGGGAAAUUUAUGUUGGGACACUUACCAUAACCAGGUAAAAUCUACCAAGUCUUUUGUAAUAUCUUCUACAAAUAUUUUAGACCAGUUCUUCACAAAACAUCAUAAUAUGUUUUGUGUUUCUCUUGGAUUUUGAGUUGAAUUGUCUUAGAUCAAUUGAAUGCAUCUCAAUAUUAUUAUCUUGUUUGAAGGCUUGAUGAUUUUCCAUUUAACUUUACUUUCUUUAGGUUAUGCUUGAUUCCUUAAAAGUACUAAGGAAAACAAAAAAUAAAAAAAAAUAAAAAAUGCAGAGGGUUAGGACAUGUGUUAUCUAAUUGUCCUAUCCAAAGAUAUUAAGAAAGUCAUGUAGGAAAGUAAUUGAAAACUAGGUCAAGAAAGGAGCAAAAGGGAAUUGUUUUGGUAUUUUCUUUUUUAUUCUUGAAGGUGGCAGAGCUAAAAUUUGAGAAAUCAAGCAAAACAUACUGAAAUUACAUUGAAAGAAAGAAAAUGGUAGUUAAUGUCUUGCAGUACAUGAUAAGGACUUCAUGCAUGUAGUGUGACGACCCAUGUCUUGGACUGAUGCCACACUCACGGUUACACUUAUACCCUUGGUUCUCUCUUUACUACCUUGGCUAACCUAGAUCAGGCUAUGAGAUAGGCUCCUCACCACACCAUCACUUGCCCAGUAAUUAGUGACAUUUUCAAGCAAUGAGGUAACAUGGUGACACCAAGAGGGUUUAUCCCUCGCCCCAACAAGUCUAGACUCGGUCUCAAAAAAAUGGAGAAAAAUGAGGUGUCGUUAUGCAGAAAUACAACAACCAUGCCUUCCUUAUUACUUAGAUUCAGAAUGUGAAGGUGAAAUUGAGAAACAGAAACUCUUGAAACCAGAAUGAAAAUUGAUACUUUUACGAAGAAUUACAACAUUAGAGGAAGACUACAUUCUUCCUCUAUAUUCCUACGUUUCUACACUACUUCUACUCCACUCCAUAUUUCUACAUACAUCUUUAAUCAGUUUUCCCUCCUUUAUAUAGAGCCAUCUUCACACAAAUUCCGCAAGGUAGAAAAGAGGAAUGAAACUUGGAGCAAGGUUCGACUACUGGUUGUCGCUUGUCAAGGCUGGAAUUGAACUUUUUUUCUUGGCUUUUCUGGGCAUAGGUAGUAACUUGUGGUUCCUUUUUGGAAUGAAAAUGGUACAGCUAGAACAUGUGGCACUCUCUUGUUGGAUUAUGUGUCAAACAUGUGGCAGCCAUCUAGUGGAGAUUAUUUCAAUUUUGGGAUGGAGAGUUGGCAUCCAAUUGCAAAGAAAUAUGACAUCUACCAACAUGCAAUGUAAACCUAUAUAGAUCAUAUGGAGAUAGAGAGGAAACAUAUAGAAAUGGAUAUAUACCUAGAACUAGCUUUUUAUUAAAUGAGACGGAGAGCCAACAAUGAAGGAAAAUCAAAAUUUUUGGCUCAUAUCAAAGAAUUCACAUUGUGUUACCCUAGGUUUUCUUAAAGCUUGCACAAAGCCAAAAAGCACACAAAAAAUUAUAUUUUCUAGCUCUCUACCUUGGAUGGUCUCUUGAUCCUACUUGGAGAUGUGCAUAAAUAAAAGGAUUUGAAAAUGACAAUUGACUAAGUAUGUAGUCAAUCAAUUACUCAUUAAUUGACUAGUUGAUCAAUUAACUUUGCAACAUCAUAUGCAAUCCUAAUAGCUAGUCAUCUAAUCAACUAGGUAGUAAAUCAAUAGGCCAAAAAUAUGUUUAUAAUGACUAUUUUGUACAAAAACCACCUAUAUGGUUAAAUAUAAUGCAUUUCAUUUAUAAAUCUUCUAAUUCUUGAAUAACGAUCCUAUCAUCCUUUGAAAGUUUUUAUUACACCUUUUAUACUUUUGUUCUAAAACUUACACAUGUACAUCACCCUUAAUUGUACCAUGAGAACCUAGCUUUUUUUUUUUUUUUUUUUGUAAUUCAUCAAAGUUAGCUUUUGUAUUCAUUACUGUACUAUUUUUAUUGUAACUUAGAAAGCGAGUGUUUUCAAGUGAGUGAAAUUGACUUAUAAAUAUUGUAAAGAUUCAUUGAUGUGUAUCUUAAACUAAGUGUACAAGUUGAAACAUUUGCUAGUAGAUUUUCUCAAGAUUUAGAAUAGAGCUUGAGGCUAUUGAAAUAGGUGGGGUUGCACCAAACCACAUCACAUUGUUGUUUGCACCUUUUUUUCACUCUCUUUUACUUAGUUGCUCUAUAUUUGUUGUCUAGUAAUAUCCUAUAGGCUUGAUGGGUUAGGGAGCAUCCCUUUGUGAAAAAUUUUCAUUCAAUCCUUAGUUGUAUCACGCAUAUAUAAAAUGCCUCAUUGUUUUAAUGGUAUUCAGUCGUGGCAUCACAGAUAUGGGCAUCUAAAUUUUAAAAGUUUGAAACUUUUAUCUAAAGAAAAUAUGGUGCUUUGCCUUUUUGUAAAGCAUGUUGAUGAAAUCCAUGAGAAUUGUGUACUUGGGAAGCAACAUCGAGAUGACUUUUUUUUUUUUCAUUUUUUAUAAUGCGACACCUAAGUCCGGUUUCUAAAUGCUGAAGUGAAAGGGUAGGUAUGGACCAUUGAAAUCUGAUCACAACUUUUGGCCUUUUCCUUUCUCUGCAGCCAUGUUGUCUCUUUUUUCUUUUGCAUGAUUUUCUUACCUAAACAGAAUCAUAGACUUGUUUAAUCUCUAAAUGGUAUUUCAUCCAGCUUUAAGCUACUGUAUUAUAUCUUGGUGGAGGACUUUUAAGAGUGAAACCGACAUAGAGCACAUGCAAGUGGGUAUAUGGGACAUGAAAUUUCUUCUUAUAAAGACUGCAUGGUUUUUAUAUUAGAGUUGUUGAGGCGCAAUGUAUUUAGCUUGUUUUGCAGUUAAAUUAAUUGGAUAAGUAGACAUUGUCGUUUCUAAAUUUCCCACCUAAGAUAGUGACCUUAUCCUUGACUGCUUGAUGAGAUACACAAACAAUUAUACCUUCAAAAUCUACUGUGAAGUGCUUCAUGUAUGUGUGAAGUAUUAGAAAUUUCUUUCUUGGCAACUUGUUUUUUCUUUGCCCUCUACUGAUAGGUUUGACUCAAAUUAAAUUCCCUGUCAUGCUAAUUAAUUUUCACGUGCAUGCUCAAAAGGAUCACGUCAACUCUGGUUUCUACUAUUCAGGUCCAUUCCCAGAUAAACUGGUUCAAAUUUGAGAAAAUGGCAACAGCCCUUUAGUGAUGUUGGUUUGGAGCCAGUAGCCAAACCCGCCCUGAGCUUUACCACUAAUGUCAAGGGACAAAGCCAUUUGAACAAAAACAAUAGCUUCAAGAGACUGAAUCGUGGAUGAAAUCUGAUCCACAUUUCUUCUCAUUUUGGGAACAAAUGAGAACUUAACUACAAAGAUUCUACUGCCUCAUAGUGCUUUUCCUGAUCUAAGGUUGGUUCGUUUCCCAAAUUGUGAGGUACGUGCCAUUCUCACGCUCAGGAGUGUAUCCACGUGGUGGACAUAAGAUGGUGGCUUAAUAUCUGGUGUCGGUGGCUUUACUUUACUAGGAGAGUAGUGUGUCUUCAUCUCAUUCACUGCCGGAGGGUGGCGUAAGCAGUGACGCUAAGGUGGGGCACAGUCAAUAUCAUUUGCAUUUGACCAUUAUAGUUUUCUCCCGGCUUGAAAGUAACCUUAUCGUGAUAAAGGAUUACUAGCACUAGUUCAGAUGACAGUCAUGUUAAAUUCGGACCAUGUUUGUGUCACAUUAUCAGCAACCAUGUGUUUAUGGUUCAUGCUAUCUGCAACUAAACUUGAUAUAUAACCACGUGAACUUCAAUCUAAAUUCUGGAAGUACUCUUGUGAUAGAUGGUGCCUGUCUGCAGAGUCCAUCAAUUGAAAAAUGGAGUGAGUGUAUCUAUAAGAGGGAAGGCUUGGCAAAUGUUCAGUUUUCUGGGAACUCAACAAGGAUCUAAAAUAGAUUGUUUUCUUUGCUGAUUUCAAUGGUUGAAAUUUGAGAAGAUUGUGUCCACAUAACACAACUAUUACUGGUCCUUCUGUUGCAAUUUAUCCUCUAAGGCUCUAACAUGUCUUCCAAUUCCCACUUCCCUGUUACUCCAGGAAAGCUAUUUCUGUCAUUGUGAAGAAGAAAAGAGAAUGUACAUAUCGAUGGUUUUAAGUGACUGGGGCAUUCAUAUCAGGUGGUCUGCAGCCAUAUAUGCCACUUUGUGAAGGUUGGAACAGUCAAUCACCAGGCUAUAUUAGUGUGGCCCAGCCACUUCAAUCAAGGACAAGUCUUCAUACUUAAAGUCAAAUUCUGCCUUUAGUCUCAUUAUAAAUUGCUGUUUAAAUAUUAAGCAAACAUUUGUUUAAUGCGAUUAAGACAGUACUAACUCAAUACUUGUUCUAUUUUUGGAUGCAAAUGCUUGAUGGUUUCAUCAUUGGAUGGGAUAAAGGUGCAUUCAUGAUUAUGAAUACUUGUAGUUAUAUUUUCAUUCUCUUUUUUCUCAAUGAGACUUGUUGGCACAAUUUUGCUGUUCAGAAACCUACCUCUCCAUCGAAAAUCAGUUGUGAUUGAUAGUACUGGAUAUAUUCAAGAAAGCUAAAUAUAGAUAGCACCAAAUAUUAUCGAUAUAAAUAGCAUUAACAGCGUACGUAUGUCUCAAUGCUCAUCAGCUAUAAGCAACGGGCAAACACUUACUAUGAGCAACUUGCGUCAAAAUUCCAGAAUAGGACAUAGAAGUGACAGAUCUAUAUAUAUAUAGAACACUGCAUAUGAGUCACAAGAAAGGAAAUUACGGGUGCAUAGCAGCUCUUAUUUUACAUCCUACUCAUACUGAUCAAAGUCACUCAGUUGGGAUGGGUGGGAGUAGGAGGUUUGUGGGGUGGCUUGUGCGGAGGAGUUGGCAGCUUCUUUCCAGGACCUGGUUGCUUCUCUGCUGGAGUUGAAGGAGGCUUAAUCUUCCGAGGUGGCUUGUAUGAGUCUUCAGCAUUCUCAGCAGGAGGGUGACCAGGGUUGUGACCAUAAUGUGGUGGCUUCUCUCCCUUAGGUGGUUUGCCAACUGGGGUUGGUGGCUUGUAUGAGUCUUCAGCAUUCUCAGCAGGAGGGUGACCAGGGUUGCGACCAUAAUGUGGUGGCUUCUCUCCCUUAGGUGGUUUGCCAACUGGGGUUGGUGGCUUGUGUUCUGGGAGUGGCUUCUCCCCCUUGGGAGGUUUUUCCAAUGGGGUUGGUUUGUGUUCAGGAGGUGGCUUCUCCACUGGAGGCUUGUGUUCAGGAGGUGGCUUCUCCACCGGAGGCUUGUGUUCAGGAGGUGGCUUCUCCACCGGAGGCUUGUGUUCAGGAGGUGGCUUCUCGAAUGGGGGAUGCUCAGGGUAAUCAGCAAGUGAGGGGUUGGUGAGAACCACCAUGCCAAGCAACAGGACUAGCAAGUAUGUAGGAGACAUCUUUGGGUUUGGACUUAAGACAGUGGAAAACUGCGAGAAUUCUCUAGCCUUUUAUAGCGGGUCGACCCAGUACUCACAUGACACGUGUCAUUAUGACACAUGUGCCAUGGGGUCGAUUUGGGUCCUACAGUGUUGAAAAGUUGGGCAUUUGAGGUGUGAGCACAACUUUUGGCCUUUGCUUUCUCUACAGCCGCCAUGCUUUUCCCUUUUUUCCUUUUCCUUUUGUUUUCCUCCUGCCUCGUGUUCUCAACUAAACACAAUUAGGUUGUUUAAUUGUUAAAUGAGAUUUUUGUCUGUCAAUCAUAUUAUAUCCUAUCAAGAGAGAACAGAGUGUAAUGUAGUACACAUAACACGAGGCAGUAGUAAUUUUAUCAUUUAUUUUUAUAGCUUGGACCACCGCAUUUUUUCUUCUAAAAUAUUCUGUCUUGUUAAGAGACGCAAUAAUACACAAUUUUAUCUGCCAUUCAACAUUUACUGUAAAGUUCUUUUAUCUCUUUGUAGUUCUAGAAAAGUACAAAAUGGAACAUCAUGUAUAUGGUGCCUUCUGUCCUAAAAAAGAAACUGGACAAAUUAUGAACUGCAUGCUAAAAAGAGGCAAAGGAGCUUAAUUCGCAGCAUAAUUAUUUUGGUUUCUAGAGAGCCCGGGGCCUUUUGGUUGGUUUGGGGUCAGAAAAUGAACAUCAUAGGGAUUGUGCCCUUAACUGGCCUUGUUACUACAAAGAAAUUGCCAUAGAAAUUUAUUCCAGGCUGAGUAUCUCCGGAUAGACCCCAGAAAAGAAGAGUCAUAAUGAGAAUCAACCUUUGUUGAGUUUGAUUCCAUGCCUCCAUUGUGUUCAUUUCAUGAAUCUGAUUUGCAUUUAACAUUACAGUUUUGUUCUGGAAACAAUCAAAGGAGCAUCGUUUGCUUCUUGGGUGACCCAUAGUGGUGGGUGGGUCGAUUUGCUUAGUUGAAAAUUGGACAAUUGGCUCCAUCGCCUACCUCUUGGAUUCCAUGCUCGGAUAAAACGACAACAAAUAAAUAUUUAUAACUUACAACUGGGGAAAGGAAAAAAUAGUACUAAAUUCAUGGUACAUGAUAGUGAGAGAAGGGGGUGUUACACUCAGCUAAAGUUCUUUUCUAAAUAUUGCAUGGUGUUUAAUUUUAUGUGUCGGCGCGCGUGUGAAUGGAACCUGCAAAAGUCCAAAUUGGCGUUUCUCCAUUUUCCACAUAGGAUGGUGACGUUAAUAGACAAAGAUACAAUAUCUGUAGACAUUGCUUAAAAAUCGAUGUGAAGUAUUAGAAAUUACAGGCCACUGUACUGGGGGAGCGGCUGCCCCGCCAAAGGAAGAAUGUAGCAAUUUCUUCUGUUAGCCAGGCCUUAGGAUUUAUGCAUGGGAUGCCUAAUAACAAACAGAGAAAAUAUGCUUUUGGGGAAGGUAUCCAACAACAGACACCAUCAUUCAGAUGGUGGGAAGGUAUCCAACAGAUGCCAUCAUUCAGAUGGUAACAUAUAUAUACAUUUAUUAGUGAGUUUUUUUAAUACCUAUAAAAAAAAUAUACACUUUGAUAUUGUGGCUGAAUCCAUUACAUACUCAACUAACCUUGCUCAUUAGGGAUUUGACGUAACAAGGGCAACGUUGCAGUAAAAGCUCGAAACUUUAUGCAGGUGACAUUACAUUUGGUAAAGAAGAGGAAAAUAAGGAAAGCCAUCCAUAAAAGCAAAAUUCCUCAUGGGAUGAAAUUCACAAACUUCAUUUACGUUAGAGUCGCAUCCAGGCAAUUAAUUCCACAUUAGACCGCCUUUUGACAUGUGUACGGAUCUUUUUUCAAAAAUUAUUUAUAAAUAAUUGAUACUUACAAAAAUAAUUUAAGAUUUAUAAAGGAUAAAAAAAUAUUUUCAAAUCUAUGACAAUUUAUAAAAUAUUAAUAAAAAAUUAUCUCUUAAACUUAGUAUAGUUUUAUCGUAUUAAACUUUUAUUUUGAACAAAUAAUUUUAAUCUAAGUUUUAAAUUCUAAAAUUAUUUCCUUAAAAUAAAAUUUUAAAAUUCAACACUUCAAUUGAAAUUGUCUUUUAAAAAAAAUAUCUUCUUAUUUUAAUCCUUAUAAACUAUAGUUGAUUGAAAAUACUAUUGAAGUUCUCUCUUCAAAAAAAGUCUUAUUUUAAUCUUCAUAAAUUGCCCUUGAUUUGAAAAUAAACUUUGGGUUAUCAUAUUUUAAAUAAUAUAUAUAUAUAUAUAUAUAUAUAUAUAUAUAUAUAACAAAUACUCUAUUUUUUUUUUAAAUGAACUAAUUUUAAUUAUAUUUUAUUUUAUUUUUUUAUAUAUUUUUAAUGAUAAACCAAACAUAGAAAAUCAUUUUUCUAAAUAUUUUAAAAUUUCUAAGCAACCAAACAUAAUCUUCAAAAUAAAAGGAGAAUAAGGAGGGACAAGUGAGAAAUGGCGAUUAAAAAAAAGUGUACAAAAGCUCAAUUAAUUUUCUUCUAGUCUUUUAUAUAAAAAAGUAUUGGUAUGUAAAUUAAUAUUUGGAUUUUAAUAGUAUUUUAUUUGUCUUUCUCUAUCUCAUGUAAAAGAGAAUUUAAGAUAUUUCCUAAAGCAAAGCAUUAGUUAUCUGCAAUCAGUGGUGAUCAUGGUCCAUGUCAAUUUCGGACCCAUAUCUUAAAACCGUAUAAUUUGCGUUUCAACAUUACUGAUUUCUCAGAUGUUUCAUACUCCACAGAAGAGUAUUGUUAGUGAAAGCAUUUUGUAACUGUUACUCAUAGUGUUUUGACUCUGGCUCAACAACAUCAGCCAUUGACGGAUUUUCAUACAUGCAAAUCAAAUAGUCUUCUUCCUCCCUUAGGAAUUUCGGUUUAAAUGUUAUUAAGCAUACAUUUGGCUGACAAUUAUUAACCACUUCAUGAUAUGGUUUCUUACCCUUAAUCAAUGGUUUCUAAGUGAAUAUAUGCAGAAGGAAAUCUGAACUGUAGACAGCAGUAUUGAUAACUCUCAAUAUUCUUUAUAUAAGAGAAUAAACAACGUCAUAGUGAUCGUCGCCUACAAGAAAGGUACAUUUCCCAACAAGAUGUAGUGGUGACUGCUACAUGGACGCAAUUAACUCGUAGAAAAGGAUAAGACCAGUGCACGGCAGCUCUUAUUUUACAUGCUAAUUAUGCUAACCAAAGUCACUCAGUUGGGAUGGGAGGGAGAUGGAGGUUUGUGCGGUGGCUUGUGGGGCGGAGUUGGUGGCUUCUUUUCAGGAGCUUGUGGCUUUUUCGGAGCUGAAGGAGGCUCAAUCUUAUGAGGCGGCUUGUACGAGUCUUCUUUACUCUCGACAGGAGGGUGACCAGGGUUGUGACCAUAAUGUGGUGGCUUCUCUCCCUUAGGUGGCUUGCCAACUGGGGUUGGUGGCUUGUGUUCAGGAAGUUGUUUCUCUCCCUUGGGAGGUUUACCAAUUGGGGUUGGUGGCUUGUGUUCUAGGAGUGGUUUCUCUCCCUUGGGAGGUUUAGUGGGUGACUUGUGUUCUGGAGGUGGCUUCUCCACCGGAGACUUGUGUUCUGGAAUUGAUUAAAAAAAUUCUACCACUCUUUUAAGUAAUGGAAGAUUAUUAUCUCUGAUUGGCACCACAACAGCACAUGCUGCUAGAUCUUUCUAGACACUCCAUGCAAUGAAAGCACAAUGGAUCUUGUAACGAUAGAAACUAAGCCAUGCUACAGUACUAGAUGACGAGGUAAAACUAGUAGACAUGGGUGGUAGUUGAUUACUACUCAAAAAGUACUCUUUUAUAGUUUGAAACUAACUGUUUUAAACACUUUUGAGUAGUAGUUAAUAAAUUUUAACUCAAUUGGCACAUUAAGGAACCUAGCAAGGGUUACUAAUAAACUUUUGGCAAGUUUUGGUGUUUUUGGUAGUUAUUCGAUCAUUGAAACAAGCCAAGAAUGAGGGAGAAUUUUGUGAAGUCCAUGGCAAUGCAAGUUAAAGCUCAAAUACACGAAGAAUCCAAGCUUUGGAGCACUACAUAGCCCUUUGCCAAGCCAAUUAGAGAUGCAAGGAACAAAACCAAAGGAAGAAAUCCAACAACCAACAUUUUCGCAUGGUUGUGUGAAAUUUCGCACACCAUGCGAAACCACAAGAGGUAGCCAAAGAAUUUCACAUGGUAUGCGAAAUCUUCUCAUGCACCGACUCCGUUAGAUUUUUAUCUUCAGAUAUUUUGUGUAAUUUCCUAGUUUCUCCUUGUAACCAACCUAGAUAUUUUCUUUUAUAUCUUUUUUUAUAUUUUUUAGGUAACAUCAUAUAUAAGGGGAGAGACAUAAGGAGGAUAUGGAUGUUUUUCAUAGAACACUUGUAAAUUUUCAGUAGUAAGAAAUAUACAAAGCUUUUUGCUAUGCCUUACCUUCUCAUUUUGUUUUCACCUGUCUUUCUAGCCAAACAACCUCUAAGGAUGAUUUCUCAGGGGAUGAGUGGCUAGGUUUUACGUUUCUUGGAGUGAGGGAAGCUAGGUGAAGGACCUGAAUGCAAAGAUGAGAGUUUUCCUUGCUUUAAAUGAAAGUAGUUGUUAAACAUUAAUGGUUUUUAUUUUAAGGUUUAGCUUUAAAUCCCUUAAAAACACCUUGAAUGACCAAUACUUGGUAAGCUUUUCGGAUUCUAUGGAUGCUUAUUGCUAGAUCCAUGGAUGUCUAUUAGUUAUCAUUUACGAGCCUUUGGAAGGUGAUUCAAGGUGAGGGUCUUUAGUGUUUGAAGCCAUUAAUGGGAAGCAAUUACCAUUUUUUCAUGAAUCCUUUGGAUCAAAUCUUAAUUGCUAAAUAUAAAACCGAUUUGGGAAAUAACCAUCCUUUAUGUUAUUAUCCCCAACGCAAGGAGAAGAUCCGGAAUCUUCCCUUUUGUCUAAGGAACCCGAUCCUAGUGACCUAAAGCUCCAAGAGACCUUUUCUUUGUAGUUAACUUCAUUUAUUGUUUUUGCUUAACUUAAAAUCAAUCUUUGCAACCACAAUUCCAUUUUCUUUAAAAGCUAAUUUUUAUAAGGAAAAACACCAUUUUAUUUCCUUCACUAAGUCAACUGUACGAUGAAAACCCAUCCCUGUGGACGAUCCUAGAGCCAUUAUACUAUGUUAGCUAUGCUACCCUAGUGUGAGGUGAUUUAGGUUUUAUAAAUUUUGUUGAUAACACCCAUCUGAGCCAGAAUCAAAUGGCACAACUGAACCAGGGACGAAUCAAAUGGCGCCGCUAUCGAGGAUGGUGCCAAAGUACAUUGACAUGACUUUUGGUGAACACUUGUGAUCUUCAUCACAAGUUUGGUGAUUUUUCUAUUACUAAUUUUUUUCUUUGUUUUUAUUUUAGCUUAUCUUUUAUUUAGUUUUUAGCUAACCUUAACUUUUUCUUAGAAUUGUAUUUCUUCUAUUUUCUUUGUUUUUGUUUCAGUGAUCUUUAGUUGUGCAUGCCCUAUUGGAUAAGAAAUAUUGAGGGAAUACUUGUGAAGAUUGAAAAUCCUCGAGAAACUGAGUUGGAAGUGUGAUUGAACAUCAUGGAUGUUCCACCUGAAGACCAGAAUAGCCAACAUGGUUAAGAGGAUAAUUUCAAAGCAUACCGAUCCAUGAGGGACUGCAUGCAUCCACCUCGUAUGAGUGCACCGUCAUGCAUAGUGCCUCCCACUGAGCAACUAGUAAUCUGACCUCACAUUGUGCCACUCCUACCUACUUUCCAUGGGAUGGAGAGUGAGAAUCUCUACUCGCAUAUUAAGAAAUUCGAGGAGGUUUGUAAUACAUUCCAAGAAGGAGGAGCUUCAAUUGACUUGAUGAGGCUCAAGCUAUUUCCUUUCACUUUGAAGGAUAAGGCUAAGAUUUGGCUUAAUUCUUUAAGGCCAAGGAGUAUCCGAACUUGGACUAAUUUGCAAGCCGAUUUUCUUAAGAAGUUCUUCCUUACCCAUAGGACCAAUGGUUUGAAAAGGCAAAUUUCGAACUUCUCAGCUAAAGAGAAUGAGAAAUUCUAUGAGUGAUGGGAGAGGUACAUGGAAGCUAUUAAUGCUUGUCCUCACCAUGGCUUUGACACAUGGCUCUUAGUGAGUUAUUUUUACGAUGGUAUGUCUUCUUCAAUGAAGCAACUCCUAGAAACUAUGUGUGGAGGAUACUUCAUGAGUAAGAAUCCGAAGGAAGCCAUGGACUUUUUGAGUUAUGUGGCUGAAGUUUUAAGAGGAUGGGAUGAACCAAAUGCUAGAGAGGUGGAAAGAAUGAAGUCUCAACCUAAUGCUAAGGGUGGGAUGUAUGUUUUGAAUGAAGACAUUGACAUGAAAGCAAAGGUUGUAGCUAUGGCAAGGAGAUUGGAAGAGCUAGAAAUGAAGAAGGCACAAAAAGUGGAAGCCAUUUCUGAGACAUCAGUGCAAGCUAUGCCUUGUUCCAUUUGUCAACCUAAUGCUAAGGGUGGGAUGUAUGUUUUGAAUGAAGACAUUGACAUGAAAGCAAAGGUUGUAGCUAUGGCAAGGAGAUUGGAAGAGCUAGAAAUGAAGAAGGCACAAAAAGUGGAAGCCAUUUCUGAGACAUCAGUGCAAGCUAUGCCUUGUUCCAUUUGUCAAUCUUAUGAGUACCUAGUGGAGGAGUGUCCUACAAUUCCAGUAGUGAGAGAGAUGUCUGGUGAUCAAGCAAAUGUUAUUGAUCAAUUCAAGCCUAAUAAAAAUGCUUCAUAUGGCAACACCUACAAUUCAAAUUGGAUGAACCAUCCAAAUUUCUCUUGGAAACCAAAGCUACCUCAAUACACACAACCUGCUCAAGCACCUUAGCAAUCCUCGAAUCUUGAACAAGCUAUUGUGAACCUUAGUAAGGUUGUGGGAGAUUAAAAGUCCAUCAAUGCUCAACUGAAUCAGAGAAUUGACAGUGUAGAGAGUACAUUGAACAAAAGGAUGGAUGAGAUGCAAAAUGAUCUGUCUCAAAAGAUAGACAAUGUCCAAUAUGCAAUCUCAAGGCUUACCAACCUCAACACAGUGCAAGAGAAAGGAAAGUUUAUUUCUCAACCUCAUCAAAAUCCCAAGGGUAUCCAUGAAGUGGAGGCUCAAGAGAGAGAAUCUUCAAAGGUGAGGGAAGUCAAAGCAGUUAUCACCUUGAGGAGUGGUAAAGAGGUUGAUCAACCCACAUCCAAGCCAAAGCAUAAUGAAGAGAGUUUUGUAGAAAAAGAAAAGAGAGGAAAAUAAAGGAAAGAGAAUAGAGAAAAGUACAAAGAAAGAUGACCAUGAGUCUAGUGUGGAUGAAGAGCCCAAGAGGAUAGUGAUCAAGGAAAAUAUGAUGAAGAAACACAUGCCUCCACCUUUCCCCUAAGCUUUGCAUGACAAAAAAGGAACCAAUAAUACAUCGGAAAUUUUUGAAGUAUUGAGGCAAGUGAAGGUCAAUAUCCCUUUGCUAGAGAUGAUCAAACAAGUGCCGACAUAUGCAAAAUUCUUGAAGGACUUGUGCACUGUAAAGAGAGGGUUGAAUGUGAACAAGAAAGCUUUCUUGACCGAGCAAGUGAGUUCCAUCAUACAGUGCAAGUCUCCAGUGAAGUACAAAUAUCCGGGCUACCCUACCAUCUCAGUGAGUAUUGGAGGUACUUGUGUGGAAAAAGCUUUGUUGGACUUGGGAGCAAGUGUGAAUUUGCUACCCUACUCUGUCUAUAAGUAGUUGGGACUUGGAGAGUUGAAGUCAACAUCCAUCACCCUAUCUCUGGCAGAUAGAUCAGUGAAGAUUCCAAGAGAGAUGAUAGAAGAUGUCUUGGUUCAAGUUGACAAAUUCUACUAUCCAGUGGAUUUUGUUGUUCUUGAUACGGAUCCGAUUGUCAAAGGAACUAAUUAUGUUCCUAUCAUACGAAGACCCUUCCUAGCUACAUCAAAUGCAAUCAUCAAUUGUAGGAAUGGAGUCAUGAAACUCACGUUUGUCAACAUGACAUUAGAGCUCAACAUCUUCCAUUUGUACAAGAAGCAUAUCCAUUCAGAAGAAAAAGAAGGUCUAGAGGAAGUGUGCAUGAUUGACACUUUAGUGGAGGAGCAUUGUGAUCGACAAUGCAAGAAGAUUUAGUUGAGAGUUUUGGGGAUCUUGAUGAAGGGUUACUUGAACCCUCAGAUUUGCUUGCUACCCUACUCCAUUGGAGGAAGAGAGAAGAAAUUCUACCCUUAUUCAAUGAGGAGGAGACACAAAGAGCUGCUAAAGAUAAGCCCCCAAAGCUUAUUCUUAAGCCACUACCCACAGAGUUGAAGUAUGCAUACUUGGAAGAAGACAAGAAGUGCACUGUUGUUAUAUCUUUAGCUCUUACCAUUCAUCAGGAGGAUUGUCUACUUGAAGUCCUUAGAAGAAGUAAGAAGGUAAUAGGGUGGCAAAUUUCUGAUUUGAAAGGGAUCAGCCCUUUUGUCUGCACCCAUCAUAUUUACAUGGAGGAUGAAGCUAAGCCAAUUCAUCAACCUCAGAGAAGGUUGAACCCUCACAUGCAAGAAGUGGUGAGAGUUGAAGUUCUUAAGCUACUUUAGGCUGGUAUUAUUUACCCCAUAUCAGAUAGCCCAUGGGUGAGUCCUACUCAAGUUGUGCCAAAGAAGUCGGGGAUCACGGUGGUGCAAAAUGAUAAGGGAAAAGAUGUCUCUACAUGUCUCACUAUAGGUUGGAGGGUGCGUAUCAAUUACAGGAGGUUGAAUGUAGUGACAAGGAAUGACCAUUUCUCGUUGCCCUUUAUUGAUCAAGUGCUUGAGAGGGUCUCUGGGCAUCCUUUUUAUUGUUUCUUGGAUGGCUACUCGAGGUAAUUUAAGAUAGAAAUUGAUGUUGAAGACCAGGAGAAGACCAUUUUCACAUGCCCAUUUAGAACCUAUGCAUAUAGGAGAAUGUCUUUCGGCUUAUGCAAUGCACCCACAACUUUCCAAAGAUGCAUGUUAAGCAUUUUCAAUGAUAUGGUGGAGCAUAUUAUGGAAGUCUUUAUGGAUGAUAUCACCAUAUAUGGAAGUGCAUUUGAUGAAUGCUUGGUCAACUUAGAAGUUGUUCUGAACCGAUGCAUUGAGAAAGACUUAGUGCUUAAUUGGGAGAAGUGCCAUUUCAUGGUACACCAAGGGAUUGUCCUUGGGCACAUCAUCUCCAAGCAAAGCAUUGAAGUUGACAAAGCAAAGGUUGAACUCAUUGUUAAGUUGCCAUUCCCAACAAAUGUCAAAGGAGUAAGGCAAUUCCUUGGCCAUGCCGGGUUCUAUAGGAGGUUUAUCAAGGAUUUCUCUAAGCUUGCAAGGCCUCUUUGUGAAAUAUUGGUGAAGGAUGUUAAAUUCAUAUGGGAUGAUAGAUGCCAAAGGAGUUUUGAAGAAUUGAAGCUAUUUUUGACAACCUCACCAAUAGUGAGGGCUCCCAACUAGCAACUGCCCUUUGAGGUAAAGUGUGAUGUCAAUGACUUUGCUAUAGGAGCUGUUCUUGGGCAAAGAGAAGAUGGAAAACCUUAUGUGAUCUACUAUGCGAGCAAGACAUUGAAUGAGGUGCAAAGAAACUACAUAACCACCGAGAAAGAAUUGUUAGCUGUAGUUUUUGCCUUGGAUAAGUUUCGUGCUUACUUGGUGGGAUCCUUCAUCGUGGUUUUUAUUGAUCACUUUGCUUUGAAGUAUCUAUUGACUAAGCAAGAUGCUAAAGCAAAACUGAUUAGAUGGAUUUUCUUGCUUCAAGAGUUCAAUCUCCAGAUCAAAGACAAGAAAAAAAUGGAGAAUGUGGUAGUAGACCACAUUUCAAGGCUAGCUAUCGCACAUAAUUCCCAUGCUUUGCCCAUUAAUGACGAUUUUCUAGAGGGGUCUCUCAUGUUGGUGGAAGUUGUCCCUUGGUACGCUCACAUUGCUAACUACCUGGUCACAAGAGAAGUUCCAAGUGAGUGGAAAGCACAAGAUAAGAAGCACUUCUUUGCAAAAAUUCAUGCCUACUAUUGGGAAAAGCCAUUUCUAUUCAAGUAUUGUGCGGAUCAGAUAAUAAGGAAGUGAGUUCCUGAAGAAGAGCAACAGGGGAUCCUCAGUCAUUGCCAUAAAAAUGCAUGUGGAUGCCACUUUGCUUAUCAGAAGACAACCAUGAGGGUGCUGCAAUCGGGUUUCUGUUGGCCAUCACUUUUCAAAGAUGCCCACACCAUGUGCAAGAGUUGUGAUCGAUGCCAGAGGCUUGGGAAGUUAUCAUGUAGGAACAUGAUGCCUUUGAACCCCAUUUUAAUAGUUGAUCUUUUUUAUGUUUGGGGCAUUGACUUCAUGGGACUUUUCCCUAUAUCUUUUGGCUACUCUUACAUCUUGGUGGGAAUAGAUUAUGUUUCUAAGUGGGUUGAGGCAGUCCCAUGCAAACACAAUGACCAUAGAGUGGUUCUCAAGUUUCUUAAGGAGAACAUCUUCUCAAGAUUUGGGGUGCCCAAAGCCAUAAUUAGUGAUGGGGGUACUCAUUUUUGCAACAAGCCUUUUGAAACUCUCCUAGCCAAGUAUGGGGUGAAGCAUAAGGUAGCUACACCUUACCACCCUCAAACUAAUGGGCAAGUUGAGUUAGCAAACAAGGAGAUUAAAAACAUAUUGAUGAAGGUGGUGAACACAAACAGAAAAGAUUGGUCAGUCAAGCUCUUCGAUUCACUAUGGUCAUGUAGAACAGCUUACAAGACCAUUAUCGGGAUGUCUCUUUAUCACCUAGUCUAUGGAAAAAAUGCCAUCUCCUUGUGAAAUUGGAAUACAAAGCUUGGUGGUCAAUCAAGAAGCUCAACAUGGAUUUGAGCAGAGCUGGGUUGAAGAGGUUCUUAGACCACAAUGAGAUGGAGGAAUUGAGAAAUGAUGCCUACAUCAAUUCAAAAAUUGUAAAAGAAAAAUUGAAGAGGUGGCAUGAUCAGUUGAUUUCCCGCAAGAAUUUUCAAAAUGGAUAAAGAGUCUUGCUCUAUGACUCUAAACUCCACAUCUUUCCGAGCAAGCUGAAAUCAAGGUGGAUAGGUCCUUUUACCAUUCACCAAGUGCAUUCAAAUAGAGUAGUGGAACUACUCAACUCCAACAACAUCGGGAGCUUCAAAGUGAAUGACCAUUGUCUCAAGCCCUUUGUAGAGUCUUUUUUCUCGCGACAAGGAGGAAUUCAUCCUCCUUGAUCCACAUCAAGCUUGACAAGACCAGUUUUUUUUUAUGGACUUAGUCUUUCUAAAGACUAUCGAGUCCAUAACUUUUUAUUUUAUUUUUUAUUUGAGAGUUUUUCGGUAUUAUUACUUGUUUUGUUUUUUAUUUUUCGUUUUACUUUUAUUUGGUUUGAUUUAACUUAGAUUUUUUAUGAUCAAUUGCAGGGGGGAUUUCAAAUAGAGGAAAAACCAAGAUAAUUCGCACACCCUGCGAAAAUUUCGCAAGGCAUGCGAAAUUUAUGGCUCAUUUCGCAUGGGAUGCGAAAUUUCGCACACCCUACGAACCAAUUUCGCACACUUUGUGAAAAUAAACCAACCCUACGAAAUCAUUUCAAAUACUCUACGAAAUUUUCGCAGAGCAUGUAAAAAAUUUCGCAGACCAAACACCAUUUCGCAUACUAUGCGAAAAUGUAAGGGGUCUACAAAACCAUUUCGCACCUCCAAAGCCAUUUCGCACAUUGUGCAAAAAUGAAAAGUCGCCCUAUCAUCCAUUUUUAAACCCCUUGAGCCCUGAAAUCCCCAUUUCGCAAGCACCCCUGUCCUUGCGAAUCCCUCAUUUUCCUCUGCCACCUUGCGACCUUGUCCCUCUCCAUUUGAUAUCGUGCCCUGCGCACAUCUCAUUUCAAAGACUCGCACUCUGCGCCCUCUCAAAGCACGAACCCAAGGCUCACAUUCCAUUUCCGACAUGGCACAGACCCGAGGAGCCCUUCCCGCCCCUUCAUCGAGACGCACACCAAGGUAGAGAGCCUCUUUUGCUCAGAUGCCAAGUGAUUCUCCAUUUCAGGCCACGGAGGCCCUGCGGAUUCCACAUUCCAAGGGUAGAACAGCCACUGGUCCUUCCUCUUCUAUUCCUCAGCGUAGAUAUGAGACGAGGAGACCACCUACUACACAAAGGGCGACUACUUCGCGCCAUGAGAAUUCGGUACGACACCCUCCUGCCAAGAGGGCCAGGACUUCAGGCCCAGGCGAGUCAUCCAAAGCUUCACAGCCUGAGCCUCCUGCAGAUUCCGAGGUUCCUACUGACAUAUCAUCGGAGUCUAUUAUCAAACGCCCGAUGCUCACAGCACCGCCCAUUGAGGGCAACUCUGAUUGUAGAGCGAGACCUUUCCACUUGGAGCUAUAUUUUAAUUAAGAGGCCAUGCCACAGCAGCCUGAGCUCCAAGACUCUUAUGGCUUACUACAGAGGUACCAUCUUGAGGACCUUAUGACUCCUCGUGAGUUCUUUUAUCCCAGAGUAGCACUAGACUUUUACCAGUCCAUGACUACUCGUGGCGUCCCGAGUCCUACCGCGAUGCACUUCACCAUUAAUGGACGUCAUGGUAUCCUCGAGGCCAGACAUAUUGGAGAGGCUCUACAGAUUCCUUUCGAGCUAGAGGACCCAUCUGUUUUCUGCCAAUGGUCCCCAAUAUCUCAGAGGGACAUGGUCCAUAUUUUAUCCAGGGGGACAUCUACAUAUUCGAUCCUUCUACGGAAGGAGCUUCGACCUGGGAUACUCCUCGUAGAUGUGGUGCUACUUUCCAACCUCUUUCCCUUUUAGCAUUCGAUACAUAGGCGAGGAGCUAUUUUGGACGCUUUAUUCUGUAUAUCAGAGGGCUUCUACUUUGGCCCGCACCACUUGAUCAUGGUUUCCCUCAUCCAUUUUGAGGAGAAGGUCCAUAGAAAGAAGCUUCAGAGGGCGAACACCAUUCCAUUACUAUUCCCGAGGUUGCUCUACUAGAUCUUGGAGUACAUGGGCUUUCCUACUGAGCCUCGGCUUGUGUGCCGCCGCCUUUGUCAAGAGCGAUCCACUCUCGACAAAUGGAAUCAGUUGGCGGGCUAUUCUACACCUCCAGGAGCCCCUCCCAUGGUAGCACCUCUAGUGUCCCCACAGGCAGAGUAGGGCAAGCUCCCGGUAGAGACUGCACCCCUAGUGCCCACACCUGAGGCUACUUCUGCUGUUCCGCCUACGACUCCUACUGUUCCACCAGUUGGUCCUUUUACAUCUGAGUCUUCCAUCAACAUCUCGACUUCGGAGUUUCGCGCCCUUGUGCAUACCUUUCAGACACUCACCACCACACAUACUGCUCUCUUCUAGAAAAUGGCUGAGAUGCGUGCCCAUCAGGACCAGCAGACUACUAUACUCCGCCAAAUUCAACAGCACCUGGGACUUCUGCCUCUGCCUCAGCUUGACCUUCCCACAUCAUCAGAGCCUCUAGCUCCAGUUGAGGAUACUAUUCCACCUGAGGACACUACCACAGUAGAGGUUCAGAUUCCACCACCUCAGGAGGCCACCACAGCUACAUUAGAGGAUGCAUCAUCUCCACCUGAGGCUCCCACUACUUGAUCAUAGGACAUCUCUUUAUCUUAUUGUAUUUACAUAUUAUAUUACUGGAGAUUUGUCUUUGUUUUGAUACUUUAUAUUCUGGCAUUGAAUGUAUUGCCUAAUGAUAUCUCAAUUGUACUUUCUCAUAUUAAUAUAUAGACAUCAAUUUUUUUUAGUAUACUUAGGAUUUUUCUAUUUACUCUACUCAUUACUCUUUUGUUUUUUUUUUUUUACUCAUGUGGUUUCUCCUAUACGACUCAGACUCCAUUUCACUCAGGAGGUACCACUUCUUCCCUUUAUUUUCAAUUGCUCUUGAAACAUUGAGGGCAAUGUUGAUCUUGGUUGGAGGGAGAGUUGAGGAAGGAAGUGAUUACUACUCAAAAAGUGCUAUUUCAUAGCUUGUAAUUAACUCUUUUAAAACACUUUUGAGUAGUAGUUAUCACCUUUUAACCCAAUUAACAUAUUAAGGACCCUUGCAAUCAAUUCUAAUCAAAUUGUGUUAAGUUUUGGUAUUUUGAUAGCUUUUUUAUCACCAAAGCAAUCCGAGAUUGAGGAUAUUUAUUUGGAAUCCAUGGCAAAAGAUGUUUGGACAGGACGUCCGGACACACCAUCGGAGGGCGGCGGAACGUGGGCUGUGGCAGGCUGUCGGAAUGACGUAGCAAGGCUUGUGCACUUUAGCCAAUGAUCGGGAUAACAUAUCCGAAAUUCUGCUCCGCCGACAUUCCACCCGGAUGUCUCACAUCCGGAAUUCUGCUCCGCCGACAUUACACCCAGAUGUCUCACAUCCAAAAUUCUUCUCCGUCGACAUUCCAUCCGAAUAUUUCACAUCCGACGCUUGACGCCGGAUGGGAGAGGAGGGCGUUUCAACUUCCCCGGUCAGACAUAUCCGAAUCCUUUGAUAACGCUUACCCGGAGAGUUUCGCAGCCAUUUUGCACAGUGCCGCGGUGUUCUCUUGAAGCUUCCCGAUAUGUGCGACCGACAUUUUGAGAUAUUUUGCUUUAGAUAUUUGAUGUCUAAAUCCCCAAACUCUCCUUGUAACCCACCAAUUAUAGGAUUCCUUAGUUAUUAAGUUUGGAAAAAUGGUGAAUAACCCCUUAUAUAUAGUUUGCAAUUUUCAUAAAAAAGAUAUGUAGAAUCUCGGGAGCUUGUUCCCAGAGAGACGCAUCCUUUGUACAGUUUUGGAAGGAAGUAAAAUACAGAGCACUUGCUCUGCUUUUCAUAUAUAUUUUUGUUUUCUCGUUCUUUUUAUUUCUAGCCAAUCAAAGUCUGAGGAUUUUUCCUCAGAGGAUGAGAGGCUAGGCUCUUCGUCUCUUGGAGUGAAGAAAACUAGGUAAGUUUCCACAUGCAUAAAUUGAAAGUUUUGUUGUUUUAGUUUUUAAUGAAGAGAAAGUGUGACCCGUUAAUGGUUUUUAUCUUUUUAGUUAACUUAAAACGCCUUUAAAUCACCCGGGCCAACACUUGAUAAGGCAAGUGGUCUCCAUCCAUUGAGAUGCACUAGUUUAUCUCUUGCGAGCCUUUGGGAGGUGGUUUGAAGGUAGGAUUUUCUAGAAUAACCAACACUUGAUAAGCUUUUGGACUCUAAGGAGACAUCCAUUAGUUAUCUCUUGCGAGCUUUUGACGGGUAAUCCAAGGUUAAAGAUCACCUUGAAUGGCAAGUACUAGGUGAGAGGUAUGAGCCAUUGCAAGAUGCAUUAGUGAGAGGGAUUUAGUGUUUGAACCCAUUAAAGGGAAGCAUCUGUACCACACCGGUUCGGGAAAUAACUAUAUGUUAAAUCCCCAAUGAGAGGAAAAGAAACAAGUGACCGGAACUCCCUUUUUGUAUAAGGAACCUGAGCCUAGUGAUCUAAACUCCAAGAAACACUUUUCUUUGUAAGUAAAAUCAGUUACUAUUUUUGGUUAGUUUAAAACCAAACCUUUUUCAUUCAAACAUCUUUAUGUUUUCUUUUAAAGCUAACCUUGAAAUGAAAAGGCACCAAUUCAUAUUUGAAUUAAUAUCAAUUGUGAAGUGAAAACCCAUCCCAGUGAACGAUCCUAGAGCCACUAUGCUAUAGUAGCUUUGUCUUUGCUACCCUAGUUCAUGGUUUAAUAGGUUAUAAAUUUUGUUGAUUACUCCCACAAUCAAAGGAGCACCAGUUGGACAUGAAUCAACUGAGACACUAAUUGGGCACAAAUCAGGAAGUUUUGUUAAUAAUGCUAGGUUAAUUUGUUAAUUUAGUUACUUUCUGCUUAAUUUUAAAAGUUUUCACUUUACUUUCCAUAGUUAUUAAGGAAAAAUUCUCAAAAUGAAAUGGGAGAAAUUGAAUUCUUACAUUUUUACUUGAAUUUUAGAAUUUGUAUUAUGCUUAUUGAAGCUGAUGAAUUAUUGAAACUCCUAUUGAAUUCAACCUUAUUUCUUCCACUUUAAUCUUACCACACACGGUGCACAUUAGGUUCCGAUUAUAAGAGGUGCGUUCUUAGCCUAUUGGAGGUUGGUCAAUUUGUUAAAGUUUGAGAAAGAUCUAGGUUAGGGGAGAGAGAAUAGUCUGACAUACUAUAAUCGAAAACUAAUAAACUUAACACUUAGAUCUUUGUGGAAGAGUAAGGAUUGGACCUUUGGGAGUGGAAAUUCGUUUGAUGCUUAAAUUUGCAUAAUGCUUACACUUUAUAAAUUGUGAUUAGGCAAGAGAUUUGAUGACUCUUGUUCAAGGUUGGGUUUUGCCUCUUUGAUGUUCCAUGAGAGAGUAUAAUCCUCAUCAUGCCACUUGAAAUUUUUUUUGGAGUGAUUAACAUGAUUUUGUAAAUUACUUUACUGUCUAUUUUUUUUUUAUCUCUCCUUCAUUGCUAAUGGACUAGCAAUAUGUCAGUUGAGGGGAGUGAUUACUACUCAAAAAGUACUCUUUUAUAGCUUGAAACUAACUGUUUUGAACACUUUUGAGUAGUAGUUAAUACCUUUUAACUCAAUUGGCACAUUAAAGAACCUAGCAAGGGUUACUAAUUAGUUUUUGGCAAGUUUUGGUGUUUUUGGUAGCUAUUUGAUCAUUGAAACAAGCCAAGAAUGAGGGAGAAUUUUGUGAAGUCCAUGGCAAUGCAAGUUAAAGCUCAAAUACAUGAAGAAUCCAAGCUUUGGAGCACUUCAUAGCCCUUUCCAAAGCCAAUCAGAGAUGCAAGGAAGAAAACCAGAGGAAGAAAUCCAACAAUUAGCAUUUUCGCAUGGCUGUGCGAAAUUUCGCACACCAUGCGAAACCACAAGAGGCAGCCAAAGAAUUUUGCACACUAUGCGAAAUUUCGCAUGGUAUGCAAAAUCUUCUUGUGCACCAACUCCGUUAUAUUUUUAUCUCAAAUAUUUUGUGUAAUUUCCUAGUUUCUCCUUGUAACCAACCUAGAUAUUUUCUUUUAUAUAUUUUUUAGGUAACAUCAUCUAUAGGGGGAGAGACAUAAGGAGGAUAUGGAUGUUUUUCAUAGAACACUUGUAAAUUUCCGGUAGUAAGAAAUAUACAGAGCUUUUUGCUCUACCUUACCUUCUCAUUUUGUUUUCACUUGUCUUUCUAGCCAAACAACCUCUGAGGAUGAUUUCUUAGGGAAUGAGUGGCUAGGUUUUACGUUUCUUGGAGUGAGGGAAGCUAGGUGAAAGACCCGAAUGCUAAGGUGGGAGUUGUCCUUGCUUUAAAUGAAAGUAGUUGUUAAACAUUAAUGGUUUUUAUUUUAAGGUUUAGCUUUAAAUCCCUUAAAAACAUCUUGAAUGGUCAAUACUUGGUAGGCUUUUUGGAUUCUAUGGAUGCUUAUUGCUAGAUCCCUGGAUGUCUAUUAGUUAUCAUUUAUGAGCCAUUGGAAGGUGGUUCAAGAUGAGGGUCUUUAAUGUUUGAAGCCAUUAAUAGGAAACAAUUACCAUUCUUUCAUGAAUCCUUUGGAUCAAAUCUUAAUUGCUAAAUAUAAAACUAGUUCGGGAGAUAACCAUCCUUUAUGUUAUUAUGCCCAACGCGAGGAGAAGAUUCGGAAUCUUCCCCUUUGUCUAAGGAACCCGAUCCUAGUGACCUAAAGCUCUAAGAGACCUUUUCUUUAUAGUUAACUUCACUUAUUGUUUUUUCUUAACUUAAAAUCAAUCUUUGCAACCACAAUUCCAUUUUCUUUGAAAGCUAAUUUUCAUAAGGAAAAUCACCAUUUUAUUUUCUUCCCUAAGUCAACUGUACGAUGAAAACCCAUUCCCAUGGACGAUCCUAGAGCCACUAUACUAUGUUAGCUAUGCUACCCUAAUGUGAGGUGAUUUAGGUUUUAUAAAUUUUGUUGAUAACACCUGUUUGAGCCAGAAUCAAAUGGCGCAACUGAACCAGGGACGAAUCAACAACUUAUAUGGGAGGGACACAAGUUUAAUUGAUUUGCAUUUCAACGUUAUAUAUAGGUAUGUUUUGGAAGAUUUGUUCUGGAAAUACUGCACCAAGUACGAUUCUUUUUGUCUUGAGUGGGUCUACUUGCAUGCCAAUUAACGAGUGGAAAAGUAGGAGCACCUACCUCAUGCUCGCGGAACCGAAGGUCAGUGAAGUGGGGCUCCUUUUGGCCUCUUGUGUUUCUAUUCCAACCAAGGCGGCGUAAGGAAAAACAACAAUAUGUUUGUGCUAAAUAUCAACGCAUGAUAGAUGUUUUUGUUUUUUGGUAUGUCAAGGCUAAUGAAUGAAAUGCUUUAGCUUGUUUUGUGACUGGAACUGCAAAUGUCCAAAUUGGAGUAUCUCCAUUUCUCACUUCGGAUGGUUAACUUAUAAACAAGAUAUAGGAAACAUGUGAACAUCUUGAGGAACAAUUUGAAUUAUUCAUUAGAAGUCCUGGGUUGAGUUCCAAGAUUUAAAUUAGACCCCUCUAGCAGCUUCAGGGGUACCUAGCAACCUAUAGCAUAUUAAUGAAGAUUUAGGAUUUAGACUCUAGAAUACAAAUUAAUAUGUAUCUCAUGCUUUGACUAGCUUCCCUACAUAUGCACAAAAUGGAGAUGACCUAAAAAAAUAGCAGAAUCUAGCUUCCCUACAUAUGCACAAAAUGGAGAUGACCCAAAAAAUAGCAGAAUUUCCUUAGUUUCUGUGGUUAAGGUGAUUCUCCGCUUAAUAUCACAUUGACUCAUUAUGCAAAAUCAACUGAGCUAAUUUUGUUUAUUUAUUUAAUGUCAAAUAGGAACUCCUAAUUAACCUAACCCUUGGCCUGUGUAAAUUGAUUUCACAUGCCCAAUGUUGAAGUAGAAGUCCAUAUUUUGAAUUUUAUUUUUGUAAAGGUAAGGAAAAUGAAGCAUUGUGUAAUUAUAAAAAUAACUUCAUUGGAAUUCACAAGGUUCACCCAAAAUGGAGCUACAUCCGUAUUCUAUCCUGCAGUAGACUAUAUAGAUUGUACAAUAGUAAAUUGCAAAUACAAUUAAUAAGUCUUGUGCUUCCUUACUAAUAAUCCUUUGACAUGAACAUUGCAGCACUAAGGUCCUCUUGGGAAGACACCUUGCACCCAUGAGAGCACGAAGAGGAAGCAAGGCAGAGUCAUGGGUGCAAUGUCAUGACUUGUUGUUGCACCAAGAGAGGCUUGGUGAUGGCAUGGUGUUGCAGUAGCAAGAAUGUUGCCUUGGUAGGGACAUAAUCUAGGGAUAGAUGCCAAGAAAGGCUUAGCACUCACAUGAGUUGCACAAAGAUGAAUGUAAUAGAGCAUCAGAGAGACGUCUUGGCAAGUAAAUGAAUGGAUCCAAGAGGCAACAACAUGAGGAGUUUCAAAUGGAUAAGGAAUGAGUCAAAGACAUUUGAAAGCUACAAGUUGGAUUCUAAUUACGAUUGCAAUUUGAGUUUGAGUAGGAGUUUAGAUUCUGAUUGUAAUUGUAGUAUGAGUUGGACUAGGAUUGCUUAUCCCUAGUCAAAAUAGGAGUGGUUCGUGUCACACCCUAUGAAAAGAGUUUGAGUAGGGACUAGGAUUGCUUACUCCUAGUCAAAUAUGGAGUAGGUGGUGCCACACCUAUAAAAAAAAAGGGACAACAUGAGAGAGAGAGAGAGAGAGAGAGAGAGAGAGAGAGAGAGAGAGAGAGAGAGAAAGAGAUAAUGAAUUCACUAAAGAUAUUGUGGGAGUUUUUCUUUGUUACGUCUUGUAUUAUUACUUAGAAUAGGAAUAAAAUACAAGUUUGGGCUAGAGCCCCAUAAUUAAUCUCGUGUGCCUUUGUGGUUAUUCUUUAUUUGUCAUCUCGUGUGGAUUGGAUUACAUUGACUUAGAGGGCUUCUAAGCACCACCUUUGUGGGUUAUUAUUUAUUUUCCAUUUCUUGUGGAUUAGAUUAGGUUGACUUUGAGGGCUUUUAAGCACCACCUUUGUGGGUUAUUCUUUAUUUUCCAUAUCGUGGGGAUUGGAUUAGGUUGACGAUGAGAAAAAUUAUGUGGGAAAUUUGUGUUGGGACACUUAUCAUAACCAGGUAAAAUCUGCCAAGUCCUUUGUAAUAUCUUCAACAAAUAUUUCAGACUAGUUCUUCACCAUAAACAUCAUAUUGUGUUUUGUUUUUCUCCUGGAUUCUGAGUUGAAUUGUUUCAAGUCAAUUGAAUGCAUCUGAAUAUUAUUAGCUUGUUUGAAGGCCUGGUGAUUUUCCAUUUAACUUUACUUUCUUUAGGUUAUGCUCACUAUAAGAAAAAUGAGAAAUAAUGACGCUUUUUACGCGUUAAGAAAGGCAACAGAUGAUGCUUCUCUAAAGCGUCCUCUUCGGCUCUGUCAUUAUAUGUGUUAGCCAAUAAUGACGCUUCUAGGAAGUGCCAUCUUUGAAUAAUGUUAAUAACGACACUCGUAAAAAGUGUCAUCUUUAAACAUAUUCUGGUCAAAUAAUUUUUACAAAAUUAGUAAUCUUCAAGCCGUUUCUGAAUCAUAUCUGAGCCUAUUUCUGGGGACCAGAAAACCAUCUUUUUUCCAUUCGCCUGAGAGGUCUGAUUAGCAUUUCUGGAAUCAAUCUCUAAACCCAAGCUUCCCUCAUCUACCCAUUUAACCCUCAUGCCCUCCUGUUUGAACAACUUUCCCACUAUAUACACAAAUUUUUUACCUUCUGUUGUUGGUAUUCGACCUCUUCCCAUUCCCAGCACAGAAUCCACCAUUAGUGCCACUUUGUGAAUAAAAUCAUCGAACCAGAUCUUUCGGGCGGAAGAUGAGCUCCAGAGAAAUAAAAUUUUUGGGGUCUUCCCAGCAUGAAAGUCAUAGGUAGCAUUAAUGACAUCAAGAAAUGGGGCACUGUUGAGAAAAAACAUGUUCCCAUCAACCACCCAAGAAUUGUACCAGACUCCAAACACUUCUGGAUUACAUAUGCCUUUACUAAGAUAUAUUUCUUGAUCUCCAUAUCAGAAUCUUGGAGACUCUUCAUUUUAUGAGCUCUGACACUACUGUGAAAUUGGUCCACAUCAAUCACAGGAUGACCCCUUCUAGCAAGAUCAAGCAGGAAGUCUGAAUUCGGGCCCAUAAAAAUGUAGUUCUGAAUAUUGAAACUCUCAAAGUGGCACAACAAAUUCCUUAUGACUCUUUCAGAUGCUCCAAACAGGCUCACAAGUAUAAUGGUAUCCUGUUUUUGCACAGAGUAAAGAAAAUAUCCGAGUUCUUCAAAACUCCUUACAACUAUUCCAGGAUGUACUUCUUUGAAACAGAAAUCGUACCACUUUAGCUUAGUCAGAGGUUGAAUCUAAAAUAACAAAACCCAAACUGAAAUCAAAAUCGAAAUCAACCCUAAUAGAUUUCAGAAACAACAAAUUAAAAGAGUAAAGCACAAAAGGGGGAAAACACAUAUGAAGCAAUCUCCAUACAAGCCCUAACCUUAGAUAAACCCAAAAAAAAAAAUCAAAGCAGAGAGUUACCAUAGAGCAUCUCUGUUUCAAGCUUAGAAAAUGUUUAAUGCCAUUGAUAACUAGUUGGCUAGUGGUGGACUUCAAGCUUCUCUAUUUCGGUGUUAGUAGCUCUCAAUGGCUAUGGUGAGAACAAAGAAAUGAGAGGCUUAGGGUUUGGGAUGUGAGGUUAUUGAUGAUGAUGAGGAUAAAGUUAUGGGCUCUUGGAGGGGUUAGGGAAAUUGAAGAUGGCUGAGAGUAAAGGCUAGGGUUUUUGAGAUAGUUAAUAGCUUUUUAGGGUGUGACUGUCCAUAGAUAGAAGAUAAAUGAGGGUGUGAGAAUUUAUAGAUCUCUAGGUGAUAUGGCGGGUGUGAGAAUGAAAUUUUAGAGGGAAUUGUGUGUUUGGUAGAAAUUUCACACAUGCAUAUAUAAUGUUUCAGAACAUGGCACUUUAAAAAUACGACAAGGAAGAAAUUAUUUAUUGACGCUUAAAUAAAGCGCCAAGGUCUCCAACAUUUUUGCAAUCAAUGACGUUUGUAAAAGGUGCCAUUGAAUAGGAGUGCCAUUGCUUUCCCACAAAGCAUCAUUGUUAAUCAAGCCUUUAAAAAACGCCAAGAUAUGUUGCCACUUAGGUUAAAUAUUGACGCUUUUAAAAAACGCCAAGGAAAAAAACGUCAUUAUUCAUGUUUUUUGUAGUAGUGGCUUGAUUCCUAAAAAGUAAAGGAAAGCAAAAAGUAAAAAAAUAAAAAUGUGGAGAGUUAGGACAUGCGUUAUCUAAUUGUCCUAGUCCCAAAUAUAUUAAGAAAGUCAUGUAGGUUACUUGGAGUAACGAGUCAAGUAAAGCAAGCCUUCUAGUGUUUAAGACAUUAGAUAUUACCGAACUGAUUAUGUCAUUAAUGUAUUGCAUUUGUUGUUUCUAAUAUAUAGAAGAAGAUGAAAUUAUUGGAAUAAGUGGGAAAUAGGAAUAAAUCCAAGGUACCAAAAAGUCACUUUAUCUUAGAUGUUGUUGGAAACAUAAGUGAUUUCACAAUAACGACUAUGAGACAAUCAAGGAUUAAUAAGAUAGACUUUAUAUGAUAUACCUCCCAAUUAGAGCCUAAAAAUAUGGAUGAAGCACUUAGAGAUGAAUCUUCAAUUUUUGUACUAUAGGAAGAAUUAAAUCAAUUUGUUAGCUAUUCUUUGGAUAUUUGAUUCAUCACAAGCUACAAAUCACUUUUGAUGACCAAACACGAAACUAAGAGGAUUGGGCCCAAUUCGAUGCCUAUCAACAAUGAUUUGUAUUCCACCUCAUUAAUUAUUCAAAGUUGGGAAGCUAGGUCUAACCACUUUCUCUACCUGUUCACCCUUAGAGGAGCAGAAGAAAAUUCUAACUUUGGUGCCUAAUGCCUUUGACAAUCUUUCGACAAAGAGAGUUCACUAAUUACUUUGAUUAUUUCUCUGUUGGUCACUGGGGGACAAGACUUUUGUAAUGAAGUCAACUAGAACUUGCCCUUUGAGGGCCAUUCAUGGACGAUAUUACACCAUGAAUUCCCUUAGGUCAUGUUUGGUAUGUGAGAAUGAGGAGUGGAAUGGACAUCUUAUUCAUUUUUUCAUCUAUUCAAAUGUUGGGAUAACUCAAGUGACCAUGAGAAUGAAAUCAAGAAUGAUUCAAGGGAAAUGAAAUCUUACUUAUAAGUGUGAUUUCAAUUAAUCUCUAAUAGAAAUUAUUUUGAAUCAAUAGUGCAAGUUAUUUUUAAAAACAUUUUUCCAAAAUUAAAAAAAUCAAUUUUUUUUUUUUCGAUAAGUUGUUUUUAAAAGGAUUUUUUUUAUUUUGUAAAAAGAAAAUUGUAAUUCAAUUUAUAUAAUAUAAACUAAAUUUUAUUUUAUUCAAAAAGAAAUAAUUUUUUAAUUAUAAAUAAAUUAAAAAUAAAUACUUUUAAUAAAAUAUAAAUAGUAUUAUUAUAAUAAAAUCAUAAAUAAAUUUAAUUUUUUUUAUAAAUAUUAUAAAAAUAUGGAUAUUAACAUUGGAUAAUUGAUUUAUUUUGUUAAAAUAAAAAAUAAUAAUUUUUAAUAUUAUUUUAUGUUAAAUGAAUUUUAAAAUAAAGAAAGUUUAAUUAUUUUAAGGUAUAGAAGAGCCAAAUUUUGCAUUACAUACAUAACAAACAAUAUUUAUUAGAAACAUUUCUCAAGGAGAAUCUUAUUCCAUCUCACAAAGAUACUCGUUUAUUCGAUGUUUGACCAUCCGUAACAAUCAUGUCAAUUCUACUGAUUUAAUAAUUCCUUUACAUUUAUUACUCACUUAUGAACAUGGUAUUGUGAUUUAUUUAUUUAUUUGAUGUAUAAUUAAUUAAUCAAUUUUUUAAAUUUCAAAUUAUUUUUAAAAACUAUUCAUUAAGGAAUUUAAAGCAUUAAUUAUGUCUAUUAUUUUUUAUAGUCAUUAUAUAUAUAUUGAGUUUUAAUUUAUUUUUAAAAAUUAUUAAACUUAUUAAUAAAUUCAAUAUAAAGUCUCGUUUCAUUUGAAAUUCAUUUCUUUAGUGAAAAUUUUGAAAAAAAAAUUGUUAUUUAUUUUACUUUGUUUUAAAAAAAUUGUUUCUAGAGAACAAUAAUCAAAUAAUGGUAUGAAUUUUUAAAAACAAUUUUGUUUUUAAAUCAUAUGCCCAAAUAAUUUUUUUUUAUUUAGCAAAAAACUUUGUUGUAGUAUGUGGCUCAUAUUGAGGGAAAGACAUAUAUGGAGAAAAAUGUGCAAAUGUUGGAGUGGAGCGGAGUGGAAUGACGACAUUUGUCAUUCAAACUUGUAUUUUUAUUGUUAAGGGUGACCGAUAGGUUGGUACGGUUUAGGGGUAUUUUUGGAAUUUCAUUACCUGAGGGUUAGUAUAAAUACCAUUUUAUGUAACCCUAAUUUUACAUAUAAUGUAAGUUUUCUUCCUUGUUCUUGUGGACAUAGGCAAUCCGUCGAACCACGUUAAAUCUGUGUGUUUUUUUUUCUUUUUUCUUUUUCUCUAAUUUCUUCACCAGGAAUCGUUACACUAAGAUCAACAAACUCUCAAAGAUGAUUUUUAAAAUGAAAAAAAUAAUGUAUAGUGUGAGAAUUUUUUAUUUUUUAUUUUUUUAAAAUGAAAAUAAAAAAUUGCUUUAAGGUAAAAGUGUGGAUAUUAUUGUUAAUUUAUUUCAUUUUUCAUUUUCAUUUCCAUUGUUACCUACAAUUGAAAUGGAAACAACUAAUCAUUACAACCUUACAUUCUUAUAUGCAUCCAAAUACAAAAAUUGAAAUCACCAAAUUCAUAUUCAAGGCAAAAUAGGAAUGAAAACAAAUAUUCAUUCUCAUUCUUUAUUCCCACGUGUCAAACAUGACCUCAAAGUUAUAAACAUGAACAAGAAGUCCUUGAAACACCAAUGAUCUCUUCUGGUAUAUAUAUGAGCUUGAUUGACAACUGUUUUAAAUACAGUUUUUUUUUUUUUUGUUUUCAAAAUCAAAACAAAUUUAUUUUUAUUUUUUAUAAAUAGUAGUUUUUUAAUAUUUUUUUUAAACCUUAUUAUGAAAAUAGGAUGUUUUCUAAUAUCAUAUUUUAAUUAUUUUCAAUUAUUUUCCCUUCUUUUAAGGAGGGCUAUUUUAAAAAUAUGAAAAAUGAUACAAAAUAAAGCAUUACAAAUAAAAAUCAUUUUUAAGAAAUAUAUGAAAAUAAUUUGAGAACAUUUGAAGUUCCUUAAUUAAACUUUUGUUCUAGAAAAUGCAAGAAAACUGUUUUUGAAAAUUGUUUUCAUAAUGAUAUGCAUUGAUCGUUUAAAAUUUAAUUACAUGAUAAAAAGACCUAUGUAAAAACCAGAGUUAUAUAAUCAGUCAUAGAUCAAAUCUACUAAAUAUGAAAAGUAAGUACAUAGUUGUAUAUGACUUAGAUGGAGCCUUCUCCGAAUGACAUUCUUUAGUCGGUACUCAUAUUUUUUUGUUUCGUGUCUUCAACAUAACACCUCAUGAUCCUUAAUAAAUCACCUGAAAACUAUAUUAGCACCUUAUUGUUUAAUAUUUCUCUAAAUUUUUUUAUUAAGCAAAUAAAUUCCAAAUUUAAAAUGACAAAUAAAAUUUAUUAAUUUUUAAAAAUAAUUUAAAACUCAAAAACCAAUUUAAUUGAUAUUAAAAGUCAUGAAACUUAAUAAUAUUAGAAAGUCAUGUAUCCAAAUUUAUUUUAAAUGACUUGUUUAAUUUCUUGUUUAUAUAUAUUAUAUUUUUAUAAUUUUUUUUACUAUACAAAUAAAUUUUAAAUUAAACAAAACUUAAUGCGUUGAAUUCAUUAACGAGUCUAAUAAUUUUUAAAAGUUACUUAAAAUUUAAAUACUAAAUCAAUUAGUACCACAAAUUCAUGGAAAAAAAUUGAUUUAUUACUACUAUAUUGUUUCUCUAUUGCAUAGAACCAUUAUUUUUCAAUUUUUUCAUUUGGCAAAUGAACAUCAAAUUAAACAAGACUAAGUGUAUUAAAUUCAUUAAUGGGUCUAGUAAUUUUUUAAAAUAAUUUAAAAUUCAAAUAUUGAUACUCCAAAUUAAACAAGACUUAGGUGGUGUUUGUUUUUUGGUUGAAUAGAAAAAGGUAAAAUAUUUGACUUUUUCUAUUUAGUUAAAAGUAACUUGUUGACAUCGUCCAAUAUAAUUAAAGUAAACCUAUUGAGGGCAAGUUCACUUUAAUUAUGUUGGACGAUGUCAACAGGUUACUUUUAACUCAAUAGAAAAAAUCAAAUAUUUUGACUUUUUUUUUAACUCAAAUAAUAAAUCCAUUAAUACAAAAAAAUUAUGGAUAAUUUGAAACUUUCUUUCUUUUUUUUUUUUUUUUUGCUACACAUAGCUAUAUUUUUAUAAAUUUUAUCAUUAGAGAAAUGGAUUUCAAAUCAAGUGAAACUUUGUAUUGAAUUAAUGGAUUUAACAUUUUUUAAAAAUAAUUUGGAACUAAAAAAAAAAGAUUUAAUUACUAAGAAAAUCAUAGAUCAAAACUAAUAUAUUCUGAUCCAUGAUUUUAUUAUUUUUCCUAUACAUACAAUUAUAUUUUUAUAAUUUUCUCACUAGGUAAAGAUAUUAUAAAUUAAGUGACACAUAAUUAAUAAUUUAAAUUUUUGAAUGAAUCUUUUAAUUUUAGGAAUAAUUUGAAAUUUAAAAAGUUGAUCCAAUUAAUUGUAAAUUAACUUAAAAUAUUAUAAAAUAUUAUGUUCAUAAUUAAGUACUAAAUGUAUAUAUGUAAUGAAAACUUAACUAGUUACAUGUUACAAAAGCCAAAAUUUAUUCAUUCUUUAUUUUAAAUAAAAUAUUAUUAAUAAUUAUUUUUUUUAAAAUAAUAUUUAGUAAUUAUUGUUUUUAAAUUAUUAUUAUUAAUUUUUAAUAAAAAAAUUGCAAAGUUAUUAAUAUCAUUAUAUUUCUAACAUAAAUUUAAAUAGUAUAUUUUUUAAUAUAUAUAUAUAUAUAUAUAUAUAUAUAUAUAUAUAUAUAUAUAUAUAUAUAUAAUUUAUGAUUUCAUUAUAAUAUUUUUAUUCAUGAUUGACGAAAAAUUAUUUAUUGUUUAAUUUAUUUGAAUUGCAAAACUAUUUUUCAAAAUUCAAGCGAGAAAAUAGGCCUGGAUUUGAAUUUCCUGUAGAAGAGAAGGAUGUGGAGAAUAUGUUGGGAGUAUUUGUGGAUAAAGAAAAGGCCAGGGUACUGAGAAAGGAGAGAGAACUUGCUCUUGCCAAAAGAGCCCUGCACAGGUAUUCUACUGAUUCUAAUUAUCGGUUCUUACAUGAUCAGAUUUCAGAUUUAUUUGCUGAGCUUCUGAAAUCUGAUACAGUAUUUAAACUCCGGUGAGCUUUACAAGAUUAGUCUCGCAUCCAAUUCCAAAUGGUGUCCCACAAUUGAUUCUUCUUAUGAUAAAUCCACCUUGAUAUGUGAAAAUAUUGCUCGAAAGGUUUAUCCUCGCGAGGAAUAUCCAGAAUACUAAGGAAUUGAGGAGGCUCACUAUGUUUAUAGAGUCAGGGAUAGGUUGAGAAAACAAGUAGUUGUUCCAUUACAUAAGGCCCUGGAGUUGCCAGAGGUUUUCAUGUGUUCGAACAAGUGGGGAUCACUUCCCUACAACCCUGUGGCUUCAGUGGCCAUGAAAUCAUACAAGAGCCUCUUCUCAAACCAUGAUACAGAGCGGUUUGGUGAGUAUCUUGAGAAAGUGCAAACUGGGAAGGCUAAGAUUGCAGCUGGUGCAUUACUUCCCCAUGAGAUUAUAGCUUCAUUGAAUGAGGAGGAUGCCGAGAGAGUUGCCGAGCUUCAGUGGGCAAGAAUGCUGGAAGAUUGAUCAAAGAAAGGGAGGCUCACAAAUUGCAUUGCAGUAUGUGACGUAUCAGGAAGUAUGAGUGGAACUCCAAUUGAGGUGUGUGUGGCUCUGGGGCAGUUAGUUUCAGAGCUCAGUGAAGAUCCAUGGAAAUUAAGGUAAUGUAAUUACUUUCAGUGCAAAUCCUGAGCUUCACAAGAUCCAAGGAGACAGCCUUGUAUCCAAGACUGAAUUUGUGAGGAUGAUGGAAUGGGGUGCCAACACUGACUUUCAGAAAGUUUUGACAGAAUCUUACAAGUAGCAGUGGAGGGAAAUAUGAGUGAAGAUCAAAUGAUAAAGAGGGUUUUCGUUUUCAGUGAUAUGGAGUUCGAUGAAGCUUGUGGGAGGUAUAACUAUUGUGACUAUGACUAUGAUAUGGAGGAAAUUGACGAGAGUCAGAAGGCAUCUCAGAAGUGGGAGACAGAUUAUGAAGUGAUACAGAGGAAAUUCCAGGAGAAAGGAUACAGAAAAGUUCCAGAGAUAGUGUUUUGGAACCUUAGAAACUCAUCAGCGACUCCAGUGACGGCCACAGAGAACGGGGUGGCCUUAGUAAGCGGGUUUUCAAAGAAUCUGUUGACCUUGUUUUUGGAAGGAGGUGGAAUUCUGAUCCCUCAGGAUGUGAUGGAAUUCGCCAUCUCUGAUGAAGAUUACAAGAAACUUGUUCUAUUUGAUUAAGAUAUCAAGAGAUUUAUCAAUAAUAAUAUAUUUUUUUUCUAUGUGAAAUACAUAUAAUAUUAACUGUGGAGUUAUCAAAGUUCUGGAGGUUUAAUUAUUUCUUCUUUUCAAGUUUUGUUUAUUUAAGGUUUUCUUUGUCUUUGUUAGGAAUUCCCCUUGGGUGGACCCAGCUGGGGAGUUGGAUUGAGGAAGUAAGCAGGCGAACUUGUGUUCUUCUAUGGACAGAGAAAAAAAAUAAAAUAAAAAAAUAAAAAAGGAGGUUAUUUGCAUUUGGAUGUCGUGGUUUGAGGGUACAACUACAAGCUCGAAAUUGUACAUAAUGUGAAAACUCCUGUGUCCAUUGCUGAGAACAGCAUAAAUGAUGGUGAUUUUCAAGUUGUGCCUGGUAUUCUACAGGAUGAAACAAGAAAGGAUCCAGGUGGUAUAUUGAACAAUAUCCCAAUCAUGUUGGUGGCAUCUUUAUUUAGUUAAUGGUAUUCAUUUGGUGGAAGCUGGUUGUUUAUGAUGUUUUUAAUUUUUUUUAACAUGAAGUUCGAUCAAAUACGUAUCUUAGUAUGUUUUGUUUGAGCUAAUUGGCAAAUGCGCUUUAAACAUGGUCACAUGGAUGCAGUUUUAUUUGUGAAAUGAUAAUAGUCGAUUACUUGGUCAGUAAGGUUUAUAUCUCUAACUUCAACAUCUUAUUGUAGUCUUUUAAAAUGUCAAAAGUUUAAUGCUUGAGAAAUUUUGGAAUGGAGACAUUCUAAACAAAGUUAAUAAUCCACAAGACUUGGUAAAACCGAUCAGAUGAUGCUUACGUACAUCAAUGCCUUCUUUAAGCCAUAUCCUAUUUUCAUUGAACGGGAUGUGCCAUCUAGUUUGGUUCUUUAAGCCUCCAAAUCCUAAACCUAGUCUCAAUUUAGAGCAAAUUUAGGGUGCAGGGCCUGCAUGCCUCCCCCUCCCCCUUCCACAAAUAGUAGUGACCUUGCUAUGCCUAUGCAUUGUCAAUGCCUCAUUUUCUAUGGUCUCCAAUGUAAUAUCUUAGUUUCAAUGUCUCUUUCCUUACUAUCUCCAAUGCAAUAGAUUGAUUUCAAUACCUCUUUACAACUAAGACCUCCAAAUUUUCUUGGUUCAAACCUACCAGAAUUUUUCUUCUCCUUUGCUUUCUAUCAAUAUUAGUUCCCCUAAUUUAAUAUAUACUUCUUUAUUACCUUCAACUCUACCUCUCUUUCUUUCUCUAAAAGCUUCCUCAAAGAUUUAAUUGCUUUCUUGCAUGUUUUAAGAAAACAAACAUGCUCAUAUUACAUUACCUCUACUUGAGAUCUACCUUAUACUCUACCUUCUUUCUUUACCUCCUAUAUCAUCUACUACAUUAGCUUCAAAAAUAUUAUUUAGUUUGAUACUAAAUAAGGCUCCUAAUCCUACUCUUCCUUCAACAAACUUUCUUUUUACAAGUUCCUUAAACUUUAUUUUUUAUUUUUUAUUUUUUGGAAAUUCGGGUUAGAAAGAUUCCAUUACUCUUACCUAAUAUUUCAACCAUCAAGUUGAAUCCACUUAUUGCCUAAAUCCAAGGAGUCUGCCCUCCACAAAAACAAGGAAAUUGAUCCCACAAUAACAAGGAGAUUGCCUUCCACAGAAACAAAGAGAUCUCCCUUCACAGAAGCCGAAUACAUUGCAAUCUAUUUUCUUUCUUGUAAGAUCAAAUCUUCAAUCGAGCUCCAUCUUAUGGGGGCAUAUUAGAGAAAUUUAAUAUUAUCCUUAAUUUACAUAUUAAUAUUUAUCUAUUUAUUAUAUAUUGAAUUAAAAUAGAAUAUAGAAUUUGAAUCAUAGUAGAAGUUUACUAUAAGAUUGAAUUACAAUAGUUAAUAGAGUUUAAAUUAUAAUAACUCAAAUACAUUUAUAUAUAUUUGACCUUACGAGAUUUUCUAUUUAUGUAUUUGAACUACAAUCCUUAUGAUCCUUAGGUCUCUAUACCUUCGUGAUGGGCUCCUUGACAUUUCAUAGGUUGUGCUACACAUGCAUUUGAAAUUUAGAGUGCAUUUGACAGUGAUUCUGGGAAGUGUUUUUGGCAUUUCUAACACUUAAAAUUUUUUAUUUUUCAAGUAUUAGAAAUGCUACAAACACUUUUGAAAAUUACUGUCAAACACACUCUUAGGAGCGCAUAUAGUAGAAAACUAGAAAUUGUGGUUUUUUUAGGAUUUACUGUAAUGUCAUUAGGAGGGUAGUAAGUUGAAACUGAGUAUGAAUAAAUAUUUCUUUCUUUGGGAUGUUCUUCUGGUAGGUGCUGAUGAAACUGUUCUUUUUACUGCCAAUGUCACAUAUCAGCCAGAAAUUGAAAAUUUCAGUCAAGGUGUCCUCGGUUUUAGUGGUGAGGAAAGCUAGAAAUUUUAAGGUGAAGUUCUGUUAAAAACCUUAAGUAGCUGGGAUAUCAGGCCUGUUUUGCUUGAAAAAAAAAGUUGCAAGAUAACUCAUAUGCCAAACAGGUUCUGAUAUUGUGAAUCUAUCGGCAGACAUCAGUAAUCUCAUCUUCUGAGAUGGAUGUUGGGGGUGCAUGUGGUGGUGGAGGGGCAAGGUUUCAUUUGGUUUAUUUUGUUGAUGGAUAUUGUCUAGCCCCCUGCGCCAAGUUUGAGGGGUGGUGGGUUGUGAUGGCCCUACAAUUACUAUUAAUUUCUUCCUCUUUUACCGAUUAAAGUGUCCGAACAGUCGAAGUUACCCUUAUGCAUGUCAACUUGAUCACUUACCUCUUCAAUGGAGUUUAUGCUGGUUCAUUUAGGAACUGAUUUUUAUUGUUAUGCAUUCUAUGCUGAUGUUUAGGCCUCUCCAUCAUCACUAUAUACAAAAAUUCUAGGUUGAUACUAUAGGUUGAGAUUUAUUUUUUAAAUAAAAAAUAAUAAAAAUAAAAAUUAUGGUGAUGUUUAGUUGUUUUAUGGAAAAUUUUAACAAGUUAUUUUUGGGCAAGUUUUCAAACAAAAAGAAAAGUAAAAGUUGUUUUGACAAAAACAUAUAGAAAAAAAAAAUCAUAGAAAAGAAAUAAUUUCCCCAUAUUCUAACUUUUUUUAAUUUUUCUCAAUGGGCAAAGGAAUAUCAAAUCAAGUUUGAGUAGGAUUUCUUAAUUUUUAAAAUAACUUACAAUUAAAAAAUUUUGGUGUUUUCAUUUUUGGACAAUUUUUUAUUAAGCAAAUGGACUCUGAGUCAUGCAAGAGAUAUGGUUGAUUAAUGGGUCAAACAAUUUUUUUAAAAUAAUUUAAAACUCAAAUACAUAAUCAAUGUCACAAAAUUUAUAAACAAAAAUAGGUUUAGAGAAGAUCUACACAUAAUUUUACUUUUCUAAUUUUAUUUUAUUUUAUUUUUUUGUUGGAAAAUAGUCUUCAAAUCAUGUAAGAUUUAAUAGGUUAAAUUUGUUAACAAUAAAUUUUAAAUUAUAAAAUAUAAUCUGGAACUUAAAAAUCAAUUCAAGUAAUGCUAAAAAAAAUCAAAUUUGGUAUAGAAUGACUACGUAAAAUUUUUUACAAAACAAAUGAAUUUUAAAUCAAGUGAGAUUUAAUGCAUUAGAUUUUUAUCAAAUAUAGUAAUUUUAAAAUUUAAUUUGGAACUCAACAAUAGACACAAUAAAUACCAAAAAAUAAUGAACCAAAAUUGGUUUGGAAUAACUCCACAACCUCUUUUUUUUUUUUUUGGUGCACACGAAUUUUCUUACUAGGUAUAUUGCUUUCAAAUUGAGAAAGAUUUACUAUUUAGAUUUUUUUUUUUAAUGAGUUUAAUGGUAUUUUAAAAUAAUUCAAAAUUUCAAAAAUUGACUAAUUACUAUUAUAAAUUCAUAAACCAAGACUAAUUCAAAAUGCAUUGGGGGCUAAGGGGGUUGAAAAUAGGGACAAUGGGAUGGGUUUGGGACAUGACACUCAUAUCUCAUUUCCAUUCCAAUUACAUAGUUAUCUCCCAUCCUUAUCCCAAACUUGUGUUGGAGCAAGUUGAUUUGUUCCCAUCUUUGUUGAUGAAAUGACUAAUAACCUCAUCCCCUCCUUAUCUUAGAUGUACAUUUUGUCAAAUUUGAUCAGGUAUGAUUGAUCCAAGCCCUAACCCUAAUUGGUAAUGACUGGAUACUACACCUAAUUGCAUUCUUCUUUCGUCGCAAAAUAAUGAGAUUAUAAUAAUCUAGCAAAUAAGAAAAAAUAGUAUGGAAGUUCAAUUUAACACCAUAACUAUCAAUAAUUUUAAGCUUAUAGAUGACUUAAAUGAUUAAAAACUAAUGCAAAAUACCAAAAAAAAAAGUUCAUAUAAAGAAUUCACAAGAGAACAAAAUGAACAAAAACCAAAUAUGAACAUGGGUCAACAUUAGUUAUGGAUUUGGAUUCCUUUCAAGGCCAAUCUUUGAACCAAGACUUCAUCAAAUCUACUACUUCAAAGGCUUUUGUGUUCUUCUUGGGUUGUGCUCUCAAACAAAGACUUCAAGGUGAUGCUCUAGAUGAUUGCAUUACACAUAUUUAGGGUGGAGAGAUUGGAGAAGCUUGAAGAUGCCAACGAUGGGUACAAUUGAGUGGUCAAUAAGAACAAUGUAGCCUAUGACUAGUUUGAUGUCGUGGUACAAGAGUUUUAGGCAUUGAGGUUAAAGCAAGAGCAACAUGGAAUUGAUUUUGGAGUCUUUCAAUUAGUGUAAAGGAGGAAGAAGUGGUAUUGAUUCUAGAAAUAGGGUUUUAGGUGGUGCGUUAGAGGAUGAAGAAGAAGAAAAAGAAGGAUCUGUUGGAAUUAGUGUGAGUGUGAAGAGAGAAGUAUAUAAAUAAGGGGAAGUAAAAGCAAAGUUCUAAAAGCUAUAUUUUUUUUUAUUGUUGGUGUAUGGUUGCAUGAUUAUCCCUAUAAAUAAUAGGAGUUUUUUUGGUAUUCUACUAGUAGUUGAAGGAUAAUUUCAUAAAUUUAUAUUUAGAGUGGGGUGGGGUGAGUUGUGACAAAAUUCAUACCCGUCCUAAACCUUGGUUCAGAUUUUUAAAAUAUCCUCAAACUUAUCAUAUACCCAACUUUUAUAUUUCAUACUUGUCUUGAUAGAGGCAGGUUAGGCCGGGUUACUUGAGUAACCUACAUAAUUGUCAUCCCUAGUUGAAAUACACUUUUUUGGCAGUGGCCACCAACUGAGCUAGAAGCUUGAUCGAUUGACCUACAAGAUUAGUUCUCAUCAUUUUAAAAAAAGUUUUGGCCUUGGUUGUGAGUGCAAUUGAAUCUAAACUGGCAUUUCCUUAAUGCAUCUACUUCAAUCCUAAAUUUCUUACUUCCUAAGCCUCAAUUGUUGUUAGGAUUUUGGAAAGCCCAUUUCCUUAAAUUGUAAAUUUAAGAAAAAAUAAAAUAAAAGUGAGACAUUUCUUGAUUGAAUAUUGUUAAAGGUCCCUUGGCAUUAAGACUUGGUUGAAGCCUUGGAAGAUUAGUGGAACUCUCAACUUGUGUUUGAAUCUUGAGGAGAGUGGACGUAAGCCAAAAUUUUGUCAAACCAUUAAACAAAUUGAGUUUGAAUCCUCAUUUCUUGAUUUCUUAUUUAUUUGCUUUUUCUUAUUAUUACUUGAAUUGUCAUUUGCAUUCAUUAAUGUUAAAAUUGGUUAUAAUUAACCAACACUAAUUCUCUUUCCCCUUCCCUUUCUUGGGUGUAAACCUAGGUUGGAUUAACUAGAUUAAUUUAUAAAAUCUAUUAAGAUGGUAAAAGAAUAAUUAUUCUUAACACACAUAAGAUCAUCUUCAAUCAAAUGACUCAUUGGCUAAUAUGUUGAAUUUGCUUAUUACUUGCAACUCAAAAUUGUGUUCUAGUUGAUAUGUCAAGUCCCCAGUGUAUGGACAUUAAAUUUGUAGUACGUGAUGGUAAUUAGAUGGUCCAACUCCAAGAAAGUGAUUGAAAACUAGUUCAAGAAAGGUGCAAAAGGGAAUUGUUUUGGUAUUUUCGUUUUUAUUCUUGAAGGUGGCAGAGCUAAAAUUUGUGAAAUCAAGCAAAACAUACUGAAAUUACAUUGAAAGAAAGAAAAUGGGAGUUAAUGUCUUGCAGUAGAUGAUAAGGACUUCAUGCAUGUAGUAUGACCCAUGUCUUGGACUGAUGCCAACUCACGGUUACACUUAUACCCUUGGUUCUCUCUUUACUACCUUGGCUAACCUAGAUCAGGCUAUGAGAUAGGCUCCUCACCACACCAUUACUUGCCCAUUAAUUAGAGACAUUUUCAAGCACUGAGGUAACAUGGUGACACCAAGAGGGUUUAUUCCUCGCCCUCCUCGCCCUCAACAAGUCUAGACUUGGUCUCAAAAAAAUGGAGAAAAAUGAGGUGUCGUUAUGUAGAAAUACAACAACCAUGCCUUCCUCAUUACUUUGAUUCAGAAUGUGAAGGUGAAAUUGAGAAACAGAAACUCUUGAAACCAAAAUGAAAAUUGAUACUUUUACGAAGAAUUACAACAACAUUGGAGGAAGACUACAUUCUUCCUCUUUAUUCCUACAUUUCUACACUACUUCUACUCCACUCCAUAUUUCUACAUACAUCUUUAAUCAGUCUUCCCUCCUUUAUAUAGAGCCAUCUUCACACAAAUUCCGCAAGGUAGAAAAGAGGAAUGAAACUUGGAGCAAGGUUCGACUACUGGCUGUAGCUUGUCAAGGCUGGAAGUGAACCUUUUUUCUUGGCUUUUCUGGGCAUGGGUAGUAACUUGUGGGUUCCUUUUUGGGAUACAAAUGGCUAGAACAUGUGGCACUAUCUUGUUGGAUGAUGUGUCAAGCAUGUGGCAGCCAUCUAGUGGCGAUUAUGUCAAUUUUGGGAUGGAGAGUUGGCAUCCAAUUGCAAAGAAAUAUGACGUCUACCAACAGGCAAUGUAAACCUAUGUAGAUCAUAUGAAGAUAGAGAGGAAAAAUAUAGAAAUGGAUAUAUACCUAGAACUAGCUUUUUAUUAAAUGAAACGGAGAGCCAACAAUGAAGGAAAAUAAAUUUUUUUGGCUUAUAUCAAAGAGUUCACAUUGUGCUACCCUAGGUUUUCUUAAAACUUACUUUUAUGAUAACAAAAAAAAAAAAAAACAUUAUUGUUUAAUCCUUUGUUUUAAACGCAUGUUUAGCAAGUUAUAAAAUGUAAAAAUCUUUCUAAGUUCAAAUAUGAAGAUAUGACAUCAUUUCAAGCAAGAUAGUCUCUAGGAAUUAAUGUAAAGCUAAAUUAAGGUGAAAUUAAAUUAGUUCAAUGCAUUAAUUUAAGAAACUUGACCUAUCAAAAGUACAAAAUUAGAUGAAAUCCAUUUCAAUGGUUAAAAUGAUCAAAAUCAAACUUUUUCUAAGUAUUUUUUAAAAGUAUCAAUAUUGAAAGACAAUUUUAUAUUUAGUCAGAGUUUGGACAAAACCAAAAAGCACACAAAAUCCAAGCGACCAUCUCUAGCUUGGAUGGUCGCUUGAUCUCUAGCUUGUGUACUUGGAAAGCAACAUCGAGAUGAUAUAUAUAUAUAUAUAUAUUUUAUAUAAUAUUGUUUGUCCAAAUUCCCUAAAAAUUAGGCCACCACAUGUUCAUAAUUCUCCCUUCUUGAAUUUGAAAACUCGGACAAUUGGACAAUGCGACACCUAAGUCCGGUUUCUAAAUGCUAAAGUGAAAGGGUAGGUAUGGACCAUUGAAAUGUGAUCACAACUUUUCUCUGUAGCCAUGUUGUCUCUUUUUUCUUUUGCAUGAUUUUCUCACCUUAACAGAAUCAUAGACUUGUUUAAUCUCUAAAUGGGAUUAAUUUCAUCCAGCUUUAAGCUACUAUAUUAUAUCUAGGUGGAGGACUUUUAAGAGUGCAACCGACAUAGAGCACAUGCAAGUGGGUAUAUGGGACAUGAAAUUUCUUCUUAUAAAGAUUGCAUGAUUUUUAUAUUAGAGUUGUUGGGGCGCAAUGUAUGUAGCUUGUUUUGCAGUUAAAUUAAUUGGAUAAGUAGACAUUGGCGUUUCUAAAUCUACUGUGAAGUGCUUCAUGUACGUGUGAAGUAUUAGAAAUUUCUUUCUUGGCAACUUGUUUUUUCUUUGCGGUCUACUGAUAGGUUUGACUAAAAUUAUAUUCCCUGUCAUGCUAAUUAAUUUUCACGUGCAUGCUCAAAAGAAGAGUAUGACCUUAGUGCACCAAAAUCACUUUGAUUAAUUUGUGAUAGGUUUUUGUGCAUCAUGACAUUAGCCUUAUUCAUUUAGAUAAUGUUUAGUUUUUAGAAAGUAUUAAGAAAAGGAAAAUAAAUAUUAAGAAAAAUAUUCUUAUAUUUGAUUGUAUUAUGAAAAAUGUCAUAAAAAAAUCAAAUAUAAUUUAAAUUAAUUAAUAAUUUAUACAUUUUCAAAUUAUUUAAUCUUUAUAUUGAAGAUAUAAUAUAAAUGAAAUGAGUUUUAAGUAUUAUAUAAAAGUGAUUUAUUGAUCUUGCAUAUAUGUAUUUCUUUUUUUUUUCUUCUAUUUUUUUUCUUUAUUUUAUUUUCCUUAUGUUUUCCUCAACAUUUUCCGGAACCAAACAUAGCCUUAGGAAAUCCACAAUUACCUUCAACUGAGUAUAUUCGGUUGUUUUAGCAAUGUUAGGCUGCUAACUUGUGUUGGUACGAACCUGUUAAGCCUAAAGAUGUAAUUAGUUAGGAUAUUCUUUUCCCUCUAGUCUUGUAGCUCCACGUGUAUAGUUGGUUAGGACCUCAUUGUAUAUAAUGCCUGCCCUGUUAUUGUUGAAGACAACAGAGAUAAAUAAUAUUAACAUUUUUCCUCUCAUCUCUCUUUGUUUCCCUCUGUUUUCAUCUCCUCUCUCAUCUUGGUAUCAGAGCCUCCAUGGAUUCUUUCAAAGAAACCUCCGAAUCACCUUCUGCUAGCAUUGUUAAUGUGCAAAACCCAUUAUCUCAGUCAAACAACCUUCCUUCACCAGCAGCCACACCCUCUUUUUCUUUCUUGUCUAUGAAUCAACCUCUCACAGUGAAGCUGGAUAAUGGAAACUACCUCAUCUGGAAGAAUUAGCUUCUGAAUGUCAUCAUUGCGAACAGACUCGAUGAUUUCAUUUAUGGAACUCGACCCUGCCCUCCUUGAUUUCUCAAUCUGCAACAACAAACCCUCACUCCAGAGUACUCGGUCUAGCAGAGAUACAAUCGACUUCUAAUGAGUUGGCUGUACGCAUCCUUGUCCGAAGAUAUAAUGACUCAGAUUGUUGGGUAUUCAACAACUGUGGAGAUUUGGAACGUCCUUAAUCAGAUUUACUCUGCCUCUUCAAUGGCGUGGGUUACCGAGCUUCACACCAAGCUUCAAACGCUCAAGAAAGAUGGACUCUCAGUUGGUGAAUAUAUUCAAAGGCUCAAAUCCAUUUGCAAUAGUCUUGCAGCAAUAGGAGAACUAGUUUCUGAGAAAGACCAGCUUAUCUAUUUGUUCAAUGGAUUAUAUUGUGAGUAUAAUUCUUUUGUUACCUCCAUUCAAAAUCGAUCUGACCAACCAACUAUUGAGCAAAUCCAUAGCCUAUUGCUUAGCUAUGACUUUCGGCUUGAACAACAAAACUCUGUUUCUCUCCAUUAUGCCCAAGUCCGUAUGGCUCAUCUGAACAAGAAACCUUAUAAAUCAACUCCUCAACCUACAUUCAAUCAUAUUCACAUUCAACCUAGAUACUCUUCUCCACCUUUUAAGCCAACCACUAGUCAAUAUCAACCCAGGAUUUUGGGCAAACCACAACCACAACCAUGACAGCCUCAACCUCAAUGGAAACCACAUUUUUCAAUCCAGAAUCAAAAGCCUCAGUGCCAAAUUUGUGGUAAAUUUGGACACACUGCUCUUAUUUGCUUCCAUUGCACAAAUUUGAACUAUUCACCCCAACCUUCUCCUAAAUCUUUCAAUACUGUUCUCACCACAAAUUCCCAGCUCCCUAAUCCUCCAAAAUUUUCUUACCCUACAAUGGCUCAUCCUGCUGCUACGCAUAACACGAUUCCUGAUACAAAUUGGUACAUGGACUCAGGUGCUACACAUCACUUUACUCCGGACAUCAACAUGCUUGACACUGUGACACCAUUUAGUGGUUUAGAACAGGUGACAGUUGGGAAUGGUAAGCAACUCUGUAUCUCACAUCUUGGUACUGCAAAACUACCAUCCUCGUAUUCUCCUCUUGUUCUACAUCAGGUAUAUCACACUCCAAAAAUUUCAAAUAAUCUUAUUAGUGUUAGAAAAUUGUGUUCUGAUAAUAAAGUUUUUGUUGAAUUUUAUGCCACUCAUUUUCUUAUCAAAGAUCAAGUUUCGAAGAGAGUUCUCUUUCAAGGUCAACUUGAUAAUGGCUUAUACAAAGUUCAGUCGUCAUGCUCUCCUUCUACUAUUUCCUUUCAUCCUCAAGUUUUCAUAGCCAACAUCAAGGAUCAAAAUUUGUGGCACAAGAGACUAGGCCACCCAGCUUUAUCUGUUAUUAAUCAAAUCUUGGAUUCUUGUAACAUUGCUCGAACACAGAAAAUUGGUUUUAAUUUUUGUAGUUCUUGUCAAUUAGCAAAAAGCCACAGGCUUCCUUUUUCUCUGUCUCCAUCCAUUGCAGAAAAACCUUUUGAGUUAAUUCAUACAGACCUAUGGGGUCUUUCUCCUGUUCGCUCUAUUUCUGGUGCUCGUUAUUUUUUACUUUUCAUUGAUGAUCAUACUCGUUUUACUUGGUUUUAUUUGCUCAAAACAAAAGAUGAAGCAUAUCCUACUUUUCUCAAGUUUCAAGCUCUCAUUGAAAAUCAAUUUAAUACCAAGAUUAAGGUUGUCCAAUCUGAUUGGGGAGGUGAGUUUCGAUCUCUCUCCAUACUGUUUUCAAAUAUGGGCAUUGUCUAUCGUUUAUCAUGUCCAUACACCUCACAACAGAAUGAGUGGGUUGAGCGAAAAAAUCACCAUGCGGUUGAAAUGGGAUUGUCCUUUCUUGCUCGCUCGGGUAUGCCCUUAUCUUAUUGGCCUUAUGCCUUUCAAACUGCCACUUACCUUAUUAAUCGUCUCUCUACCCCUGUGCUGCACCAUCAAUCCCCUUACUUCGCACUCUAUCACAAAUUCCCAGCUUAUACUCAUCUUAAGGUCUUUGUUCCUCUUGUUUUCCAUAUUUACGCCCUUAUAAUACCCAUAAACUCCAAUACAGGUCACUGGAGUGUGCUUUUCUUGGUUGCAGUUCACACCACAAAGGUUAUCUAUGUCUUGACAUUCAUUCUAGCAGGGUGUAUAUUUCUCGCCAUGUGAUUUUUAAUGAAGAUUCUUUUACAUUCAAGAAUUUGAAAUCUUCUCUCUCUUAGUCUAUUUCUUCUUCCUCUUCUUUAUUAGUUCCUCUGUUCAUUUCCUUGCCUCCCCUCUCCCCAUAUCCUCCUAUUUCUCCAUCUAUAUCUCAUUCUUUUCUCUCUUCUUCUUCUACCUCUAGUACUUGUUCCCCUCUCGUUGCUCCUACCUCUCUUCCUCCCUCUUCACACUUUGUGUCCCAUCUAUUCCACCUCCUUCUCCACCUUCUUCGAGUGUGGACCUGCUUGUACCUUGUGUGAAUACAAAUUUACUUACUUUUUCUCGCACUCACAAUAUUCAUCCUAUGGUGACCAGAUCUAAGGGUUUGUAUCUAUAAACCUAAGUUGCUAUUGAGUGUCUCCAUAGGUUCUCUCACUAAGCCUACUUCCUUUCUUCAAGCUAUUAAAGAUCCUUCAUGGAAGCAAGCCAUGGAAUUGGAGUUUGCUGCCCUUCAACACAACAAGACCUGGCAUCUAGUUCAUUCACCUUCCUCAGGCAAAGUAAUUGGUUGUAAAUGGGUCUAUAAGAUAAAGCUUUAGCCUGAUGGCUAAUUGAGAGAUACAAGGCCCGCUUAGUAGCUUAGGGUUAUCAUCAAACUGAAGGUAUUGACUACUUCGAAACAUUCAGCCUGGUUGUCAAGCCUUCUACUACCGUAUUGUGCUCAGUCUUACUUUUUCCCAGAAUUGGUGUAUUAGACAGCUGGAUGUUCAUAAUGCCUUCUUACAUGGUGACUUAGCUGAAGACGUUUUCAUGGAACAACCACCUGGAUUUGUUGAUCCUCUCUAUCCUACUCAUGUCUGCAAGUUGGAUAAGUCUCUCUACGGUCUUAAUAGUCACCUCGGGCUUGGUAUACUAAGCUGAGUACUUCUCUACUACACUUGGGAUUUGUUACUUCUAAGAAUGACUCUUCCUUAUUUAUUUGUCAUUCGUCUCAUGGGUUACUUCUUGUUCUUGUCUAUGUGGAUGAUAUAAUCGUCACUGGGAGCCACUCUCCUCAAGUUACUCACCUUAUCCAAUAGUUGCAUCAUCAGUUUUCUUUAAAGGAUCUUGGUCAUUUACACUAUUUUCUGGGCUUGGAGGUUCAUCACACCCCUACUGGUAUUCACCUCAGCCAAGCAAAGUAUAUCACUGAUCUCCUUACCCGGGCGGCUAUGUUGGAUGCCAAGCCAUGUCCCACUCCUAUGUCCUCCAACACAUAUCUUUCUCUUCAUGAUGGAGUGGCUCUUGAAAAUGGUUCAGAUUAUUGAAGUUUUGUUGGUGCCCUUUAGUAUUGUACCAUGACACGCCCAGAUAUAGCUUUUGCAGUAAAUAAAGUGUGUCAAUUCAUGCACCAUCCCUCUGAUGUUCACUGGCAGGCUAUAAAACGUAUUCUCCAGUACUUAAAGGGCACAUCUCAUUUUGGUCUCUUCCUACAGCCUUCCUAUGACUUCAACAUCACUUGCUAUACAGAUGCCGACUGGGCUUCCUGCCUUGAUGACAAGUGUAGCACCAGUGGCUACUGCCUCUUUCUUGCCUCUAAUCUGGUUUCUUGGUCAUCUUCCAAACAAAAAGUGGUCUCCCGCUCCAGCGCCAAAUCAGAGUACCGAGGGGUAGCAAAUGGGGCUGCUGAAAUUGCUUGGACUGAAUCUCUUCUUUGUGAACUUUCCACCCACUCGACCUCCCCUCAUUGUCUGUGACAAUAUCAGUGCCACAUACUUAGCUGUCAAUCCUAUUUUGCAUGCCCGCACCAAAACAUGUGGAAAUCGACUAUCACUUUGUCUCGGAACGUGUUCUUCAACGCUCUCUCUCUCUCCAGUUUACACCUUCGGAUGAUCAACUUGCUGAUUGCAUGACCAAGCCUCUCUCCACCCAACGUUUCAUCACUCUACGCUCCAAGCUCACUGUUCUCACUAGACCAAUGAGCUUGAGGGGGGAUGUUAAGCCUAAAGAUGUAAUUAGUUAGGAUAUUCUUUUCCCUCUAGUCUUGUAGCUCCACGUGUACAGUUGGUUAGGACCUCAUUGUAUAUAAUGCCUGCCCUGUUAUUGUAGAAGACAACAGAGAUAAAUAAUAUUAACAUUUUUCCUCUCAUCUCUCUCUCUGUUUCCCUCUGUUUUCAUCUCCUCUCUCAUCUGAACCAAAUGAUCCAUGUUAACCUUGGCUUGGUUUGAUUUGGCUCUAUCUUAGAGAGCUCAAGGAUCACGUCAACUCUGGUUUCUACUAUUCAGGUCCAUUCCCAUAUGAACUGGUUCAAAUUUGAGAAAAUGGUAACAGACCUUUAGUGAUGUUGGUUUGGAGCCAGUUGCCAAACCCGCCCUGAGCUUUACCACUAAUGUCAAGGGAGAAAGCCUUUUGAACAAAAACAAUAGCUUCAAGAGACUGAAUCGUGGAUGAAAUCUGAUCCACAUUUCUUCUCAUUUUGGAAACAAAUGAGAACUUAACUAAGAAGAUUCUACGGCCUCAUAGUGCUUUUCCUGAUCUAAGGUUGGUUCGUUUCCCAAAUUGUGAGAUGCACGGGCCAGACUUCAGAACUCUCACGCUCAGGAGUGUAUCCACGUGGUGGACAUAAGAUGGUGGCUUAAGAUCUGGUGUCGGUGGCUUUACUUUACUAGGAGAGUAGUGUGUCUUCAUCUCAUUCACUGCCGGAGGGUGGCGUAAGCAGUGACGCUAAGGUGGGGCAUAGUCAAUAUCAUUUGCAUUUGACCAUUAUAGUUUUCUCCCGGCUUGAAAGUAACCUUAUCGUGAUAAAGGAUUACUAGCACUAGUUCAGAUGACAGUCAUGUUAAAUUCGGACCAUGUUUGUGUCACAUUAUCAGCAACCAUGUGUUUAUGGUUCAUGCUUUCUGCAACUGAAAUUGAAAUUGAUAUAUAACCAGGUGAACUUCAAUCUAAAUUCUGGAAGUACUCAUGUGAGCGAUGGUGCCCAUCUGCAGAGUCCAUCAAUUGAAAAAUGGAGUGAGUGUAUCUAUAAGAGGGAAGGCUUGGCAAAUGUCCAGUUUUCUGGGAAUUCAACAAGGAUCUAAAAUAGAUUGUUUUCUUUGCUGAUUUCAAUGGUUGAAAUUUGAGAAGAUUGUGUCCCACAUAACACAACUAUUACUGGUCCUUCUGUUGCAAUUUAUCCUCUAAGGCUCUAGCAUGUCUUCCAAUUCCCACUUCCCUGUUACUCCAGGAAAGCUAUUUCUGUCAUUGUGAAGAAGAAAAGAGAAUGUAGAUAUCGAUGCUUUUAAGUGACUGGAGCAUUCAUAUCAGGUGGUCUGCAGCCAUAUAUGCCACUUUGUGAAGAUUGGAACAGUCAAUCACUAGGCUAUAUAUUAGUGUGGCCCAGCCACUUUAAUCAAGGACAAUUCUUCAUACUUAAAAGUCAAAUUCUGCCUUUAGUCUCAUUAUAAAUUGCUGUUUAAAUAUUAAGCAAACAUUUGUUUAAUGCGAUUAAGACAGUACUAACUCAAUACUUGUUCUAUUUUUGGAUGGAAAUGCUUGAUGGUUUCAUCAUUGGAUGGGAUAAAGGUGCAUUCAUGAUUAUGAAUACUUGUAGUUAUAUUUUCAUUCUCUUUUUUCUCAAUGAGACUUGUUGGCACAAUUUUUCUGUUCAGAAACCUACCUCUCCAUGGAAAAUAAGUUGUGAUUGAUAGUACUGGAUAUAUUCAAGAAAGCUAAAUAUAGAUAGCACAAAAUAUUAUCGACAUAAAUAGCAUUAACAGCGUACGUAUGUCUCAGUGCUCAUCAGCCAUAAGCAUGGGGCAAACACUUACGAUGAGCAACUUACGUCAAAAUUCCAGAAUAGGACAUAGAAGUGACAGAUCUAUAUAUAUAGAACACUGCAUAAGAGUCACAAGAAAGGAAAUUACGGGUGCAUAGCAGCUCUUAUUUCACAUACUACUCAUACUGAUCAAAGUCACUCAGUUGGGAUGGGUGGGAGUAGGAGGUUUGUGGGGUGGCUUGUGCGGAGGAGUUGGCAGCUUCUUUCCAGGACCUGGUGGCUUCUCUCCCUUAGGUGGUUUGCCAACUGGGGUUGGUGGCUUGUAUGAGUCUUCAGCAUUCUCUGCAGGAGGGUGACCAGGGUUGUGACCAUAAUGUGGUGGCUUCUCUCCCUUAGGUGGUUUGCCAACUGGGGUUGGUGGCUUGUGUUCUGGGAGUGGCUUCUCCCCCUUGGGAGGUUUUUCCAAUGGGGUUGGUUUGUGUUCAGGAGGUGGCUUCUCCACUGGAGGCUUGUGUUCAGGAGGUGGCUUCUCCACCGGAGGCUUGUGUUCAGGAGGUGGCUUCUCCACCGGAGGCUUAUGCUCUGGUGGUGGCUUCUCCACCGGAGGCUUAUGCUCUGGUGGUGGCUUCUCGAAUGGGGGAUGCUUAGGGUAAUCAGCAAGUGAGGGGGCGGUGAGAACCACCAGGCCAAGCAAGACCACUAGCAAGUAUGUAGGAGACAUCUUUGGGUUUAGACUCAGAUGGUGCAAAACUAGGAGAAUUGUCUUUUAUAGCGGAUCGCACCCAAUAAUGAAAUGACACGUGUCUUUAUGACCCAUGUGUAAUGGGGUCGAUUUGGGUCCUACAGUGUUGAAAACUUCGACAUCCACUUUUGGCCUUUUGCUUUCUCUACAGCCGCCUUGCUUUUUCCCUCUUUCCUUUUGUUUUCCUCCUGCCCCAUUCUAUCAACUAAACACAAUUAUGUAGUUGUUUAAUUCUUAAAUGAGAUAUUAUCCGUCAAUCGUAUCAUAUUUUAUCAACAGAGAACGGAGUGCAAUGUGGCAAUCCAAAGAAAGAAGAUCCAUAAUGCAGCUGUAAUUUUAUCGUUUACUUUUAUCUCUUGGACCACUGCAUUUUUGUUAAGAGGUGCAAUAAUACACGUCUUUAUCUGCCAUUCAAUGUUUACAGUAAAGAGAGGGCACAAAACUCUUCACUGCUCUGCAUGUGUCCCAAAAAUGCAAUUGGACAAAUUAUGAUUUGCAUGCUAAAAAGAGGCAAAUGAGGUUAAUUCGCACCAUAAUUAUUUUGUUUUCUGGACCCCGGGGCCCUUUGGUUGGUUUGGGGGUCAGAAAAUGAACAUCAUAGGGGGUUUUUCCCUUAUGUGCAUUUGUAUCUGAUGGCUUUAACUCGCCUUGUUACUACAAAGAAAUUGUCACAUAUAGGAACUUAUUCCAGGCUGAGUAUCUCCGCAUAGACCCUAUAAAAGAAGACAAGUCAUAAUGAACAUCUAACCUUUGUUCAAUUUGAUUCAAUGCCCCAUUGUGUCCACCUCACAAAUCUGAAUUAUUAUAUCCAUUGAAUACAUAAAUUAAUGAAGAAAAUAUGAAACCCAAGAUACAUCUCUGCACAACCUCAACCCUGGUUGCUAUGUUUCCCUUCUAUUCACAUGAGGAUAUUGAUUACGGAAUAGGGAAACCUAGCAAGGGUUUACUCGGCUCUGGUUUGAUGCUAAUUGCCAAACUUGCAACAAGCCCUGAGUUUGAAGCUCACAGAAGAUGUUAUACAGGCAGGGAAAAACCUUCAGAGUUCGCUGCCAAAGAUAAUUAUUAAGGAGAUAUCACCAAGAGAAUUCCAAGGAGUCUGAAUCAAAGACAAAUUGGUCGUUCGUGGAGGUUCUUACUUUCUUUUGGGUAUAACUCACUGAGGGCACUGUCUUUUUUAUUUUCAUUUCACAUUUAGAGUUCUGUUCUGGAAACAUAUAAAAGGAGCAUCAGUUUGUUCUUGGGUAACCCAUAGUCGUGAGUGGGUCCAUUUGCAUGCUACUUAGUUGAAAAGUUGGACCAUUUGCUCCGACGCCUACCUCCUGGAUUCCAUGCUCGGAUAAAACAAGAAUAAAAAAAUAUUUAUAAUUUACAAAUGGGGGAAAGAAAAAAAUGUCAACAACAAACUAGGAAAAAAGAGUAGUAAAAUUCAUGUCACAUGCUAGUGAGAGAAGGGGUUGUUACACUCACUCGAAGUUCUUUUCAAAAUAUCGCAUGGUAUUUUAUUUUAUGUGUGAGCGCAGUUGUGAAUGGAACGUGCAAAAGUCCAAAUUGGUGACCUUUAAUAAAUAUUUAAAACAAAAAACGAAAAAAAGGAGGGAAAAGGGAUCAGAAAAGAUAAAACAAUGUGUACAAAAGCUCAAUUAGUUUGCAAAUUACUGUUUGGAUUUUGAUAGUAUUUUAUUUGAUGUAAAAGAGAAUUUAAGAUAUUUCCGAAACAAAAGCAUUAGUUUGCUCCAUGUCAAUUUCGGCAUUUCUCAUAUGUUUCACACAUACACAGAAGAGCAUCGUUUUUUAAAGCAUGCAUUUAUGUUGGAUUAAUUUGGAUUUUGUGGGAACUGGGGCAAGGAUCACAUGGAAGAGAGGUUGACUUUUUUCAGUACUUCAAUGGUUGAGACAGGUGAAGGCCUGAUUGAUACUGAAGCCUGAAAUUGCGACUCCGUCAUUUGUCAAAACAUAUGACAGCUUCCAUGCUCUCGUUUGGUUGCAUUGUUCUGUGGUCAUGCAUACAUGCCACUUAGUGAUCAGUCUGUAACUGUCAAUCAUUGGGCUUUGACUGAACAACAUCAGCCAUGUAUAAAUACUUGCAAAUCAAACGGUCUUCUUCCUCCCAUAAGGAAUUUCGGUUUAAUUAUGAAGCAUGCAUUUGGCUGACCAUCAUAAACCACUUCUUUAAAUUGAUGAAUGAUAGUUUUUCAUUCAUUCUUUCAUUCGUUCAUAUACAGAGUAUAUAUAGAGGGUAAUCAUCAUUCUAAGAAUGGGAAAGAAUGAUACAAGGAAAUAAUGAUAUAAAGAAAUAACAACUAAUAUUCUAAUAUCUCAACUUUCCUAAUAUCUAAACAUUCCUAAUAUCUCAACACUAAAUGAUAUAAAGAAAGAAUGAUAUAAGGAAAGCAUUCCUAAUAUCUCAACACUCCUCCUCAAGUUGGUGCAUAGAUGUCAAACAUGUCCAACUUGUCUAAAAAUUUUGAGAACAGUUGACUUGAGACAUCUUUGGUGAGGAUAUCGGUCAAUUGAUCUUCUGAUCGAAUCUUAGGCAAUUCCACAAUCUUAUCAUCCAACUUUUCCUUAAUGAAAAAUCUAUCCAUCUCGACAUGCUUUGUACGAUCAUGUUGUACUAGAUUAUGAGCAAUGUCACAUGCUGCUUUAUUGUCACAAAACAAUCGGAUUGGUUGCCUAGAUAGGUAACCUAAAUCCUAUAAGAGGAGUCUUAGCCAUAAUGCCUCACAAAGUCCUAAAGUCAUACCUCUAAAUUCCGCUUCUGCACUUGAACGAGCGACGACAUUUUGCUUCUUACUUUUCCAUGUCACAAGAUUACCACCUACAAAGGUAAAGUAACCAGAUGUAGAUCGCCUAUCAUCCACUGCACCGACCCAAACAGCAUUAUACUUCUAUACUCUGAUGAUCAACAUUUUUAGCGAACAAAAUUCCCUUCCUAGGAGCAUUCUUCAAAUACCUCAAAAUACGCAUGACUACAUUCAUAUGUUGCUCUCCAGGAUUAUGCAUGUAUUGACUCACUACACUCAAUGUAUAAGCAAGAUCUAGUCUUGUAUGAGCUAAGUACAUUAAUCUCCCCACAAGUCUCUGGUAUCUUCCCUUAUCGAUUGAUACUUGAUUAGGCUCAACACACAAUUUCAGACCUUCUUCUAUUGGUGUAUUAAUAGGUUGACAUCCCGACAUUCCAGUUUCCUGUAGAAGAUCUAAGGCAUACUUUCUUUGAGACAGAAAAAUUCCUUCACUUGAUCGAGAAACUUCAAUCCCAAGAAAGUAUUUCAGACGACCAAGAUCUUUCAUUUCAAAUUCUCUAGAUAGAUACUUUUGCAAAGCUUUUCUUUCUUCAGGAUCAUUUCCUGUAACUACAUGUCAUCCACAUAUAUCAUAAGUGUCGUAAUCUUACCAUGUUGCUUUUUCAAGAACAAAGUGUGAUUUGAAUUACUUUGAUGAUAGCCAAAAGCUCUCAUUGAUUUUGUGAACCUUCCAAACCAUGCUCUCGGGGAUUGCUUCAACCCAUACAAUGACUUCUUCAAUUCGCACACCUUCUGACAUUGCUUUUCUGACACCAUGCAUCCUGGUGGAAGAUCCAUAUAUACUUCUUCAGAUAAAUCGCCAUGCAGAAAGACAUUUUUUACAUCGAACUAUUGUAAUGGCCAAUCUAGGUUUGCAGCUAAAGACAAUAAUACUCGAACUGUGUUGAUCUUAGCUACAGGUGCAAAUGUCUCUGUGUAGUCAAUUCCAUAAGUUUGAAUGUACCCACUAGUCUUGCUUUAAAUCGUUCAAUACUACCAUCUGCCUUGUACUUCACAGUAUAGAUCCAACGACACCCAACUAGCUUCUUUCCUGGUGGACAUUCUACGAGUUCCCAUGUUUCAUUUUUCUGCAAUGAUUUCAUCUCUUCAUUCAUGGUUGCUUUCCACUUUGGAUCAGCUAAAGCUUCCUGCACACUAUUAGGAAUAGCUACAGUAGAUAAUUGAUUUACAAAUGACUUAUUUGAUUCAGACAAACCAUGGUGUGGACCCGCAUUUUUCACGUGCGCCUCUACUCGAUCGGCGAGACUCGCUUUCUAUUUGUGAAAAAUUAAUUUUAGAAAAGUUGGAGUCGCCACCUAUUUUAUUUUUAUUUUGAAGGGAAAAUAAAACAAGAAAGAAAAACCCUAAAAAGUGACUCCAUAGUUUUGGAAAAAGCAUGUCUUUGGGAAACCUGAGUCUAGGUCCGGGGAUCAUGUUACUUAUUGGGAAGGUACCUCUAGGAGGUAGCACCCCUCUAAGCCUUAUGAAGGUCUCUACUAACUAAAUUAAGGGAAGUGUGGCAAUAAAUCGAUUGAUCAUAGAUACCUAAGUAGACUAGGUGAUUUUAAAGUGUGGCAUGUCAAACACAAUCAAAUUGCAAUAAAGGAGAGUUAGGGCGCGUACCUGAACCGCUUCUCAAGCGCUAUCAUAAAACAUCAAUGGUUAAUUUAAAUAAUAUAUCAUCCAGCAUGUAUUUUAUUAGAAAUAAUCAAACAAUGAAACAUGUAUAUCAGAACACUCAAGCAUUAUUAGACAUAAGCAUUAUUUCACUAUUCACAGAAUUCAGAAAGUAGGUGAUAGAGGACAUACCUGGAUAGCAUAGAUAAUUUGUAAUGUGCUUCCUCAAGUUGUAAGGGGUUAGAUAACAAAUAAUAAAAUAUAGAAAUCCUAGCAUGCUCGUUAUCUAAUUAGCAUAGCAAAAGUGAUCACAGUAUACAGAAUCAUCAAUUAUCACAUACAUCUUGUAUAUAAUUCCUAAAAAAAAUAGAUAGACAUGAUUUCAACAAGUGUCAAAUGUGGCAACAAAAAUAAAUUUUGAAAAGAUUUUCUUAUGUAGGGGUUUCACCAAUUCCCCAAAUUAAUAUACACGAAUUUAGCUUAGAAUUAUCCCAUUUAUUUGGGACUACAAGCUUUGAUUCGUGUUUUUGUUCAAAACCAAAAAUUUUUGUUGAAAAUCAAGAAGGAUGCGAACCGAACAAGAUAUGGUUGCAUAUUAUUUUUAAAUAAAUAAAUAAAUAAAUAAAGGAGAUUUUGAUCCUGAGGACUUUAAUGAGUUUUUUUUUUUAAAAUAGAUUUUUAAAAUGAUUUUUUUGAGAAAAGUAUUUUAUUUUAAAAUAAAAGGGAUUAAUUUGGGAAAAAAAUAAAAUAUAAGAAAUAAAAUACCAAACAAAACAAAAAUGAAACCUCAAAGUAAAAUUUUUUUAGUAAUUAACAAAAAUGAUAAUGGUGAUGGUAGAGGGCAAUCUUCAUGAUUUUCCAAUGGCCUCAGAAAGAAAAUCAAAUUAAAUGAAGGAUCACUAACAGGCAAGACAUUCUAAAUUAGACAAACUAACAAAGUAUCAAUUCAUGAACUAACCGCUAGGAUUUUGAAAGCAUAUAAGCUAAGAUAAGGGUGAUCAGGAACUAAUAUUAAUGAUUUUGAAAUAAAAACUAAAAAAAAGGAUCAAUUCGGGUAAGGAACUAAAAUUAUAAAAGUACCUAAACUAAUUAUGACGAGUUUGACUAAAUUAAACUAAAAACAUGAACUUUCAAACAUAGAAUUAAUUUUACUAAUGAACCAAAGCAAACUAAAAAUAUGUACUUUCAAGCAUAGAAUUAAUUUUAUUGAUGAACUAAACUAUAACAAAUAUCUAAACUAAAUAUAAUGAAUCAAAUUAAAUUAAAGCAACUUAAAAACGCAAACUUUCAAACAUAGAAUCAAUUUUAUCAAUGAAUUAAAACUAUAAAUGUAUUUGAACUAAAUAGAUGAAUCAAACUAAAUCAGAGCAAAAUUAAAAAAAAAAAAGAACUUUCUAACAUGAAAUCAAUUUUAUCAACAAAUAAAUGAAUGAAUAACAAGUAAUUAAAAGAAUAGCUACUACAUGAAUAACUGAAUGAAUAAAAUUCAAAUGUUUUCAAUCUGAAGCAAUCAAUCAAAAUUAAAUAGGGAUCAAAUCAAAAUAAUCGAAAUCGGAAAAACAAUAUGCAAUCUUUCUAAAGGUUUAACCAGACAAUUGAAUUAAAAUUAUGAAUAGAAUAAAUUAAUAAACCAAAUCGAAACCUAAAUUGUACCUAAAAAGAUUAAUUAAUUAAACUAAGAAAUCAAAAUCAAUAACAAAACUAAACUAAGGAGUAAAUUAAGACAAGACUAAUUAAAUUAAACUCACAAACACGUUUUAACUAUCAUAUGGAUUAAAACAAAAUUAGCAUGGACUUAUGAAUUACGAACAAAAAUAAUCAAAACUAUUUUAAAAAACUCACCUCUAUUAUAAGAAAAAAUCUGCCUUUGAUGCGUUGAGGUGGCUCCCCUCUCUGUGUGGAUCUCUCUGCUCCCCAGAAAAAAAAUGUCUCUUCCUCCGUUCUCUUUUGUUUCAGCAAAAUAAUAUAUCCCCUGCUGUGGAUCUCUCUACUCCCAGAAAAUAAUAUAUUCUCUCCGUGUCCUAAAGUGGACCUAGGGUGCCUAAGUGGACCUAGGGUGCCUAAAUGGGCCUAGGGUGCCUAAAUGGGCCAAGUGUAUCUAAAUAGGCUUAGGGUGCCUAAGUGGGCCUAAGUCUAAGUGAGCCUAAGUCUAAAUCAAGACUACCAAGGAUCAUAAUAAGGGGUUAGGCAAUCCCUUAACCAAAGUCUCCAAGGUGGCUAAAAAAAAGUAAGUAGUAUGAGUAGCUAUGGGUCACCAAGGAACUACUGUGGAGCAUUGAAAACGAAUUUAAAGACAUGUGCCAAAGGGACAAAAUUGAGGGUCUACAGAUGGUUAGACACAUAGUUGCUCAUGGGAUAUUUGACUUUGGUAAACAAUUCAGAUUCAUAUGUGGGUUUAGGAAUACCUUUAUUAUGACGGUGUGGUAAUCGUUUCAUGAAUGGAUCAGGUUGCAAAUUAAGAACACCCUCAGCAAACAACGAUUGGUUUGGUAUUUCAGUGAAGACAUCUUCGAACCCAAAUUGUUGACCACUCAUAUCCAACUCACCCGCUUCCUGGUUCACUAGUUCAGAUUGUCCAAAUUCAUCAUUCUCAUAGAUAUGAUAAUCAUAAUCGAGAGUCUGAAUUUCCUUAUGGUACUCCCCCUGAAGUUCAGACUUAGAUGAAAAAUACAUCGAAUAUUCAUGAAACAGCNNNNNNNNNNNNNNNNNNNNNNNNNNNNNNNNNNNNNNNNNNNNNNNNNNNNNNNNNNNNNNNNNNNNNNNNNNNNNNNNNNNNNNNNNNNNNNNNNNNNNNNNNNNNNNNNNNNNNNNNNNNNNNNNNNNNNNNNNNNNNNNNNNNNNNNNNNNNNNNNNNNNNNNNNNNNNNNNNNNNNNNNNNNNNNNNNNNNNNNNNNNNNNNNNNNNNNNNNNNNNNNNNNNNNNNNNNNNNNNNNNNNNNNNNNNNNNNNNNNNNNNNNNNNNNNNNNNNNNNNNNNNNNNNNNNNNNNNNNNNNNNNNNNNNNNNNNNNNNNNNNNNNNNNNNNNNNNNNNNNNNNNNNNNNNNNNNNNNNNNNNNNNNNNNNNNNNNNNNNNNNNNNNNNNNNNNNNNNNNNNNNNNNNNNNNNNNNNNNNNNNNNNNNNNNNNNNNNNNNNNNNNNNNNNNNNNNNNNNNNNNNNNNNNNNNNNNNNNNNNNNNNNNNNNNNNNNNNNNNNNNNNNNNNNNNNNNNNNNNNNNNNNNNNNNNNNNNNNNNNNNNNNNNNNNNNNNNNNNNNNNNNNNNNNNNNNNNNNNNNNNNNNNNNNNNNNNNNNNNNNNNNNNNNNNNNNNNNNNNNNNNNNNNNNNNNNNNNNNNNNNNNNNNNNNNNNNNNNNNNNNNNNNNNNNNNNNNNNNNNNNNNNNNNNNNNNNNNNNNNNNNNNNNNNNNNNNNNNNNNNNNNNNNNNNNNNNNNNNNNNNNNNNNNNNNNNNNNNNNNNNNNNNNNNNNNNNNNNNNNNNNNNNNNNNNNNNNNNNNNNNNNNNNNNNNNNNNNNNNNNNNNNNNNNNNNNNNNNNNNNNNNNNNNNNNNNNNNNNNNNNNNNNNNNNNNNNNNNNNNNNNNNNNNNNNNNNNNNNNNNNNNNNNNNNNNNNNNNNNNNNNNNNNNNNNNNNNNNNNNNNNNNNNNNNNNNNNNNNNNNNNNNNNNNNNNNNNNNNNNNNNNNNNNNNNNNNNNNNNNNNNNNNNNNNNNNNNNNNNNNNNNNNNNNNNNNNNNNNNNNNNNNNNNNNNNNNNNNNNNNNNNNNNNNNNNNNNNNNNNNNNNNNNNNNNNNNNNNNNNNNNNNNNNNNNNNNNNNNNNNNNNNNNNNNNNNNNNNNNNNNNNNNNNNNNNNNNNNNNNNNNNNNNNNNNNNNNNNNNNNNNNNNNNNNNNNNNNNNNNNNNNNNNNNNNNNNNNNNNNNNNNNNNNNNNNNNNNNNNNNNNNNNNNNNNNNNNNNNNNNNNNNNNNNNNNNNNNNNNNNNNNNNNNNNNNNNNNNNNNNNNNNNNNNNNNNNNNNNNNNNNNNNNNNNNNNNNNNNNNNNNNNNNNNNNNNNNNNNNNNNNNNNNNNNNNNNNNNNNNNNNNNNNNNNNNNNNNNNNNNNNNNNNNNNNNNNNNNNNNNNNNNNNNNNNNNNNNNNNNNNNNNNNNNNNNNNNNNNNNNNNNNNNNNNNNNNNNNNNNNNNNNNNNNNNNNNNNNNNNNNNNNNNNNNNNNNNNNAACCAAAGGAAGCAUGUUCCAGACGUCGAUGCCACAACCAAAUUUCAGACUUUUUCUUCUCCUCCUUAGAUCCAUCUGCCAUCAAGGCUUGUUGCAACUUAUUUGAAUCCUUUGAUUGCAAGUCCAAGUAUAGAGUUUCCCCCGCUUAAUACGACAACCAAUCGUCUGUCUUGUUUGAAUGUCCUUAAUCACACAAAAUUCAGGCCAAAAAAUGACAAUACAAGAUAAGGCUGCAGUGAUUUGAGAAACUAACAAAAGAUUGUAAUCUAAAGAUGGAACAACUAAAACAGAAUCCAAAUUCAAAGUAUCAGUAAGAGUUAAGGAUCCUUCCCCAAUGACUGGGGUUGUGUUACCAUUGGCUGUGGAAACAAUUUUUUGUGAGGAAGGUCUAAGGGGUGAAACCUGUCUAGAAUCAAAAGUCAUAUGAUCUGUAGCACCAGAAUCAAUUAUCCAUGCACUAUUAAUAACAGGUGUAAAAGUAUUUAAAAACUUACCACAAUGAUCUGUAGCGGCUACUAAUGCAGAGACUUUCUCAACAACAUUAGUCUUUGUUUUUAUUUCGGUAACAGUUGCAAUCAAGGUUUUCUUGGAAUUCUUCUUCCGUUGAUCACGAUUAUUAUCAUUAAUAACAAAGUGUUGAUAGCCUAAACAUGAUCUAAAGGUCCAUGGUGCAAACCCUCGGUUCCUCAUUGUUUUCCUGGUCAUACCAAGAGUUGUUGCUUUGAAAUUGUGGGAUAUCCAGACUGGUGGGAUCAGUUUUAUUGCAGUGAGUGCAUUUGAAUGUUGACUUAUCAAUAUUAGGGCUUGUCUUCGGAUGGUUGAUUGCUGUUGGACUACCAUAGCGACAAAAUAUCCAGGAUUUCAAUUCCAGGGCUCUGAUACCAUCUUCAAAUUGAUGAAUGAUAGUUUUUCAUUCAUUCUUUCAUGUACAGAGUAUAUAUAGAGGGUAAUCACCAUUCUAAGAAUGGGAAAGAAUGAUACGAGGAAAUAAUGAUAUAAGGAAAUAAUAACUAAUAUCCUAAUAUCUCAACUUUCCUAAUAUCUCAAUAUUCCUAAUAUCUCAACUUUCCUAAUAUCUAAACAUUCAUAAUAUCUCAACACUAAAUGAUACAAGGAAAGAAUGAUAUAAGGAAAACAUUCCUAAUAUCUCAACACCACUUCAUGAUAUAUAUAGUUUCUUACCCUUAAUCAAUGGUUUCUAAGUGAAUUUAUAUAGAAAGAAAUCCAAACUGUAGACAGCAGUAUUGGUAACACUCAAUAUUCUGUAUAUAAUAGAAUAAAUAGCGUCACAGUGAUCGUCGCCUACAAGCAAGGUACAAAUACCACAAAGAGUGACCCACAUAGACAUUCCCCAACAAGAUGUAGUAGUGACUGACACAUAGCCACAAUUAACACGUAGAAAAGGAUAAGACCGGUGCACAGUAGCUCUUAUUUUACAUACUACUUAUGCCAACCAAAGUCACUCAGUUGGGAUGGGAGGGAGAUGGAGGUUUGUGCGGUGGCUUGUGGGGCGGAGUUGAUGGCUUCUUUCCAGGAGCUUCUGGCUUUUUCAUCGGAGCUGAAGGAGGCUCAAUCUUAUGAGGCGGCUUGUACGAGUCUUCUUUGCUCUCGAAAGGAGGGUGGCCAGGGUUGUGACCAUAAUGUGGUGGUUUCUCUCCCUUGGGAGGUUUACCAAUUGGGGUUGGUGGCUUGUGUUCUGGGAGUGGUUUCUCUCCCUUGGGAGGUUUAGUGGGUGACUUGUGUUCUGGAGGUGGCUUCUCCACCGAAGGCUUGUGCUCCGGUGGUGGCUUUUUGGUUGGAGGGGGCUUGGGGUAAUCAGCAAGAGAUGGGGUGGUGAGAACCACCAGUCCAAGGAACAACACUAGCAAGUAUGUGGGAGACAUUUUUGAGUUUGGGCUGAUCAGAUGAUGCAAAACUAAAGCAUUACGUGACCUUUUAUAGCAAGUAGCUCCCAAUACCUACUUGACACGUGUUACUGUGACCCAUAAAUAUUAUGGGGUCUAUUUGUGCCCUACCGGGUUGAAAACUUGGACAAUUGGGCAAGGACCCGCCUGACUAUGGAGGACUACUGAGGUGUGAUCACAGCUUUAGGAUUUUUCUUCCUCUGCAGCCGUCUUGCCGUUGGCAUGAUUUUCUUAAUCUCAAAUAAAGGCAUAGUUAUAGAGUUGUUUAAUCUCUAAAUGGGAUUUUAUAUAUCUUCAGAUAGCCAUUAAUACAUUUGAUGAAGAAAGAAAGACAAGUGCAUACAACAUGUAUACGACUAGCUUUCAUGGAGUUCAUUUAUGAUCAGUUUUCCUGUACAUGUAAACCAAGAUCAUAUAUGUUUUUGUUCCACAACAAUUUUGGAAUCUUGUUUAUCCGUUUUUAUCAUUAUAAUGUCACAUAGGCUGCCAACUUGGGCGCUAAAUUAAAGAUCCAGUUGGGCAAGUUCGUUUCAGAAUUUCAAUGGUGGAUUCAGGAAUUGUUUUAUAAGAUAUGCAAAAUAGUAGAGGGAUGAAUAGUGUUUCAUUAAGAAAAGAGCCCUGUAAAAAUAUUGUUUAAAGGUGCCAUAGAAACUAUAAUCAAUAAAUAACUUUUUUUCCCCAUGGGUGGUGUUUCUUGUGGGGAUCAGUGACUGGUUUGAGUCAACGCCGUGUCUCUUUAGUCCAGAAAUCAACUAUUUUAUGCAUUGAAUACAUCAACAAAGAAAAUAUGAAAGCCAAAUGACACCUCCCCCGCAAAAACUAAACCCUGGUUGCUAACUUUCUAUGUUUCAGUUCCAUUCACACAAGAAUAUUAGUUCAAGUUUGAGAAAAAUGGCGACUUACCUAGUGAUAACUCGGUCUUGGUUUGCGAUUUGACUUUAACGUCAUGGGUUGAAGCCUCCUACAAUCAUCGUGUAUGCUAGUUCAAAGCUCGUGGAAGAAGUUAUACAGGGAGGGAGAAACCUCCACAGCAAGCUCCAAAAGAGAAUUAUCACAUUGAAAGCUCCAGUUGAACACUGGGUGAAAGCCAUAACAAGAUUGGUUUUCUAUCGCUCUUUUAAGUAAUGGAAGAUUAUUAUCUCUGCUUGUCACUACAACCGUGCAUGCUGCUAGAUCUUUCUAGACACUUCAAACAGUGAAACCAAGUAUGAUUCUUUUUCUCUUGAGUGGGUCCACUUGCAUGCCAAUGAACGAGUUGAAAAGUUGGACAAUUGGCCACAGCGCGCACUUACCUUCUGGAACCGAAGGUCAGUGAAGUGGGGUUCCUUUUGGCCCCUUGUGUUUCUGUUCCAACCUACUCCAGGAACCGAAGUUCAGUGAAGUGGGGCUACUUUUGGCCUCUUGUGUUUCUGUUCCAACCAAACAAAAAUGGGAGGGAAAAAUAGCAUUAUGCUUGUGCUAAAGAUCAACGCAUGAUAGCUGAAUAAGGGAGAAAAAGGCAUUGCUAUCUCAAUUUCAUAAACUUGAUAAGUAGUGACAUUAAUAGUCUUCCUCAUAGAUGGAUACAUGGUUUUAUUUUAUUUAUUUAUUUUUAUUUUUUUGUUUUAUGUCAAUGCUAAUGAAUGAAGUGCAUUAGCUUGUUUUGUGACUAGAACUACAAAUGUCCAAAUUGGAGCUUCUCCAAUAUAUUUCUCAGUGAGUUAUUGAUUAGAACUCUUGGAUUGAGUUCCAAGAUUUGAAUCAGACCCCUCUAGCAGCUUCAGGGGUACGUAGCAACCUAUAGCAUAUUAAUGAAGACUUAGGAUUUAGACUUAGGAAUACAAAUUAAUAUGUACCUCAUGCUCUGACUAGCUUCCCUGCGUAUGCACAAAAUGGAGAUGACUCCCAAAAAAAUAGCAGAAUCGCCUUAGUAUGUUUUUGUGGUUAAGAUGAUUCUCCACUUUAUAUAUCCACAUUGGUUCAUUAUGCAAAUUAAUCAACUAAGCUAUUUUUAUUUUUUCUUAAAUGUGAAAUAGGAGCUCCAAAUUAACCUAACCAUUGGCCUGAUUGAAUUGAUUUCACUUGCAUAAUGUUAUAGUAGAAGUCCGUAAUUUGAAUUUUAUUUUUGCAAAAGGUAACGUAAAUGAAGCAUUGUAAUUAAAUUUAUUUGUAAUUACAAACUAAUUUUAUUUUAUUAAGAAUUAAUUUAAUUACUCAUUUAAAAUAAAAAUCAGUUAUACUUUUACCAAGAUGAUAAUAUUCAUAUUUUUCUAGUUAACAUAUAUAAAAUAGUACACUUUUUCAUAUAAAAAAAUAAUUUAUGAUUUAUUAUAAUGUUACUAUUCACAUUUUACUAAAUUGAUGGUACAUGAUAGUGAGAGAAGGGGGUGUCACACUCAGCUAAAGUUCUUUUCAAAAUAUUGCAUGGUGUUUAAUUUUAUGUGUCGGCGCGCGUGUGAAUGGAACCUGCAAAAGUCCAAAUUGGCGUUUCUCCAUUUUCCACAUAGGAUGGUGACGUUAAUAGACAAAGAUACAAUAUCUGUAGACAUUGCUUAAAAAUCGAUGUGAAGUAUUAGAAAUUACAGGGCACUGUACUGGGGGAGCGGCUGCCCCGCCAAAGGAGGAAGAAUGUAGCAAUUUCUUCUGUUAGCCAGGCCUUAGGAUUUAUGCAUGGGAUGCCUAAUAACAAACAGAGAAAAUAUACUUUUGGGGAAGGUAUCCAACAACAGACACCAUCAUUCAGAUGGUGGGAAGGUAUCCAACAGAUGCCAUCAUUCAGAUGGUAACAUAUAUAUACAUUUAUUAGUGAGUUUUUUUAAUACCUAUAAAAAAAAAUAUACACUUUGAUAUUGUGGCUGAAUCCAUUACAUACUCAACUAACCUUGCUCAUUAGGGAUUUGACUUAACAAGGGCAACGUUGCAGUACAAGCUCAAAACUUUAUGCAGGUGACAUUACAUUUGGUAAAGAAGAGGAAAAUAACGAAAGCCAUCCAUAAAAGCAAAAUUCCACAUGGGAUGAAAUUCACAAGCUUCAUUUACGAUAGAGUCGCAUCCAGGCAAUUAAUUCCACAUUAGACCGCCUGUUGACAUGUGUACCAAUCUUUUUUCAAAAAAUAUUUAUAAAUAAUUGAUACUCACAAAAAUAAUUUAAUAUUUAUAAAGGAUAAAAAAAUAUUUUCAAAUCUAUAACAAUUUAUAAAAUAUUAAUAAAAAAUUAUCUCUUAAACUUAGUAUAGUUUUAUCAGAUUAAACUUUUAUUUUGAACAAAUAAUUUUAAUCUAAGUUUUAAAUUCUAAAAUUAUUUCCUUAAAAUAAAAUUUUAAAAUUCAACACUUCAAUUGAAAUUGUCUUUUUAAAAAAUAUCUUCUUAUUUUAAUCCUUAUAAACUAUAGUUGAUUGAAAAUACUAUUGAAGUUCUCUCUUAAAAAAAAGUCUUAUUUUAAUCUUCAUAAAUUGCCCUUGAUUUGAAAAUAAAUUUUCAGUUAUCAUAUUUUAAAUAAUAUCUAUAUUUAAAAUACUCUAUUUAAAAAAAAAUGAACUAAUUUUAAUUAUAUUAUAUUUUAUUUUUUUAUAUAUUUUUAAUGAUAAACCAAACAUAGAAAAUCAUUUUUCUAAAUAUUUUAAAAUUUCUAAGCAACCAAACAUAAUCUUCAAAAUAAAAGGAAAAUAAGGAGGGACAUUUGAGAAAUGGCGAUUAAAAAAAAGUGUACAAAAGCUCAAUUAAUUUUCUUCUAGUCUUUUAUAUAAAAAAGUAAAGGAAUUGAAAAGUAUUGAUAUGUAAAUUAAUAUUUGGAUUUUAAUAGUAUUUUAUUUGUCUUUCUCUAUCUCAUGUAAAAGAGAAUUUAAGAUAUUUCCUAAAGCAAAGCAUUAGUUAUCUGCAAUCAGUGGUGAUCAUGCCCCAUGUCAAUUUCGGACCCAUAUCUUAAAACUGUAUAAUUUGCAUUCAAACAUUACUGAUUUCUCAGAUGUUUCAUACUCCACAGAAGAGCAUUGUUUGUGAAAGCAUGCAUUUAUGUUGGAUUUUGGAUGAUGUGGGAACUGGGGCAAGGAUCAUAUGGAAGAGUGGUCGAUUUUGUUCUGUACUUUAACAUUUGAAAUAGGAGAAGCUCGGGCAUUUGUGGGGCUUAAUUGAUUUUGAAGCCUGAAAUUGCGUUUCUGUCAUUUUGUAAAAAAUAUGGCAGAUUCCAUGCUCUCAUAUGUUUGGUCUGUGGCCAUGUAUAGAUGCCCCUUAGUGACCAGUUUGUAACUGUCAAUCAUAGUGUUUUGACUCUGGCUCAACAACAUCAGCCAUUGACGGAUUUUCAUACUUGCAAAUCAAAUAGUCUUCUUCCUCCCUUAGGAAUUUCGGUUUAAAUGUUAUUAAGCAUACAUUUGGCUGACAAUUAUUAACCACUUCAUGAUAUGGUUUCUUACCCUUAAUCAAUGGUUUCUAAGUGAAUAUAUGCAGAAGGAAAUCUGAACUGUAGACAGCAGUAUUGAUAACUCUCAAUAUUCUUUAUAUAAGAGAAUAAACAACGUCAUAGUGAUCGUCGCCUACAAGAAAGGUACAUUUCCCAACAAGAUGUAGUUGUGACUGGUACAUGGACGCAAUUAACUCGUACAAAAGAAUAAGACCAGUGCACGGCAGCUCUUAUUUUACAUGCUAAUUAUGCUAACCAAAGUCACUCAGUUGGGAUGGGAGGGAGAUGGAGGUUUGUGCGGUGGCUUGUGGGGCGGAGUUGGUGGCUUCUUUUCAGGAGCUUGUGGCUUUUUCGGAGCUGAAGGAGGCUCAAUCUUAUGAGGCGGCUUGUACGAGUCUUCUUUACUCUCGACAGGAGGGUGGCCAGGGUUGUGACCAUAAUGUGGUGGCUUCUCUCCCUUAGGUGGCUUGCCAACUGGGGUUGGUGGCUUGUGUUCAGGAAGUGGUUUCUCUCCCUUGGGAGGUUUACCAAUUGGGGUUGGUGGCUUGUGUUCUGGGAGUGGUUUCUCUCCCUUGGGAGGUUUAGUGGGUGACUUGUGUUCUGGAGGUGGCUUCUCCACCGGAGGCUUGUGCUCCGGUGGUGGCUUCUCCACCGGAGGCUUGUGCUCCGGUGGUGGCUUCUUGAUUGGAGGGGGCUUGGGGUAAUCAGCAAGAGAUGGGAUGGUGAGAACCACCACUCCAAGGAACAACACUAGCAAGUAUGUGGGAGACAUUUCUGAGUUUGAGCUGAUCAGAUGAUGCAAAACUAGAAGAAUUACGGGACCUUUUAUAGCAAGUAUCUCCCAAUACCCACAUGACACGUGUUACUAUGACCAUAAAUAUUAUAGGGUCCAUUUGUGCCCUACCGGGUUGAAAACUUGGACGCUUGGCCGAGGACACACCUGACUAUGGAGGACUAUUGACGUGUGAUCACAGCUUUUGGAUUUUUCUUCCUGUGCAGCUGUCUAGCGGUUGGCAUUAUUUUCUUAAUCUUAAAUAAAGGCAUAGUUAUAGAGUUGUUUAAUCUCUAAAUGGGAUUUUAUAUAUCUUCAGAUAGCCAUUAAUAUAUUUGAUGAAGAAAGACAAGUGCAUACAACAUGUAUACGGCUUGCUUCAAUCGAGUACAUUUAUGAUCAGUUUUCCUGUGCAAGUAAACCAGUUUUUUGUUCCACAACUAUUUUGGAAUCUUGUUUAUCAGUUUCUAUCAUUAUAAUGUCACAUAGGCUGCAAACUUGGGCACCCAAAGAUCUAGGUGGGCAAAUUUGUUUCAGACUUUCAAUGGUGGAUUCAGUAAUUGUUAAAAGGUGUUUCUUCAUUAAGGAAAGAGUCCGGUAAAAAUAUUGUUAAAAGGUGUCAUAGAAACUAUAAUAAAUAAAUAACUUCUUUUCCCCAUGGGUGGUGUUUCUUCUGGGGAUCAGUGACUGGUUAGGGUCACCCAAAAUGAGUCCAGAUUAAAAUUGGUUCGAGUCAAAGCAGUCUCUUUUGUCCAGAAAUCAACUAUUUUGCGCAUUGAAUGAAUCGAUAAAGAAAAAAUGAAAGCCAAAUCACACCUCCCCUGCAAAACCUAAACCCCGGUUGCUAACUUUCUAUGUUUCAGUCCUAUUCAUAUAGGAAUAUUGGUUCAAGUUUGAGAAAAAUGGCAACUUACCUAGGGUUUACUUGGUUUUGGUUUGCGACUAUUUACGCAACCAACCAUGAGUUUGACUUUAACGUCAUGGGUUGAAGCCUCCUACAAUCAUGUAUGAUAGUUCAAAGCUCGUGGAAGAAAUUAUACAGGAAGGAAGAAACCUCCAAAGCUAGCUCCAAAAGAGAAUUAUCACAUCGAUAGCUCCAGAGAUUCCCAAGGGAACUGAAUCAAAGACAAGUUCCUCACUUUUUCUUCUUUUGAGGCCAAAUAUGAACCAAGGAUCACACGACCUCAUUCAACUUCAUAAGUUUGAUUUCAUGCAGUUGAACACUGGGUGAAGGCCAUGACAAGAAUUGAUUAAAAAAUUCUACCACUCUUUUAAGUAAUGGAAGAUUAUUAUCUCUGAUUGGCACCACAACAGCACAUGCUGCUAGAUCUUUCUAGACACUCCAUGCAAUGAAAGCACAAUGGAUCUUGUAAUGAUAGAAACUAAGCCAUGCUACAGUACUAGAUGAGGGGGUAAAACUAGUAGACAUCUUUCUAGACACUCCAUGCAAUGAAAGCACAAUGGAUCUUGUAAUGAUAGAAACUAAGCCAUGCUACAGUACUAGAUGAGGUGGUAAAACUAGUAGACAUGGCUGGCAGUUGAUUACUACUCAAAAAGUACUCUUUUAUAGCUUGAAACUAACUGUUUUAAACACUUUUGAGUAGUAGUUAAUACCUUUUAACUUAAUUGGCACAUUAAGGAACCUAGCAAGGGUUACUAAUCAACAUUUGGCAAGUUUUGAUGUUUUUGGUAGCUAUUUGAUCAUUGAAACAAGCCAAGAAUGAGGGGGAAUUUUGUGAAGUCCAUGGCAAUGCAAGUUAAAGCUCAAAUACAUGAAGAAUCCAAGCUUUGGAGCACUUCAUAGCCCUUUGCCAAGCCAAUCAAAGAUGCAAGGAAGAAAACCAAAGGAAGAAAUCCAACAAUCAGCAUUUUGGCAUGGCUAUGUGAAAUUUCGCACACCAUGCGAAACCACAAGAGGCAGCCAAAGAAUUUCGCAUGGUAUGCGAAAUCUUCUUGUGCACUGACUCUGUUAGAUUUUUAUCUUCAGAUAUUUUGUGUAAUUUCCUAGUUUCUCCUUGUAACCAACUUAGAUAUUUUCUUUUAUAUCUUUUUUUAUAUUUUUUAGGUAACAUCAUAUAUAAGAGGAGAGACAUAAGGAGGAUAUGGAUGUUUUUCAUAGAACACUUGUAAAUUUUUGGUAGUAAGAAAUAUACAAAGCUUUUUGCUCUGCCUUACCUUCUCAAGGGAUGAGUGGCUAGGUUUUCUUGGAGUGAGGGAAGCUAGGUGAAGGACCUGAAUGCAAAGGUGGGAGUUUUCCUUACUUUAAAUGAAAGUAGUUGUUAAACAUUAAUGGUUUUUAUUUUAAGGUUUAGCUUUAAAUCCCUGAAAAACACCUUGAAUGGCCAAUACUUGGUAAGCUUUUUAGAUUCUAUGGAUGCUUAUUGCUAGAUCCAUGGAUGUCUAUUAGUUAUCAUUUACGAGCCAUUGGAAGGUGAUUCAAGGUGAGGGUCUUUAGUGUUUGAAGCCAUUAAUGGGAAGCAAUUACCAUUUUUUCAUGAAUCCUUUGGAUCAAAUCUUAAUUGCUAAAUAUAAAACCGGUUUCGAGAGAUAACCACCAUCCUUUAUGUUAUUAUCCCCAACGCGAGGAGAAGAUCCGAAAUCUUCCUUUUUAUCUAAGGAACCCGAUCCUAGUGACCUAAAGCUCCAAGAUACCUUUUCUUUGUAGUUAACUUCAUUUAUUGUUUUUGCUUAACUUAAAAUCAAUCUUUGCAACCACAAUUCCAUUUUCUUUAAAAGCUAAUUUUUAUAAGGAAAAACACCAUUUUAUUUCCUUCACUAAGUCAACUGUACGAUGAAAACCCAUCCCUGUGGACGAUCCUAGAGCCACUAUACUAUGUUAGCUAUGCUACCCUAGUGUGAGGUGAUUUAGGUUUUAUAAAUUUUUUUGAUAACACCCAUCUGAGCCAGAAUCAAAUGGCACGACUGAACCAGGGACGAAUCAAAUGACGCCGCUACCAAGGAUGGUGCCAAAGUACAUUGACAUGACUUUUGGUGAACACUUGUGAUCUUCACCACAAGUUUGGUGAUUUUUCUUUUACUAAUUUUUUUUAUUUUAGCUUAUCUUUUAUUUAGUUUUUAGUUAACCUUAAAUUUUUCCUAGAAUUGUAUUUCUUUUGUUUUCUUUGUUUUUGUUUCAGUGAUCUUUAGUUGUGCAUGCCCUAUUGGAUAAGAGAUAUUGAGGGAAUACUUGUGAAGAUUGAAACUCCUCGAGAAACUGAGUUAGAAGUGUGCUUGAACAUCAUGGAUGUUCCACCUGAAGACCAGAAUAGCCAACAUGGUUAAGAGGAUAAUUUCAACACAUACCGAUCCAUGAGGAACCGCAUACAUCCACCUUGUAUGAGUGCACCGUCAGGCAUAAUGCCUCCCACUGAGCAGCUAGUAAUCUGACCUCACAUUGUGCCACUCCUACCUACUUUCCAUGGGAUGGAGAGUGAGAAUCCCUACUCGCAUAUUAAGGAAUUCGAGGAGGUUUGUAAUACAUUCCAAGAAGGAGGAGCUUCAAUUGACUUGAUGAGGCUCAAGCUAUUUCCUUUCACUUUGAAGGAUAAGGCCAAGAUUUGGCUUAAUUCUUUAAGGCCAAGAAGUAUCCAAACUUGGAUUGAUUUGUAAGCCGAGUUUCUUAAGAAGUUCUUCCCUACCCAUAGGACCAAUGGUUUGAAAAGGCAAAAUUUGAACUUCUCAGUUAAAGAGAAUGAGAAAUUCUAUGAGUGUUGGGAGAGCUACAUGGAAGCUAUUAACGUUUGUCCUCACCAUGGCUUUGACACAUGGCUCUUAGUGAGCUAUUUUUACAAUGGUAUGUCUUCUUCAAUGAAGCAACUCCUAGAAACUAUGUGUGGAGGAGACUUCAUGAGUAAGAAUCCGGAGGAAGCCAUGGACUUUUUGAGUUAUGUGGCUGAAGUUUCAAGAGGAUGGGAUGAACCAAAUGCUAGAGAGGUGGGAAGAAUGAAGUCUCAACCUAAUGCUAAGGGUGAGAUGUAUGUUUUGAAUGAAGACAUUGACAUGAAAGCAAAGGUUGCAGCUAUGGCAAGGAGAUUGGAAGAGCUAGAAAUGAAGAACAUACAAAAAGUGCAAGCCAUUUCUGAGACAUCAAUGAAAGCUAUGCCUUGUUCCAUUUGUCAAUCUUAUAAGCACCUAGUGGAGGAGUGUCCUACAAUUCCAGCAGUGAGAGAGAUGUUUGGUGAUCAAGCAAAUGUUAUUGAUCAAUUCAAGCCUAAUAACAAUGCUUCAUAUGGCAACACCUACAAUUCAAAUUGGAGGAACCAUUCAAAUUUCUCUUGGAAACGAAAGCCACCUCAAUACACACAACCUACUCAAGCACCUUAGCAAUCCUCGAAUCUUGAACAAGCUAUUGUGAACCUUAGCAAGGUUGUGGGAGACUUUGUGGGAGAUCAGAAGUCCAUCAAUGCUCAACUGAAUCGGAGAAUUGACAGUGUGGAGAGUACAUUGAACAAAAGGAUGGAUGAGAUGUAAAAUGAUCUGUCUCAAAAGAUAGACAAUGUCCAAUACGUAAUCUCAAGGCUUACCAACCUCAACACAGUGUAAGAGAAAGGAAAGUUUCCUUCUCAACCUCAUCAAAAUCCUAAGGGUAUCCAUGAAGUAGAGGCUCAAGAGGGAGAAUCUUCAAAGGUGAGGGAAGUCAAAGUAGUUAUCACCUUGAAGAGUGGUAAAGAGGUUGAUCAACCCACAUCCAAGCCAAAGCAUAAUGAAGAGAGUGUAGCAGAAAAAGAAAAGAGAGGAAAAUAAAGGAAUUAGAAUAGAGAAAAAUACAAAGAAAGAUGACCAUGAGUCUAGUGUGGAUGAAGAGCCCGAGAGGAUGGUGAUCAAGGAAGAUAUGAUGAAGAAACACAUGCCUCCACCUUUCCCCUAAGCUUUGCAUGACAAAAAAAGAACCAAUAAUACAUCAGAAAAUUUUGAAGUAUUGAGGCAAGUGAAGGUCAAUAUCCCUUUGCUAGACAUGAUCAAACAAGUGUCGACAUAUGAAAAAUUCUUGAAGGACUUGUGCACUGUAAAGAGAGGGUUGAAUGUGAACAAGAAAGCUUUAUUGACCGAGCAAGUGAGUUCCAUCAUACAGUGCAAGUCCUAGUGAAGUACAAAGAUCCGGGUUGCCGUACCAUCUCAGUGAGUAUUGGAAGGACUUGUGUGGAGAAAGCUUUGUUGGACUUGGGAGCAAGUGUGAAUUUGCUAUCCUACUCUGUCUAUAAGCAGUUGGGAUUUGGAGAGUUGAAGCCAAUAUCCAUCACUCUAUCUCUAGCGGAUAGAUCAAUGAAGAUUCCAAGAGGGAUGAUCGAAGAUGUCCUGGUUCAAGUUAACAAAUUCUACUAUCCAGUAGAUUUUGUUGUUCUUGAUAUGGAUCCGGUUGUCAAAUGAACUAAUUAUGUUCCUAUCAUACUUGGAAGACCCUUCCUAGCUACAUCAAAUGCAAUCAUCAAUUGUAGGAAUGGAGUCAUGCAACUCACAUUUGUCAACAUGACAUUAGAGCUCAACAUCUUCCAUUUGUACAAGAAGCAUAUCCAUCAGGAGGAAAAAGAAGGUCUAGAGGAAGUGUGAAUGAUUGACACUUUAGUGGAAGAGCAUUGUGAUCGAGAAUGCAAAAAGAUUUAGUUGAGAAUUUUGGGGAUCUUGAUGAAAGGUUACUUGAACCCUCAGAUUUGCUUGCUACCCUACUCCAUUGGAAGAGAAGAGAAGAAAUUCUACCCUUAUUCAAUGAGGAGGAGACGCAAAGAGCUGCAAAGGAGAAACCCCCAAAACUUAUUCUUAAGCCACUACCCACAGAGUUGAAGUAUGUAUACUUGGAAGAAGACAAGAAGUGCCCUAUUGUUAUAUCUUCAACUCUUACCAUUCAUCAGGAGGAUUGUCUACUUGAAGUCCUUAGAAGAUGUAAGAAGACAAUAAGGUGGCUAAUUUCUUAUUUGAAAGGGAUCAGCCCUUUAGUCUGCACCCAUCAUAUUUACAUGGAGGAUGAAGCUAAGCUAAUUCAUCAACCUCAGAGAAGGUUGAACCCUCACAUGCAAGAGGUGGUUCGAGCUGAAGUUCUGAAGCUACUUCAGACCAGUAUUAUUUACCCCAUAUCAAAUAGCCCAUGGGUGAGUCCUACUCAAGUUGCGCCAAAGAAGUCUGGGAUCAUGGUGGUGCAAAAUGAUAAGGGAGAAGAUGUCUCUACACGCCUCACUACAGGUUGGAGGGUGUGUAUCAAUUACAGGAGGUUGAAUGCAGUGAUAAGAAAGGACCAUUUCUCAUUGCCCUUUAUUGAUCAGGUGCUUGAGAGGGUCUCUGGGCUUUUUUUUUUAUUGUUUCUUGGAUGGCUACUCCGGGUACUUUCAGAUAGAAAUUGAUGUUGAAAACCAAGAUAAGACCAUUUUCACAUGCCCAUUUGGAACCUAUGCAUAAAGGAGAAUGCCUUUCGGCUUAUGCAAUGCACCCGCAACUUUCCAAAGAUGCAUGUUAAGCAUUUUCAGUGAUAUGGUGGAGCGUAUUAUGGAAGUCUUUAUGGAUGAUAUCACCAUUUAUGGAAGUGCAUUUGAUGAAUGCUUGGUCAACUUAGAAGCUGUUCUGAACCGAUACAUUGAGAAAGACUUAGUGCUUAACUGGGAGAAGUGCCAUUUCAUGGUACACCAAGGGAUUGUCCUUGGGCACAUUAUCUCCAAGCAAGGCAUUGAAGUUGACAAAGCAAAGGUUGAACUCAUUGUUAAGUUGCCAUCCUCAACAAAUGUCAAAGGAGUAAGGCAAUUCUUUGGCCAUGUCGGGUUCUAUAGGAGGUUUAUCAAGGAUUUCUCUAAGCUUGCAAGGCCUCUUUGUGAAAUAUUGGUGAAUGAUGUUAAAUUCAUAUGGGAUGAUGGAUUUGAAAGGAGUUUUGAAGAAUUGAAGCUAUUUUUGACAACCGUACCAAUAGUGAGGGCUCCCAACUGGCAACUGCCCUUUGAAGUAAUGUGUGAUGUCAAUGAUUUUGCUAUAGGAUUUUUUCUUGGGCAAAGAGAAAAUGGAAAACCUUAUGUGAUCUACUAUGCGAGGAAGGCAUUGAAUGAGGCACAAAGAAACUACACAACCACCGAGAAAGAAUUGUUAGCUGUAGUUUUUGCCUUGGAUAAGUUUCGCGCUUACUUGGUGGGGUCCUUCAUCAUGGUUUUUACUGAUCACUUUGCUUUGAAGUAUCUGUUGACUAAGCAAGAUGCUAAAGCAAGGCUGAUUAGAUGGAUUCUCUUACUUCAAGAGUUCAAUCUCCAUAUCAAAGAUAAGAAAGGAGUGGAGAAUGUGGUAGCAGACCACAUUUCAAGGCUAGCUAUCGCACAUAAUUCCCAUGCUUUGCCCAUUAAUGACGAUUUUCUAGAGGGGUCUCUCAUGUUGGUGGAAGUUGUCCCUUGGUACGCUCACAUUGCUAACUACCUGGUCACGGGAAAAGUUCCAAGUGAGUGGAAAGCACAAGAUAAGAAGCACUUCUUUGCAAAAAUUCAUGCCUACUAUUGGGAAGAGCCAUUUCUAUUCAAGUAUUGUAUGGAUCAGAUAAUAAGGAAGUGCGUUCCUGAAGAAGAGCAACAGGGGAUCCUUAGUCAUUACCAUGAAAAUGCAUGUGGAGGCCACUUUGCUUAUCAAAAGACAGCCAUGAGGGUGUUGCAAUCGGGUUUCUGUUGGCCAUCACUUUUCAAAGAUGCCCACACCAUGUGCAAGAGUUGUGAUCGAUGCCAGAGGCUUGGGAAGUUGACACGCAGGAACAUGAUGCCUUUGAACCCCACUUUAAUAGUUGAUAUUUUUUAUGUUUGGGGCACUAACUUCAUGGGACCUUUCCCUAUGUCUUUUGGCUACUCUUACAUCUUGGUAGGAGUAGAUUAUGUUUCUAAGUGGGUUGAGGCAGUCCCAUGCAAACACAAUGACCAUAGAGUGGUUCUCAAGUUUCUUAAAGAGAAUAUCUUCUCAAGAUUUGGGGUGCCCAAAGCCAUAAUUAGUGAUGGGGGUACUCAUUUUUGCAACAAGCCUUUUGAAACUCUCCUAGCCAAGUAUGGGGUGAAGCAUAAGGUAGCUACACCUUACCACCCUCAAACUCAUGGACAAGUUGAGUUAGCAAACAGGGAGAUUAAAAACAUAUUGAUGAAGGUGGUGAACACAAACAGAAAAGAUUGGUCAGUCAAGCUUCUUAAUUCACUAUGGGCAUAUAGAACAACUUACAAGACCAUUCUCGGGAUGUCUCCUUAUCGCCUAGUUUAUGGCAAAGCAUGCCAUCUCCCUGUGGAAUUGGAAUACAAAGCUUGGUGGGCAAUCAAGAAGCUCAACAUGGAUUUGAGCAGAGCUGGGUUGAAGAGGUUCUUAGACCUUAAUGAGAUGGAGAAAUUGAGAAAUGAUGCCUACAUCAAUUCAAAAAUUGCAAAAGAAAAAUUGAAGAGGUGGCAUGAUCAGUUGAUUUCCCGCAAGGAUUUUCAAAAUGGACAAAGAGUCUUACUUUAUGACUCUAAACUCCACAUCUUUCCGGGCAAGCUGAAAUCAAGGUGGAUAGGUCAUUUUACCAUUCACCAAGUGCAUUCAAAUGGAGUAGUGGAACUACUCAACUCCAACAAUAUCGAGAACUUCAAAGUGAAUGGCCACCGUCUCAAGCCCUUUGUGGAGUCUUUUUCUCACAACAAGGAGAAAUUCAUCCUCCUUGAUCCACAUCAAGCUUAACAAGACCAAUUUUCUUGAUGGACUUAGUCUUUCUAAAGACUAUCGAGUCCAUAACUUUUUGUUUUAUUUUUUAUUUGAGAUUUUUUCGGUAUUGUUACUUGUUUUGUUUUUUAUUUUUCGUUUUAAUUUUAUUUGGUUUGAUUUAACUUAGGUUUUUGAUGAUCAAUUACAGGGGGGAUUUCAAAUAGAGGAAAAACCAAGAUAAUUCGCACACCCUACGAAAAUUUCGCAAGGCAUGCGAAAUUUAUGGCUUAUUUUGCAUGGGGUGAAAAUUUUCGUACAUCUUACGAACCAAUUUCGAACACUUUGCGAAAAUAAACCAACCCUGCGAAAUCAUUUCGAUUACUCUACGAAAUUUUCGUAGAGCAUGCGAAAAAUUUAGCACACCAAACACCAUUUCGCAUACUAUGCAAAAACCUAAGGGGUCUGCGAAACCAUUUCGCACCUCCAAAUCCAUUUCGCACAUUGUGCGAAAACCAAGAGGCGCUGUGCGAAAAUGAAAAGUCGCCCUGUCAUCCCUUUUUAAACCCCUCGAGCCCUAAAAUCUCCAUUUCGCAAGCACCCCUGUCCUUGCGAAUCCCUCAUUUUCCUCUACUACCUUGCAACCUCGUCCCUUUCCAUUUGAUAUUGUGCCCCGCGCACAUCUCAUUUCAGAGACUCGCACUCCGCGCCCCCUCAAAGCAUGGACUCGAGACCCACCUUCCAUUUCCGACGUGGCACGGACCCAAGGAGCCCUUUCUGCCCCUUCACUAAGACACACACCAAGGCAGAAAGCCUCCUUUGCUCAAGUGCCUAGUGAUUCUCCAUCUUAGGCCUCAGAGGCCUCGGAGGCCCCGUGGAUUCCACCUUCCGAGGGUAGAGCAGCCAUUGGUCCUUCCUCUUCUACUCCUUAGCGUAGAUACGAGACGAGGAGACCACCUACUACACAAGGGGCGACUACUUCGAGCCUUGAGAAUUCAGUACGAUGCCUUCCUGCCAAGAGGGUCAAGACUUCAGGUCCAAGUGAGUCAUCCAGAGCUUCAUAGCCUAAGCCUCCUGUAGAUUCCAAGGUUCCUACUGACAUAUCACCGGAGUCUAUUAUCAGAAGCCCGAUGCUCAUAGCACCGCCCAUUGAGGGCAACUCAGAUUAUAGAGCGAGAUCUUUCCACUUGGAGCUAUAUUUUGAUCAGGAGGCCAUACGACAGCAGCCUGAGCUCCGAGACUCUUAUGGCUUACUGCAGAGGUACCAUCUUGAGGAACUUAUGACUCCUCGUGAGUUUUUUUAUCCCAGAGUAGCACUAAACUUUUACCAGUCCAUGACUACUCGUGGCGUCCCGAGUCCUACCACGAUUCACUUCACCAUUGAUAGACGUCAUGGUAUCCUCAAGGCCAGACAUAUUACAGAGGCUCUACAAAUUCCUUUCGAGCUAGAGGAUCCAUCUGUUUUUCGCUAAUGGUCCCCAGUAUCUCAGAGGGACAUGGUCCGUAUUUUAUCUAGGGGAACAUCUACAGAUUCGAUCUUUCUACGGAAGGAGCUUCGACCUGGGAUGCUCCUCUUAGAUGUGGUGCUAUGCUCCAACCUCUUUCCCUUACAACAUUCGGUACAUAGGUGAUGAGCUAUUUUGGACGCUUUAUUCCGUAUAUCAGAGGGCUUCUACUUUGGCCCGCACCACUUGAUCAUGGUCUCCCUCAUCCACUUUGAGGAGAAGGUUCAUAGGAAGAAGCUUCAGAGGGUGGACACCAUUCCAUUACUAUUCCUGAGGUUACUUUGCCAGGUCUUGGAGUACAUGGGCUUUCCUACUGAGCCUCGGCUCGAGCUUUGCCGCCUUUGUCGAGAGUGAUCCACUCUCGACAAAUGGAAUUAGUUGGCGGGCUAUUCUGCACCUCCAGGAGCCCCUCCCAUGGUAGCACCUCCAAUGUCCCCACAGGCAAAGUAGGGCGAGCUCCCGGCAAAGACUGUACCACCAAUGCCCACACUUGAGGCUAUUUCUGCUGCUCUGCCUAUGACUCCUACUGUUCCACCAGUUGGUCCUUUUACAUCCGAGCCUUCCAUCACCAUCUCGGCUUCGGAGUUUCGCGCCCUUGUGCAUACCUUUCAGACACUCACCACCACACAUACUCCUCUCUUCUAGCAAAUGGUUGAGAUGUGUGCCCAUCAGGACCGGAAGACUACUAUACUCUGCCAAAUUCAGCAGCACCUAAGACUUUUGCCUCAACCUCAACCUAACCAUCCCAUAUCAUCAGAGCCUCUAGCUCCAACUGAGGAUACUAUUCCACCUGAGAACACUACCACAGUAGAGGUCCGGUUUCCACCACCUUAAGAGGCCACCACAGCUACAUCAGAGGAUGUGUCAUCUCCACUUGAGGCUCCCACUACUUGAUCAUAGGACAUAUCUUUAUCUUAUUGUAUUUACAUAUUAUAUUACUAGAGAUUUGUCCUUGUUUUGAUACUUUAUAUUCUGGGAUUGGAUGUAUUGCCUGAUGAUAUCUCAAUUGUACUUUCUCAUAUUAAUAUAUAGACAUCAAUUUUUUUUAGUAUACUUAGCAUUUUUCUAUUUCCUCUACUCAUUACUCUUUUGUUUUUUUUUACUCAUGUGGUUUCUCUUAUACAACUCAGACUCCAUUUCACUCAGGAGGUACCACUUCCUCCCUUUAUUUUCAAUUGCUCUUGAAAUAUUGAGUGCAAUGUUGAUCUUGGUUGGGGGGAGAGUUGAGGAAGGAAGUUUUGUUAAUAAUGCUAGGUUAAUUUGUUAAUUUAGUUACUUUCUGCUUAAUUUUAAAAGUUUUCACUCUACUUUCCAUGGUUAUUAAGGAAAAAUUCUCAAAAUGAAAUGGGAGAAAUCGAAUUCUUGCAUUUUUACUUGAAUCUUAGAAUUUGUAUCAUGCUUAUUAAAGUUGAUGAAUUAUUGAAACUCCUAUUGAAUUCAACCUUAUUUUUUCCACUUUAAUCUUACCACACACGGUGCACAUUAGGUUCCAGUUAUAAGAUAAAAAACUAUCUCACCCCCUAAACUUAGAAAAAUUUACACUUGGUACCUUUGACAUCGUUUUAAUAGUGUUGGGACACCUUAUAAAAGGCCAAUGAGCCUUUAAAAAAAAAAAAAAAAAAAAAAAGAGAAAGAACAAAGUAUUGCACUUGCCUUGAAACCUGAGCAAGAUCCGAGGGGUAUACAGUGAAAGUCUUUAAAACCUGGUGCCCUAAGCCUUGAUUGGUUGGGAGUCACCGACCUCAAUGCUCGUUAUAAGGGUGAAUAGGUGGAGUUUAACAUAUUGUAGGUGCUUGGGUAUUGAAUUUCAAUCUCAAAAGUCCGGGAAAAAAUCUAAGGAGUUAGUGGUCAAAAGAUCCUUAAAGCUUGAUGCCCUAAACCUUGAUUGGUUGAGAGUCAUUGAUGGAUCCCCGCUACAUGGACAUUUUAGAAAACAAUACCUUUAGCAUUGCACGCCUACAAUGAAAAAAAAAUGUGAAAUAAAAGAGGUGCGUUCUUAGCCUAUUGGAGGUUGGUCAGUUUGCUAAAGUUUGAGAAAUCUAGGUUGGGGGGAGAGAAUAGUCCGACAUACUAUAAUAAAAAACUAAUAACCUUAACACUUAGAUUUUUGUGGAAGAGUAAGGAUUGGACCUUUAGGGGUGGAAAUUCUUUUGAUGCUUAAAUUUGCAUAAUGCCUACUCUUUAUAAAUUAUGAUUAGGCAAGAGAUUUGAUGACUCUUGUUCAAAGUUGGGUUUUUCCUCUUUGAUGUUCCAUGAGAGAGUAUAAUCCUCAUCAUGCCACUUGAAAUCUUUUUGGAGUGAUUAACAUGAUUUUGUAAAUUAUUUUACUGUCUAUUUUUCUUUAUCUCUCUUUUAUUGCUAAUGGACUAGCAAUAUGUCAGUUGGGGGGAGUGAUUACUACUCAAAAAGUACUCUUUUAUAGCUUGAAACUAACUGUUUUAAACACUUUUGAGUAGGUGUUAAUACAUUUUAACUCAAUUGGCACAUUAAGGAACCUAACAAGGGUUACUAAUAAGUUUUUGGCAAGUUUUGGUGUUUUUGGUAGCUAUUUGAUCAUUGAAACAAGCCAAGAAUGAGGGAGAAUUUUGUGAAGUCCAUAGCAAUGCAAGUUAAAGCUCAAAUACAUGAAGAAUCCAAGCUUUGAAGCACUUCAUAGCCCUUUGCGAAGCCAAUCAGAGAUGCAAGGAAGAAAACCAGAGGAAAAAAUCCAACAACCAGCAUUUUCGCAUGGCUGUGCGAAAUUUUGCACACCAUGCGAAACCACAAGAAGUAGCCAAAGAAUUUUGCACACCAUGCGAAAUUUCGCAUGGUAUACGAAAUCUUCCUAUGCACCAACUCCGUUAUAUUUUUAUCUUCAGAUAUUUUGUGUAAUUUCCUAGUUUCUCCUUGUAACCAACCUAGAUAUUUUCUUUUAUAUCUUUUUUUUAUAUUUUUUAGGUAACAUCAUAUAUAGGGGGAGAGACAUAAGGAGGAUAUGGAUGUUUUUCAUAAAACACUUUUAAUUUUCUGGUAGUAAGAAAUAUACAAAGUUUUUUGCUCUGCCUUACCUUCUCAUUUUGUUUUCACCUAUCUUUCUAGCCAAACAACCUCUGAGAAUGAUUUCUCAGGGGAUGAGUAGUUAGGUUUUACGUUUCUUGGAGUGAGAGAAGCUAGGUGAAAGACCCAAAUGCUAAGGUGGGAGUUGUCCUUGCUUUAAAUGAAAGUAGUUGUUAAAUAUUAAUGGUUUUUAUUUUAAGGUUUAGCUUUAAAUCCCUUAAAAACACCUUGAAUGGCCAAUACUUGGUAAGCUUUUCGGAUUCUAUGGAUGCUUAUUGCUAGAUCCAUGGAUGUCAUUAGUUAUCAUUUAUGAGCCAUUGGAAGGUGGUUCAAGAUGAGAGUCUUUAGUGUUUGAAGCCAUUAAUGGGAAACAAUUACCAUUUUUUCAUGAAUCCUUUGGAUAAAAUCUUAAUUGCUAAAUAUAAAACUGGUUCGGGAGAUAACCAUCCUUUAUGUUAUUAUGCCCAAUGCAAGGAGAAGAUUUCGAAUCUUCUCAUUUGUCUAAGGAACCCGAUCCUAGUGACCUAAAGCUCCUAGAGACCUUUUCUUUGUAGUUAACUUCAUUUAUUGUUUUUGCUUAACUUAAAAUCAAUCUUUGCAACCACAAUUCCAUUUUCUUUAAAAGCUAAUUUUUAUAAGGAAAAGCACCAUUUUAUUUCCUUCACUAAGUCAACUGUAUGAUGAAAACCCAUCCCUGUGGACGAUCUUAGAGCCACUAUACUAUGUUAUCUAUGCUAUCCUAGUGUGAGGUGAUUUAGGUUUUAUAAAUUUUGUUGAUAACACCCGUCUGAGCCAGAAUCAAAUGGAACCACUGAACCAGGGACAAAUCAACAGCCUAUAUGGGAGGGACACAAGUUUAAUUGAUUUGCAUUUCAGCGUUAUAGAUAAGUAUGUUUUGGAAGAUUUGUUCUGGAAAUACUGCACCAAGUACGAUUCUUUUUCUCUUGAGUGAGUCCAUUUGCAUGCCAAUUAACGAGUUGAAAAGUAGGAGCACCUACCUCGUGCUCAUGGAACCGAAUGUCAGUGAAGUGGGGCUCCUUUUAGCCUCUUGUGUUUCUGUUCCAACCAAGGCGGCGUAGGGAAAAACAACAAUAUGUCUGUGCUAAAUAUCAACGCAUGAUAGAUGUUUUUUUUUUUUUUUUUGGUAUGUCAAGGCUAACGAAUGAAAUGCAUUAGCUUGUUUUGUGACUAUAACUGCAAAUGUCCAAAUUGGAGUAUCUCCAUUUCUCACUUCGGAUGGUUAACUUUAUAAACAAGAUAUAGGAAACAUGUGAACAUCUUGAGGAACAAUUCAAAUUAUUCAUUAGAAGUCCUGGGUUAAGUUCCAAGAUUUAAAUCAGACCCUUCUAGCAGCUUCAAGGGUACUUAGCAACCUAUAACAUAUUAAUGAAGAUUUAGGAUUUAGACUCCGGAAUACAAAUAAAUAUGUAUCUCAUGCUUUGACUAGCUUCCCUACAUAUGCAUAAAAUGGAGAUGACCCAAAAAAAAUAGCAGAAUCUAGCUUCCCUACAUAUGCACAAAAUGGAGAUGACCCAAAAAAUAGCAUAAUCGCCUUAGUUUCUGUGGUUAAGGUGAUUCUCCGCUUAAUAUCCACAUUGACUCAUUAUGCAAAAUCAACUGAGCUAAUUUUAUUUAUUUAUUUAAUGUCAAAUAGGAACUCCUAAUUAACUGAUUACUGUCGAAAAGUGCUAUUUUGUAGACCUAAUUAUAAGGGUUUUAAGCACCUUUGAGUAGUAAUCAUAUUCAUUUAACCUAAUUAAUUCAUUAAGCUCCUUAGUAAUUAGUUCUAACCAUUUUUAGUGGCAAGUUUACAUGUUUUUCAUCAGCUUAUGAACCAAUUCAAGCAUGCCAAUUGAUGGAGGAGCUACUUGGGCGAGUUAAGCAAGGAUUUUGGACGUUUACAGGCUUGAAUUUCAAGUGGAAACACGAGCACAAGCAAUGGGAACACCAUUUCGCAAGGGGAGGCAAUUCACCUUGCCAAAUGACCAAUUUCGCAAGGGGAUUUUCCUCAUGGUGCAAAAUUUGGUCAUUUCGCACCAUGAAGAAACCACCUUGCAAAAUUUCGCAAGGUGGAUUUAGGCACCUUGCGAAAUGCCAAAUUUCACAAGGUGGCUUUUCACCUUGCGAAAUUUGGACCUUUCAUCUUCCCCCCUUGCGAAAUGCCUUUGAAAUCCCCUGUUUUGAGACGCUGUUGAUGAUAUUCCACUGCCGGUUCUCCAAGAUAUUUUGCUUGACUUUUAGCUUUAUAAAUACCUAUUUUACCCUUGUAAUCAACCAAUGAAAAGGUUGCUUUUGUAAUAGCUCUUGUAAUUUAGCUUUUUAUUGUCUUUAAAUAGAGGUGAAGAGCCUCAGACACGAUCAUCUUGUAACCUGUAACUUUAUAAGUUAUAAGAGCACUUUUGUUCAUACGCUUCUUUUCUCUUUUCUUUCUCAUUUUCUUAGUAGCCAAACAUCCUUGGAGGAUGAAAUCCCCAAGGAUGAGAGGCUAAAACCUUUUAGUUUCUUGAAGUAAUGGAUGCCAUGUGAAGCUCCCGUGUCAGGAUGGAGAUUUCCAAGCCAUAAAUGUAAGUAGCUGAGCGUCAUAAAUGUUUUCAUUCAAAGUAAAGCUUUUAAUCCCUCUGACUUGCUUUGAAUGGCCAAUACUUGAUAACCUUUUGGUCUCAAUGGAUUCUUAUUGUUAGAUCCACUGACGUUCAUUAGUUAUCUCCUACGAGCCAUUGUAUUGCAAGUCGAGGAGAUGACCUAUACCAAUAAAAGAGCAUUUAUGAGGUUCAACUACCCUUUUUGUAAGUUUUCAAGGACUAAAACUCAGUUGUUAAACUCAUACCGGUUCGAGAAGUAAGCAUCACCUUAGUUGCUUCCCCAACUCGAGGUGAAAAGUCCCAAAAUCUCCAUUUUUACACAGUGAGUUAAGCAUGGCUAUCCAAAGCUUUAAGAAACUUCUUUUUCCAUCUUUUAACCUAUUUUCAUGUUAGUUUAGUUUACAACACCUUCAUCUUUUUAUGUUUUCAUCUUAACCUAAUUUUUAUUAAGAAAAGUUCACUCCAUCCUCCGAACUUCACCAGUUAAAGUAAAAACCCUUCCCAGUGUUCGAUCCUAGAGCCACUAUGCUAUAGUAGCUUUGCUACUUUAGUGUAAGGACCUUAGGUAUAAAUUUUGUUGAUACCCUUACAUGCCAAGCUACCAAGAGUCGGGUUAUCAUUAACCUAACCAUUGGCCUGUGUAAAUUGAUUUCACAUGCACAAUGUUGUAGUAGAAGUCCAUAUUUUGAAUUUUAUUUUUGUAAAGGUAAGGAAAAUGAAGCAUUGUGUAAUUAUAAAAAUAACUUCAUUGGAAUUCACAAGGUUCACCCAAAAUGGAGCUACAUCUGUAUUCUAUCCUACAGUAGACUAUAUAGAUUGUACAAUAGUAAAUUGCAAAUACAAUUAAUAAGUCUUGUGCUUCCUUACUAAUAAUCCUUUGACAUGAACAUUGCAGCACUAAGGUCCUCUUGGGAAGACACCUUGCACCCAUGAGAGCACUAAGAGGAAGCAAGGCAGAGUCAUGGGUGCAAUGUCAUGACUUGUUGUUGCACCAAGAGAGGCUUGGUGAUGCCAUGGUGUUGCAGUAGCAAGAAUGUUGCCUUGGCAGGGACACGAUCUAGGGAUAGAUGCCAAGAAAGGCUUAGCACUCACAUGAGUUGCACAAAGAUGAAUGUAAUAGAGCAUCAGAGAGACGUCUUGGCAAGUAAAUGAAUGGAUCCAAGAGACAACAACAUGAGGAGUUUCAAAUGGAUAAGGAAUGACUCAAAGACAUUUGAAAGCUACAAGUUGGAUUCUAAUUACGAUUGCAAUUUGAGUUUGAGUAGGAGUUUAGAUUUUGAUUGUAAUUGUAGUAUGAGUUGGACUAGGAUUGCUUAUCCUUAGUCAAUAUAGGAGCGGUUCGUGUCACCCUAUGAAAAGAGUUUGAGUAGGGACUAGGAUUGCUUACUCCUAGUCAAAUAUGGAGUAGGUGGUGCCACACCUAUAAAAAAAAGGGACAACAUGAGAGAGAGAGAGAGAGAGAAAGAGAGAGUGAAUUCACUAAAGAUAUUGUGGGAGUUUUGCUUUGUUACGUCUUGUAUUAUUACUUAGAAUAGGAAUAAAAUACAAGUUGGGGCUAGAGCCCCAUAAUUAAUCUCGUGUGCCUUUGUGGUUAUUCUUUAUUUGUCAUCUCGUGUGGAUUGGAUUAGGUUGACUUAGAGGGCUUCUAAGCACCACCUUUGUGGGUUAUUAUUUAUUUUCCAUCUCUUGUGGAUUAGAUUAGGUUGACUUAGAGGGCUUCUGAGCACCACCUUUGUGGGUUAUUAUUUAUUUUCCAUCUAUUGUGGAUUAGAUUAGGUUGACUUAGAGGGCUUUUAAGCACCACAUUUGUGGGUUAUUCUUUAUUUUCCAUAUCGUGUGGGUUGGAUUAGGUUGACAAGGAGAAAAAUUAUGUGGGAAAUUUGUGUUGGGACACUUACCAUAACCAAGUAAAAUCUACCAAGUCCUUUGUAAUAUCUUCAACAAAUAUUUUAGACUAGUUCUUUCAGUUAGUGUAAAGGAGGAAGAAGUGGUAUUGAUUCUAGAAAUAGGGUGUGUGUAUUUGAACUACAAUCCUUAUGAUCCUUAGGUCUCUAAACCUUCGUGAUGGGCUCCCUGACAUUUCAUAGGUUGUGCUACACAUGCGUUUGAAAUUUAGAGUGCGUUUGACAGUGAUUCCGGGAAGUGUUUUUGGCCUUUCUUACACUUGAAAAUUUUUAUUUUUCAAGUAUUAGAAAUGCUACAAACACUUUUGAAAAUUACUGUCAAACACACUCUUAGGAGCGCACAUAUAUAGUAGAAAACUAGAAAUUGUGGUUUUUUUAGGAUUUACUGUAAUGUCAUUAGGAGGGUAGUAAGUUGAAAUUGAGUAUGAACAAAUAUUUCUUUCUUUGGGAUGUUCUUCUAGUAGGUGCUGAUGAAACUGUUCUUUCUACUGCCAAUGUCACAUAUCAGCCAGAAAUUGAAAAUUUCAGUCAAGGUGUCCUCUGUUUUAGUGGUGAGGAAAGCUAGAAAUUUUAAGGUGAAGUUUUGUUAAAAACCUUAAGUAGCUGGGAUAUCAGGCCUGUUUUGCUUGAAAAAAAAAGUUGCAAGAUAACUCAUAUGCCAAACAGGUUCUGAUAUUGUGAAUCUAUCGGCAGACAUCAGUAAUCUCAUCUUCUGAGAUGGAUGUUGGGGGUGCAUGUGGUGGUGGAGGGGCAAGGUUUCAUUUGGUUUAUUUUGUUGAUGGAUAUUGUCUAGCCACCUGCGCCAAGUUUGAGGGGUGGUGGGUUGUGAUGACCCUACAAUUACUAUUAAUUUCUUCAUCUUUUACCGAUUAAAGUGUCCGAACAGUCGAAGUUACCCUUAUGCAUGUCAACUUGAUCACUUACCUCUUCAAUGGAGUUUAUGCUGGUUCAUUUAGGAACUGAUUUUUAUUGUUAUGUAUUAUAUGCUGAUGUUUAGGUCUCUCCAUCAUCACUAUAUACAAAAAUUCUAGGUUGAUACUAUAGGUUGAGAUUUAUUUUUUAAAUAAAAAAUAAUAAAAAUAAAAAUUAUGGUGAUGUUUAGUUGUUUUAUGGAAAAUUUUAACAAGUAAAAGUUAUUUUUGGGCAAGUUUUCAAACAAAAAGAAAAGUAAAAGUUGUUUUGACAAAAACAUAUAGAAAAAAAAAUCAUAGAAAAUAAAUAAUUUCCCCAUAUUCUAACUUUUUUGAAUUUUUCUCAAUGGGCAAAGGAAUAUCAAAUCAAGUUUGAGUAGGAUUUCUUAAUUUUUAAAAUAACUUACAAUUAAAAAAUUUUGGUGUUUUCAUUUUUGGACAAUUUUUUAUUAAGCAAAUGGACUCUGAGUCAUGCAAGAGAUAUGGUUCAUUAACCGGUCGAACAAUUUUUUUAAAUUAAUUUAAAAGUCAAAUACAUAAUCAAUUUCACAAAAUUUAUAAACAAAAAUAGGUUUAGAGAAGAUCUACACAUAAUUUUACUUUUCUAAUUUUAUUUUAUUUUAUUUUUUGUUGGAAAAUAGUCUUCAAAUCAUGUAAGAUUUAAUAGGUUAAAUUUGUUAACAAUAAAUUUUAAAUUAUAAAAUAUAAUCUGGAACUCAAAAAUCAAUUCAAGUAAUGCUAAAAAAAAAUCAAAUUUGGUAUAGAAUGACUUUGUAAAUUUUUUUACAAAACAAAUGAAUUUUAAAUCAAGUGAGAUUUAAUGCAUUAGAUUUUUAUCAAAUAUAGUAAUUUUAAAAAUAAAUUUGGAACUCAACAAUAGACACAAUAAAUACCAAAAAAUAAUGAACCAAAAUUGGUUUGGAAUAACUCCACAACCUUUUUUUUUUUUUUUUGGUGCACACGAAUUUUCUUACUAGGUAUAUUGCUUUCAAAUUGAGAAAGAUUUACCAUUUAGAUUUUUUUUUAAUGAGUUUAAUGGUAUUUUAAAAUAAUUCAAAAUUUAAAAAAUUGACUAAUUAAUAUUAUAAAUUGAUAAACCAAGACUAUUUCAAAAUGCAUUGGGGGCUAAGGGGGUUGAAAAUAGGGACAAUGGGAUGGGUUUGGGACAUGACACUCAUAUCUCAUUUCCAUUCCAAUUACACAGUUAUCUCCCAUCCUUAUCCCAAACUUGUGUUGGAGCAAGUUGAUUUGUUCCCAUCUUUGUUGACGAAAUGACUAAUAACCUCAUCCCCUCCUUAUCUUAGAUGUACAUUUUGUCAAAUUUGAUCAGGUAUGAUUGAUCCAAGCCCUAACCCUAAUUGGUAAUGAGUGAAUACUACACCUAAUUGCAUUCUUCUUUCAUUGCAAAAUAAUGAGAUUAUAAUAAUCUAGCAAAUAAGAAAAAAUAGUAUGGAAGUUCAAAUUAACACCAUAACUAUCAAUAAUUUUAAGCUUAUAGAUGACUUAAAUGAUUAAAAACUAAUGCAAAAUCCUAAAAAAAAUAAAAAUCAUAUAAAGAAUUCACAAGAGAACAGAAUGAACAAAAACCAAAUAUGAACAUGGGUCAACAUUAGUUAUGGAUUUGGAUUCCUUUCAAGGCCAAUCUUUGAACCAAGACUUCAUCAAAUCAACUACUUCAAAGGCUUUUGUGUUCUUCUUGGGUUGUGCUCUCAAACAAAGACUUCGAGGUGAUGUUCUAGAUGAUUGAAUUACACAUAUUUAGGGUGGAGAGAUUGGAGAAGCUUGAAGAUGCCAACGAUGGGUACAAUUGAGUGGUCAAUAAGAACAAUGUAGCCUAUGACUAGUUUGAUGUCAUGGUACAAGAGUUUUAGGCAUUGAGGUUAAAGCAAGAGCAACAUGGAAUUGAUUUCGGAGUCUUUCAGUUAGUGUAAAGGAGGAAGAAGUGGUGUUGAUUCUAGAAAUAGGGUUUUAAGUGGUGCGUGAUUACUACUCAAAAAGUGCUAUUUGAUAGCCUUUAAUUAAUCCUUUUUAACACUUUUGAGUAGUAGUUUAGGCCUUUUAACUCAAUUGGCAUGUUAAGGAUCCUUUAAAGCAAUUUUGAUCACUUUGUGCAAGUUUUGGUGUUUUUGUUAGUAUUUUGAUCACCAAAGCAAGUCAAGAAUGAGGAGAACUAUGAGGAAUCAUGGGCAAAGCUUAGAAUUCAAUUGCCAAGAGUGAAUCCGGAUUGCAAGGAGAAAAAGCAAAGAGAAUCUGUCAUGAAGCCUAUUCUUGAUGACAGUCGUAGCAGCCACUUUUGGAGCACUUUCUGAAGUCCAAAUGAUGCAAGCUAUAUACCAUUUCAAAGAUCAGGAAGUCAACAAUCCAAUGCUUCAAACGGUGCGCGAUUCGGAGUUGAAACGAAGAAGUUGCAGCCAUUACAAGCCAGUCACUCUAAAGUGUUGCGGAAUCAGCCUUUUGUUGCGAGAAUUUCGCAGCACUUUUGUACAGUAAGGUGUUUCUCCUUCUGACGAUGCACGAACCAUGCCGCGAGAGGGAAGCUAGGAACUUCAAGAUGGAAGCCAACUUUGCAGCCUGGUGAAGAUAGCUUGGUCUUGCGAAAUAAUUUCGCAGCCCUCUUGGGUGUCUGCGAAAUUUCGCAGGCACCACUUUUUUCCUGCGAAAUGGCUCCGGAAGCCUCCCGAAGCUUGCUACCGACAUUGGGAGAUAUUUUCCAUUAGAUUUUUGUUGUCUAAAUUCCAAAAUACUCCUUGUAAACCACCAAUUACAUGAUUCCUUAGUUUUUAAGUUAGUAAAAAGACCAAAUAUCUAUGUAAUAAUUAGUUUUAUAUUAGUUUGCUAUAAAUACCUCUCGGGAGCAUGUUCUCAGAGAGGAGUUCCUUCUGUAACCAUUUUGGUAAGCAAGUAAAGUCUUUUCUUUCUACUGCCUUACCUUCUCACUUUGUAUUUUCAUUUUAUUUCUAAGUUAUGAAUUCUCUGAGGAGCUUUCCCCAGAGAAUGAGUAACUAAACCUCCAAUUCCUUGGAGCUAAGGUUGCCGGGGAAGGUUCCAAGUGCAAGAAUGCAAAGCUCUGUGGUUUUAGCUAGUAAUGAAGAGGAAGUGAAAUCCUUUAGUGAUUUCAAUGUUUUUAGUUAACUUAAAACACCUUGGAGUCACCUGGGCCAACACUUGGUAAGGCAAGUGAUUUCCAACCGUGGAAAUGCACUAGUUUACCCCUUGCGAGCCUCUGGUAGGUGACUUCAAGGUAGGAUUUUCUGGAAUUACCAACACUUGGUAAGCUUUUGGACUCCUAGGAGACAUCCAUUAGUUAUCUCUUGCGAGUUUGUGAAGGGGAAUCCAAGGUUAAAGAUCACCUUGAAUGGUAAGUGCUCGUGAGAGGCAUGAACCAUUGCAAGUUGUAUCAGUGAGAGAAUUAAAGUGAAAUCUAAUUGAAGGAGUCUCUGUACAUCACCGGUUAGAGAAUUGACUAUAAGUUGAAUCUCUAAUGCGAGGAAAUGAACCAUCUGACCGGAGCUAUGUCUUUUGCAUGAGGAACCACCCCAGUGAACCUAAAUCUCCAAGGAAUGCUUUUCUUCCUAAAUUAUUCCAAACUUCUGUUAAGUUAGUUAGUUUAAGUCUAAACCUUUACCAAUCAAACUUUGUGUUUUAUUUCUUAAGCUAACCGUGAAAUGAAACAAAACCAAUUCACUUGGAAUUGGUAUCCUUGAUUGCUUGCAAAUCAUUCCCAGUGAACGAUCCUUAGAGCCACUAUACUAUAGUAGCUUUGUAUUUGCUACCCUAGUGUAUGGUGUUAUAGGUAUAAAUUUUGUUGAUCACUUCCUCAAUCAAGGAACACCAGCUGAACACAAAUCAGCUGAGACACCAAUUGGGCAUGAGUCAAAUGGCGCCGUUGCCGGGGAAUGAGUGUCAAGAUCAUUGUGAUACCAUUUUUGAGCACUUGUGAUUUUCAUCACAAGUUGGUAAAGUUUCUUUCACUUUACUAAUUUUCAUUCUCUCUUUGUUUAUUUACAAUCUAAGUUUAUCUUUUUAAAAUUUAGUCUAGUUUAAUUUUGCUAUUGUAGCCUUGUUUCUCUUGUUGUCCUCUGUUCUUGUUGUCCUCUGUUUUCAUUUUAGUUGCAGCUGAAUACUAGUUGUGUAUGCCAAAGUGGAUACGAGACAUUGGAGGUAGGCUUAUUAAGUGUGAUACACCUCAGAGAGGAGAAUUGGAAGUAAUCUUGAAUAUCAUGGAGGCUGCACCUGAAGAUCAGCAUAGUCACCAAGGUCGUCAAGACAAUCUCAAUGAAUUCAGAUCAAUGAGGGACCGUAUGCAUCCACCUCGUAUGAGUGCACCAUCAUGUAUAGUGCCCCCUACAGAGCAACUAGUGAUCAGACCAUAUCUUGUUCCACUUCUACCAACUUUCCAUGGGAUGGAAAGUGAGAAUCCGUAUGCACACAUCAAGGAAUUUGAAGAUGUUUGUAAUACAUUCCAAGAGGGAGGAGCUUCAAUUGAUUUGAUGAGGCUUAAGUUAUUUCCUUUUAAUUUAAAGGAUAAGGCCAAAAUUUGGCUUAAUUCUUUAAGGCCAAGGAGUAUCCGCUCUUGGACUGAUUUACAAGCUGAAUUCCUCAAGAAAUUUUUUCCUACUCAUAGAACAAAUGGCUUGAAAAGGCAAAUUUCAAACUUCUCAGCUAAAGAGAAUGAGAAAUUCUAUGAGUGUUGGGAAAGAUACAUGGAAGCUAUAAAUGCUUGUCCUCACCAUGGCUUUGAUACUUGGCUACUGGUGAGUUAUUUUUAUGAUGGUAUGUCCUCCUCAAUGAAGCAACUCCUCGAGAAAAUGUGUGGAGAAGAUUUCAUGAGCAAAAAUCCAGAGGAAGCUAUGGAUUUCUUGAGCUAUGUAGCUGAUGUUUCAAGGGGAUGGGAUGAACCAACUAAAGGAGAAGUGGGAAAGAUGAAGUCUCAGUUGAAUGCUUACAAUGCAAAGGCUGGGAUGUAUACUUUAAAAGAGGAUGAUGACAUGAAAGCAAAGUUGGCAGCUAUGACAAGAAGAUUGGAGGAGCUGGAGCUGAAAAGAAUGCAUGAAGUGCAAGCUGUUGCUGAAGCACCAGUGCAAGUGAAGUUGUGUCCCAAUUGUCAAUCGUUUGAACAUUUGGUAGAGGAAUGCCCUGCAAUUUCAGCUGAAAGGGAAAUGUAUAGAGAUCAAGCAAAUGUUGUUGGACAAUUCAGGCCCAAUAACAAUGCUCCUUAUGGAAAUACCUACAAUUCAAGUUGGAGGAAUCAUCCAAAUUUUUCAUGGAAGGCCAGAGCAACUCAAUACCAACAGCCGGAUCCACCAUCUCAACAAUCUUCAAGUAUUGAACAAAUAAUAGCUAAUCUCAGCAAGGUAGUGGGAGAUUUUGUGGGAAAGCAAGAAGCCACCAAUGCUCGAGUGGAUCAAAGAAUGGACAGAGUGGAUCAAAGAAUGGACAGAAUGGAGAGUAUGUUGAACAAAAGAAUGGAUGGAAUGCAAAAUGAUAUGAAUCAAAAAUUUGAUAACAUCCAAUAUUCAAUUUCAAGGCUUACAAAUUUGAAUACACUGCAAGAAAAGGGAAGAUUUCCUUCUCAACCUAACCAAAAUCCCAAAGGUGUCCAUGAAGUGGAAAGCCAUGAGGGAGAAUCAUCACAGGUGAAAGAUGUGAAAGCUUUGAUCACUCUAAGGAGUGGUAAGAAAAUUGAGCAGCCAACACCCAAGCCACAUGUUGAGAAAGAAGAAGAGAUGAAGAAAGGGAAGGAAAUGGAAGAUAAAGGCAGUGAGAUCAGUGAAGAAAAGAAGGACUCUGAUGCAACAAUGAAAGUAAUUCCAGAGAAGGAGCUUCUGAAGGAAGAAAUGCUGAAGAAAUCAACUUUUCCACCUUUUCCUCAAGCAUUACAGGGGAAAAAGGGGGUUAGAAAUGCAGCUGAAAUCCUAGAAGUAUUGAGGCAAGUGAAAGUUAAUAUUCCACUGCUGGAUAUGAUCAAACAAGUUCCAACGUAUGCAAAAUUCCUAAAGGACUUGUGUACUAUCAAAAGAGGGUUGACUGUAAACAAGAAAGCCUUCUUGACUGAGCAAGUAAGUGCAAUCUUACAGUGUAAGUCUCCUUUGAAGUACAAAGACCCUGGAAGUCCUACCAUUUCAGUCAUGAUUGGAGGAAAGGUAGUGGAGAAAGCCUUGCUAGACUUGGGAGCAAGUGUGAAUUUGCUUCCAUAUUCUGUCUACAAGCAACUGGGACUUGGAGAGUUGAAGCCAACAGCAAUCACUUUGUCUCUGGCAGAUAGAUCAGUGAAAAUUCCAAGAGGGGUAAUUGAGGAUGUAUUGGUUCAAGUAGAUAAUUUCUACUAUCCUGUAGAUUUUGUUGUUCUUGAUACAGAUCCUACUGUAAAGGAAGCUAAUUUAGUUCCUAUCAUCCUUGGAAGGCCAUUUCUUGCAACUUCAAAUGCAAUCAUCAACUGUAGAAAUGGGCUUAUGCAACUCACUUUUGGUAACAUGACACUGGAUCUAAAUAUUUUCUAUAUGUCUAAAAAGCAAAUCACUCCAGAAGAAGAAGAGGGUCCAGAAGAGCUAUGUAUUAUUGAUACUUUGGUGGAGGAGCACUGCAAUCAACAUAUGCAAGAUAAGUUGAAUGAAAGUUUUGUGGAUAUUGAGGAAGGUUUUUCUGAAUCUCCUAAUGGGCUUGCUACUCUACAAAGUUGGAGAAAGAUAGAAGGAAUUCUACCUUUGUUCAAUGAAGAAGAGGAGGCAGCUGUUGAAAAAGAAAUUCCAAAACUCAAUCUGAAGCCUUUACCUAUGGAGCUGAAAUAUACAUAUCUUGAAGAAAAUAAUCAAUGUCCUGUCGUAAUAUCUUCAUCUCAAACCAAGUCUCAAGUGAAGGAUGCAAGCUUCAAAUGGGAUCCGGGCAAACUGAAUCAGGAAGGGCAAAAAGUUUUGAUGUAUGACACAAGACUCCAUAUCUUUCCUGGGAAGCUCAAGUCAAGGUGGAUUGGUCCAUUUGUUAUUCACCGAGUAUAUUCCAAUGGAGUGGUGGACUUAUUGAAUUCCAAUGGCAAGGACAGCUUUAGAGUCAAUGGAUAUCGUCUUAAGCCGUUCAUGGAGUCAUUCAAAUCAGAAAAGGAGGCAAUCAACCUCCUUGAACCUCAAAAAGCCUAAGUGAAAUGGGUUUGCUGGACGUGGUUUUACCACAGUCCAAAAAUUUUUGUAAAUUUUGUAAAUUUUCAAGUUGUUUCCAUGCUUUUAAUCUUAGUUUUUGAUUUUAAAUCAUGUUUUUAGGUGUGUUUUAAUCGUUUUAUAUGAUCCCAGGCGGAAGAAAUUUCAAGGGGAUUGAAAAGAAAAAAAUCGGGUCGAAAUUGGAGCCGAAACAGAGCAAAAACAGGGGAAAAACAGAGCUCUGCGAAAUUUCGCAGGGUGAAGGAAACUUCUGCGAAAUUGGCAUUUUGCUGCCAAACCAUUCCGCAGCACUGUAGAAGCCUCUGCGAGUGUAUUUCGCAAUUGCGAAAGUGGAUUUGGCACACGAGUGCCACUUCGCAGCACAGUGACAUCAAUUUCGCAGCUGCGAAACUCACUGCGAAGUUGCUGCGAAAAUGGCAAGUUGCUGCGAAAUUGGCGUUUUGUUGCGAAACGUAAUCUGACCCCUGGGCUUCCGUUUUUCCUAUUUAUACCUGUCAAAAGUGCUGCGAAAAAGGUUUCAAAAAUUAGAGCACCAUUCUCGCAGCCCUUUCAUCUUCUUCGCCAAGCCACGCCGUCCGUUUCUCCGGUCGUCUUCUCCGUUUAGCAGCGCCGGCCAAAGAUCGAUAGCCCAAAAAUGGCACGAACGCGAGGGGCAAAGUCUUCAUCCCCUUCGAACCGCAAAAGGAGUCUGCGAAAGGAGCCAAGUUCAGGCUCUGUUCCAGAACCUGCUCCAAAGCCUUCGCCGUCGAGACCACAACCUUCUCCAGUGAAGCCGGCGCCACCAAAGCCGCCGGCAAGGCGAUAUUUAACCAGGUCAGGUGGUCAGCCAUUGAAGAAGAAAGCCAGAGUUGAGAGCUCUGAACCAAUCGAUUUGACUGAGCAAUCCCCUGAGAAAUCACCAAAUCCUUCACCGGUACAAAUUCCAGUGCCAUCACCGGUUCCCUCGCCAAUUCCCUCACCAGAAGCAACUCCAAUUCCAUCGCCGGUACCAUCUCCGGCACCCCAAGAAAAAGCUCAGGAGCCUCAAGCGCCAAUUCCAGAGCCCCAAAUUGCAGCUGAAGCACCUCUGGAAGAAGUGAUCCGAAGGCCAAUGCUGCCUCAGCCCCCAAUCGAAGGAAACCUGGAUUGCCGAACUCGGGCAUUCCAUUCUGAGCUUUGCUUCGAUUUAACAGCAUUCAGAGUGAGGCCAGAGCUUGCCCAAUCCUUCCAACUGCUGAGGAGAUAUCAUAUGGAGCAUCUGCUAGCUCCAAGGGAUUUUUUCUAUCCCCGGGUAGUCACGGAUUUCUACCAAACCAUGACAACCAAAGAAGUAAGAAAUCCAACUCUGAUUCAUUUCAUAAUUGAUGGAAGGCAUGGUAUUUUGGGAGCAAGACAUAUUGCUGAAGCCCUGCAAAUUCCUUUUGAGCCAACUCAAUUCGACAAUUUUAAAGCUUGGACAAAUCCUACUGAGUUAGAGAUGGUUAGCACACUAACCAGAGGAGCUGCAAAUCGAUCGCAUUUGUUGAGGGGGGAGCUACCUCCAGUUAUGUUUUUGAUUGAUGCCUUUUUGAGGCAUAAUAUCUAUCCCCUGCAGCAUUGGACCCAAAGAAGGGGAAUUCUCCUAGAAGCCUUGUACAAAAUGUCUGAAGGAUUCUUCUUUGGGCCUCAUCAUCUGAUCAUGGCAGCCCUUCUAUACUUUGAGGAGAAGGUUCACAAGAAGAAGCUUCAAAGAGCAGAUUGCAUUCCACUCCUCUUCCCAAGGCUGCUAUGCCAAGUUUUGGAGCAUCUCGGAUACCCCUCUGAGCCUCAGCAGGAAAGAAAGAGAAUAUGCCGUGAGCCUUUUACCCUUGAUAAAUGGAAUAAUAUGACGGCCUACAAAAUUGAUCAGCCUGGGCAGCCUCAGCCAGCAGCAAGGAGAGUCUCCCCAAGACAUAUACCUGAAGGUAUAACACUUGCUACUCCUGCCAUCCCUCGAGCUCCACCAGCUGCACCUGCUCCAUCACAGCCAUCCACAUCAGCUGAGCCGAGGAUGGCCAUCCCUAUAUCCGAAUAUCGAGAGCUGUGCCGUGCAUUGGAGACUCUUACAGCUUCUCAGAGCAAUCUUGCUCAGGAGUUGGCAGCCAUUAAAGCAUGCCAGGAGCAGAUGUUAGCCUCUCAGACUCAACAAGCUGCCAUCCUAAGGCAGCUUCAAGUCCAUUUCGAUCUGCCACAAGCUGUAGAGCCCUCUAUUCCUACUCCACCAGAGCCACACUCUCAGCCUUCAGAGUCUCAUCCUCCAGAACCCGAAGCACCAGCUGAUCCACCUACUGAGGAGGCAGAUCCUUCUGCCUAGCACCAUCACCCCCCUCAUCAGACAUUAUAUAUAUAUUUGCUGUUUAUGUUUUUAUGCAUGUUUGUUUUGUUUUAGUUGAAAAGAAAUCCCAGUAUUUUGGUACUAUAUAUGGGAUUCCUUGUGUUACUUGUCUUUAGUAUUGUAAUCACAUGAACUCAAAGUAAUACAAGUUGACUAUUUCUUGUUAAAAGUUAGCAUUAAAGUUUCCUUAUUUCCUUUUCUCACAUAUUCUAUUCUUUUUGAAACAUGUGGUUUUCCCCAAUCAAUAUUCGAAUUUGAUAUCAGCAUGGAGGUACCACUUCCUCCCUUUUAUUACAGUCACUCAAAUCACAUUGAGGACAAUGCUCAGUUCGGUUGGGGGGUAUGAGGAAGGAAGUAUUCUAAACCUUUUUGGUAUUGCAAUUAUAUUGGUUAAUUAGUUGUAGAUUUUACUUUUUACUAGUGUUACUCUAUUCUCCAUGAAUUUUGAGGAAAAAUUUUCAAAUUAAACCAAGAGAAAUUGAACUGUUGUUUUUCACUUGACUUAGAGUAUGGAUUAUGCUUACUAAAGUGGUUCAAUUGUUGAAACUUCUACUGAAAUUGAAUUGAGUUCUUCCACUUUAAGCUAUCCACACACUGUGCACAUUAGUUUCCGAUUAUAAGAUGAAAAGCUAUUUCCCUCUUGACUUAGUAUAUUUUUGGGACUUGGUAUAUUUGACCUCAUUUGAUAAAAAUUGAAACACCCUGCAAAAGGCCAAUGAGCCUUUGAAAUAAAGAAAGUUGUUUGCUUGCCUUGAAACCCGAGCAAGGUCUGAGGGGUAUAUGGUGAAAAUCUUUAAAGCCUGGUGCCCUAAGCCUUAAUUGGUUGGGAGUCACCGACCUCAAUGCUCGUUACAAGGGUGAAUAGGUAGAGUUAGCAUAUGGUAGAUGCUUGGGUAUUAGAAAUUCAUUCUUAAAAGUCCGGGGAAAAAUCCGAGGAGUUAGUGGUUGAAAGAUCCUUAAAACUUGGUGCCCUAAACCUUAAUUGGUUGGGAGUCAUCGAUGGACCCCCAUUACAUGGACAAGUCAGAAAGAGUACCCCAUAAAGCUACCUUAAAAAAAAAAAAAAAAAAAAAAAAAAAAAAAAAGAUGAAAGUGUGUUCUUUUCUUAUUGAUUUUGGUCAGUUUGCUAAAGUGUUGAAAAGAGAUAGGUUGGGGGGUGAGAUUAGUAGCAUAUUAUUCUCGGAACCUAAGGAACCAAUACACAUAGAUUUUUGUGGAAGAUUGAAGUUUAGUUCUUAGAAAAUGAAAUGAUUUUAAAACUUCAGUUUGCAUAAUGCACUCCCUUGAUUGACAGUGUUUAGCAUAGGUGUUAUGACUCUUGUUGAGAUUUGGGUUUGUAUUUCUUUAAUGAUUCAUGUGAGAAAUAGAUCAUCAUGCCACUUGAGAAUUAUUUUCCUUUUAGCAUGAUGUUGUAAAUUUUAGAUUAGUUUGCUAUUUAUUUUUUAUUUUCUCUCCUAUAUUGCUAAGGGACUAGCAAUAUGUCGGUUGGGGGGAGUGAUUACUACUCAAAAAGUGCUAUUUGAUAGCCUUUAAUUAAUCCUUUUUAACACUUUUGAGUAGUAGUUUAGGCCUUUUAACUCAAUUGGCAUGUUAAGGAUCCUUUAAAGCAAUUUUGAUCACUUUGUGCAAGUUUUGGUGUUUUUGUUAGUAUUUUGAUCACCAAAGCAAGUCAAGAAUGAGGAGAACUAUGAGGAAUCAUGGGCAAAGCUUAGAAUUCAAUUGCCAAGAGUGAAUCCGGAUUGCAAGGAGAAAAAGCAAAGAGAAUCUGUCAUGAAGCCUAUUCUUGAUGACAGUCGUAGCAGCCACUUUUGGAGCACUUUCUGAAGUCCAAAUGAUGCAAGCUAUAUACCAUUUCAAAGCUCAGGAAGUCAACAAUCCAAUGCUUCAAACGGUGCGCGAUUCGGAGUUGAAACGAAGAAGUUGCAGCCAUUACAAGCCAGUCACUCUAAAGUGUUGCGGAAUCAGCCUUUUGUUGCGAGAAUUUCGCAGCACUUUUGUACAGUAAGGUGUUUCUCCUUCUGACGAUGCACGAACCAUGCCGCGAGAGGGAAGCUAGGAACUUCAAGAUGGAAGCCAACUUUGCAGCCUGGUGAAGAUAGCUUGGUCUUGCGAAAUAAUUUCGCAGCCCUCUUGGGUGUCUGCGAAAUUUCGCAGGCACCACUUUUUUCCUGCGAAAUGGCUCCGGAAGCCUCCCGAAGCUUGCUACCGACAUUGGGAGAUAUUUUCCAUUAGAUUUUUGUUGUCUAAAUUCCAAAAUACUCCUUGUAAACCACCAAUUACAUGAUUCCUUAGUUUUUAAGUUAGUAAAAAGACCAAAUAUCUAUGUAAUAAUUAGUUUUAUAUUAGUUUGCUAUAAAUACCUCUCGGGAGCAUGUUCUCAGAGAGGAGUUCCUUCUGUAACCAUUUUGGUAAGCAAGUAAAGUCUUUUCUUUCUACUGCCUUACCUUCUCACUUUGUAUUUUCAUUUUAUUUCUAAGUUAUGAAUUCUCUGAGGAGCUUUCCCCAGAGAAUGAGUAACUAAACCUCCAAUUCCUUGGAGCUAAGGUUGCCGGGGAAGGUUCCAAGUGCAAGAAUGCAAAGCUCUGUGGUUUUAGCUAGUAAUGAAGAGGAAGUGAAAUCCUUUAGUGAUUUCAAUGUUUUUAGUUAACUUAAAACACCUUGGAGUCACCUGGGCCAACACUUGGUAAGGCAAGUGAUUUCCAACCGUGGAAAUGCACUAGUUUACCCCUUGCGAGCCUCUGGUAGGUGACUUCAAGGUAGGAUUUUCUGGAAUUACCAACACUUGGUAAGCUUUUGGACUCCUAGGAGACAUCCAUUAGUUAUCUCUUGCGAGUUUGUGAAGGGGAAUCCAAGGUUAAAGAUCACCUUGAAUGGUAAGUGCUCGUGAGAGGCAUGAACCAUUGCAAGUUGUAUCAGUGAGAGAAUUAAAGUGAAAUCUAAUUGAAGGAGUCUCUGUACAUCACCGGUUAGAGAAUUGACUAUAAGUUGAAUCUCUAAUGCGAGGAAAUGAACCAUCUGACCGGAGCUAUGUCUUUUGCAUGAGGAACCACCCCAGUGAACCUAAAUCUCCAAGGAAUGCUUUUCUUCCUAAAUUAUUCCAAACUUCUGUUAAGUUAGUUAGUUUAAGUCUAAACCUUUACCAAUCAAACUUUGUGUUUUAUUCCUUAAGCUAACCGUGAAAUGAAACAAAACCAAUUCACUUGGAAUUGGUAUCCUUGAUUGCUUGCAAAUCAUUCCCAGUGAACGAUCCUUAGAGCCACUAUACUAUAGUAGCUUUGUAUUUGCUACCCUAGUGUAUGGUGUUAUAGGUAUAAAUUUUGUUGAUCACUUCCUCAAUCAAGGAACACCAGCUGAACACAAAUCAGCUGAGACACCAAUUGGGCAUGAGUCAGUGCGUUAGAGGAUCAAGAAGAAGAAAAAGAAGGAACUGUUGGAAUUAGUAUGAGUGUGAAGAGAAAAGUAUAUAAAUAAGGGGAAGUAAAAGCAAAGUUCAAAAAGCUAUAUUUUUUUAUUGUUGGUGUAUGGUUGCAUGAUUAUCCCUAUAAAUAAUAGGAGUUUUUUGGUAUUCUACUAGUAGUUGAAGCAUAAUUUCAUAAAUUAAUAUUUAGAGCGGGGUGGGGUGAGUUGUGACAAAAUUCAUACCCGUCCCAAACCUUGGUUCAGAUUUUUAAAAUAUUCUCAAACUUAUCAUAUACCCAACUUUUAUAUUUCAUACUUGUCCUAAUAGAGGCACGUUAGGCCGGGUUACUUGAGUAACCUACAUAAUUGUCAUCCCUAGUUGAAAUACACUUUUUGGCAGUGGCCACCAACUGAGCUAGAAGCUUGAUUGAUUGACCUACAAGAUUAGUUCUCAUCAUUUUAAAAAAAGUUCUGGCUUUGGUUGUGAGUGCAAUUGAAUCUAAACUGGCAUUUGCUUAAUGCAUCUACUUCAAUCCUAAACUUCUUACUUCUUAAGCCUCAAUUGUUGUUAGGAUUUUGGAAAACCCAUUUCCUUAAAUUGUAAAUUUAAGAUAAAAUAAAAUAAAAGUGAGACAUUUCUUGAUUGAAUAUUGUUAAAGGUCCCUUGGCAUUAAGACUUGGUUGAAGCCUUGGAAGAUUAGUGGAACUCUCAACAUGUGUUUGAAUCUUGAGGAGAGUGGAUGUAAGCCAAAAUUUUGUCAAACCAUUAUACAAAUUGAGUUUGAAUCCUCAUUUCUUGAUUUCUUAUUUAUUUGCUUUUUCUUAUUAUUACUUGAAUUGUCAUUUGCAUUCAUUAAUGUUAAAAUUGGUUAUAAUUAACCAACACUAAUUCUCUUUCCCCUUCCCUUUCUUGGGUGUAAACCUAGGUUGGAUUAACUAGAUAAAUCUAUUAAGAUGGUAAAAGAAUAAUUAUUCUUAACAUACAUAAGAUCAUCUUCAAUCAAAUGACUCAUUGGCUAAUAUGUUGAAUUUGCUUAUUACUUGCAACUCAAAAUUGUGUUCUAGUUGUGUCAAGUCCCCAGUGUAUGGACAUUAAAUUUGUAGUACGUGAUGAGUAAUUAGAUGGUCCAACUCCAAGAAAGUGAUUGAAAAGUAGUUCAAGAAAGGUGCAAAAGGGAAUUGUUUUGGUAUUUUCGUUUUUAUUCUUGAAGGUGGCAGAGCUAAAAUUUGAGAAAUCAAGCAAAACAUACUGAAAUUACAUUGAAAGAAAGAAGAUGGGAGUUAAUGUCUUGCAGUACAUGAUAAGGACUUCAUGCAUGUAGUGUGACCCAUGUCUUGGACUGAUGCCAACUCACGGUUACACUUAUACCCUUGGUUCUCUCUUUACUACCUUGGCUAACCUAGAUCAGGCUAUGAGAUAGGCUCCUCACCACACCAUUACUUGCCCAUUAAUUAGAGACAUUUUCAAGCAAUGAGGUAACAUGGUGACACCAAGAGGGUCUAUUCCUCGCCCGGAACAAGUCUAGACUUGGUCUCAAAAAAAUGGAGAAAAAUGAGGUGUCGUUAUGUAGAAAUACAACAACCAUGCCUUCCUCAUUACUUAGAUUCAGAAUGUGAAGGUGAAAUUGAGAAACAGAAACUCUUGAAACCAAAAUGAAAAUUGAUACUUUUACGAAGAAUUACAACAACAUUAGAGGAAGACUACAUUCUUCCUCUUUAUUCCUACAUUUCUACACUACUUCUACUCCACUCCAUAUUUCUACAUACAUCUUUAAUCAGUCUUCCCUCCUUUAUAUAGAGCCAUCUUCACACAAAUUUCGCAAGGUAGAAAAGAGGAAUGAAACUUGGAGCAAGGUUCGACUACUGGUUGUAGCUUGUCAAGGCUGGAAGUGAACUUUUCUUGGCUUUCUGGGCAUGGGUAGUAACUUGUGGGUUCCUGUUUGGCAUAAAAAUGGCUAGAACAUGUGGCACUAUCUUGUUGGAUGAUGUGUCAAGCAUGUGGCAGCCAUCUAGUGGCGAUUAUGUCAAUUUUGGGAUGGAGAGUUGGCAUCCAAUUGCAAAGAAAUAUGACGUCUACCAACAUGCAAUGUAAACCUAUGUAGAUCAUAUGAAGAUAGAGAGGAAAAAUAUAGAAAUGGAUAUAUACCUAGAACUAGCUUUUUAUUAAAUGAAACGGAGAGACAACAAUGAAGGAAAAUAAAAUUUUUUGGCUUAUAUCAAAGAGUUCACAUUGUGUUACCCUAGGUUUUCUUAAAACUUACUUUUAUGAUAACAAAAAAGAAAAAACCAUUAUUGUUUAAUCCUUUGUUUUAAACGCAUGUAAGGUGUAAUUAAGUUAGUUCAAUGCAUUAAUUUAAGAAACUUGACCUAUCAAAAGUACAAAAUUAGAUGAAAUCCAUUUCAAUGGUUAAAAUGAUCAAAAUCAAACUUUUUCUAAGUAUUUUUUAAAAGCAUCAAUAGUGAAAGACAAUUUUAUAUUUAGUCGGAGUUUGGACAAAACUGAAAAACACACAAAAUCCAAGCGACCAUCUCUAGCUUGGAUGGUCGCUUGAUCCCACCUAGAGAUGUGCAUGAGUAAAAGGAUUUGAAAAUGGAAAUUGACUAUGUAGUCGAUCAAUUAACUUUGCAACAUCAUAUGCAAUCCUAAUUGCUAGUCAUCUAAUCAAUUAGGUAGUCAAUCAACAGGCCAAAAAUAUGUUUAUAAUGACUAUUUUGUACAAAAACCACCUGUAUAGUUAAAUAUAAUGCAUUUCAUUUAUAAAUCUUCUAAUUCUUGAAUAACGAUCCUAUCAUCCUUUGAAAGUUUUUAUUACACUUUUUUUACUUUUGUUCUAAAACUUACACAUCACCCUUAAUUGUACCAUGAGAACCUAGCUAUUUUUUAUUUUUUUUUUUGUAAUUCAUCAAAGUUAGCUUUUGUAUUCAUUGUUGUAUUAUUUUUAGUAUAACUUAGAAAGCUAGUGUUUUCAAGUGAGUAAAAUUAACUUGUAAAUAUUGUAAAGAUUCAUCGACAUGUAUCUUAAACUAAGUGUACAAGUUAAAACAUUUGCUAGUAGAUUUUCUCAAAAUUUAGAAUAGAGCUUGAGACUAUUGAAAUAGGUGGGGUUGCACCAAACCACAUCACAUCGUUGUUUGCACCUUUUUUCACUCUCUUUUACUUAGUUGCUCUAUAUUUGUUGUCUAGUAAUAUCCUAUAGGCUUGAUGGGUUAGGGAGCAUCCCUUUGUGAAAAAAUUUUAUUCAAUCCUUAGUUGUAUCACGCAUAUAUAAAAUGCCUCAUUGUUUUAAUGGUAUUCAGUCGUGGCAUCACAGAUAUGGGCAUCUAAAUUUUAAAAGUUUGAAACUUUUAUCUAAAGAAAAUAUGGUGCUUUGCCUUUUUGUAAAGCAUGUUGAUGAAAUCCAUGAGAAUUGUGUACUUGGGAAGCAACACCGAGAUGACUUUUUUUUUUUUUUUAUAAUAUUGUUUGUCCAAAUUCCCUACAAAUUAGGCCACCAGAUGUUCAUAAUUCUCCCUUCUUGAAUUUGAAAACUCGGACAAUUGGACAAUGCGACACCUAAGUCCGGUUUCUAAAUGCUAAAGUGAAAGGGUAGGUAUGGACCAUUGAAAUGUGAUCACAACUUUUCUCUGUAGCCAUGUUGUCUCUUUUUUCUUUUGCAUGAUUUUCUUACCUUAACAGAAUCAUAGACUUGUUUAGUCUCUAAAUGGGAUUAAUUUCAUCCAGCUUUAAGCUACUAUAUUAUAUCUAGGUGGAGGACUUUUAAGAGUGCAACCGACAUAGAGCACAUGGAAGUGGGUAUAUGGGACAUGAAAUUUCUUCUUAUAAAGAUUGCAUGAUUUUUAUAUUAGAGUUGUUGAGGCGCUAUGUAUUUAGCUUGUUUUGCAGUUAAAUUAAUUGGAUAAGUAGACAUUGGCGUUUCUAAAUCUACUGUGAAGUGCUUCAUGUACGUGUGAAGUAUUAGAAAUUUCUUUCUUGGCAACUUGUUUUUCUUUGCGGUCUACUGAUAGGUUUGACUAAAAUUAUAUUCCCUGUCAUGCUAAUUAAUUUUCACGUGCAUGCUCAAAAGAAAAGUAUGACCUUAGUGCACCAAAAUCACUUUGAUUAAUUUGUGAUAGGUUUUUGUGCAUCAUGACAUUAGCCUUAUUCAUUUAGAUAAUGUUUAGUUUUUAGAAAGUAUUAAGAAAAGGAAAAUAAAUAUUAAGAAAAAUAUUCUUAUAUUUGAUUGUAUUAUGAAAAAUAUCAUAAAAAAAUCAAAUAUAAUUUAAAUUAAUUAAUAAUUUAUACAUUUUCAAAUUAUUUAAUCUUUAUAUUGAAGAUAUAAUAUAAAUGAAAUGAGUUUUAAGUAUUAUAUAAAAGUGAUUUAUUGAUCUUACAUAUAUAUAUUUCUUUUUUUUUUCCUUCUAUUUUUUCUCUUUAUUUUAUUUUCCUUAUGUUUUCCUCAACAUUUUCCGGAACCAAACAUAGCCUUAGGAAAUCCACAAUUACCUUCAACUGAGUAGAUUCUGUUGUUUUAGCAAUGUUAGGCUGCUAACUUGUGUUGGUACGAACCUAUUAAGCCUAAAGAUGUAAUUAGUUAGGAUAUUCUUUUCCCUCUAGUCUUGUAGCUCCACGUGUACAGUUGGUUAGGACCUCAUUGUAUAUAAUGCUUGCCCUGUUAUUGUAGAAGACAACAAAGAUAAAUAAUAUUAACAUUUUUCCUCUCAUCUCUCUCUGUUUCCCUCUGUUUUCAUCUCCUCUCUCAUCUUGGUAUCAGAGCCUCCAUGGCUUCUUUCAAAGAAACCUCCGAAUCACCUUCUGCUAGCAUUGUUAAUGUGCAAAACCCAUUAUCUCAAUCAAACAACCUUCCUUCACCAGUAGCCACACCCUCUUUUUCUUUCUCGUCUAUGAAUCAACCUCUCACAGUGAAGCUGGAUAAUGGGAACUACCUCAUAUGGAAGAAUUAGCUUCUAAAUGUCAUCAUUGCUAACGGACUCGAUGAUUUCAUUGACGGAUCUCGACCCUGCCCUCCUCGAUUUCUCGAUCUGCAACAACAAACCCUCAAUCCAGAGUACUCAGCUUGGCAGAGAUACAAUCGACUUCUGAUGAGUUGGCUGUACGCAUCCUUGUCCAAAGAUAUAAUGGCUCAGAUUGUUGGGUAUUCAACAGCUAUGGAGAUUUGGAAUGCCCUUAAUCAGAUUUACUCUGCCUCUUCUAUGGCGCGGUUUACUGAGCUUCGCACCAAGCUUCAAACGCUCAAGAAAGAUGGACUCUCAGUUGGUGAAUAUAUUCAAAGGCUCAAAUCCAUUUGCAAUAGUCUUGCAGCAAUAGGAGAACCAGUUUCUGAGAAAGACCAUCUUAUCUAUUUGUUCAAUGGAUUAGAUUGUGAGUAUUAUUCUUUUGUUACCUCCAUUCAAAAUCGAUCUGACCAACCAACUAUUGACAAAAUCCAUAGCCUAUUGCUUAGCUAUGACUUCCGGCUUGAACAACAAAACUCUGUUUCUCUCCAUUCUGCCCAAGUCCAUAUGGCUCAUCUGAACAAGAAACCUUAUAAAUCAACUCCUCAACCUACAUUCAAUCAUAUUCACAUUCAACCUAGAUACUCUUCUCCACCUUUUAAGCCAACCACUAGUCAAUAUCAACCCAACAUUUUGGGCAAACCACAACCACAACCAUGACAGCCUCAACCUCAAUGGAAACCACAUUUUUCAAUCUAAAAUCAAAAGCCUCAGCGCCAAAUUUGUGGUAAAUUUGGACACACUGCUCUUAUUUGCUUCCAUCACACAAAUUUGAACUAUUCACCCCAACCUUCUCCUAAAUCUUUCAAUACUGUUCUCACCACAAAUUCCCAGCUCCCUAAUCCUCCAAAAUUUUCUUACCCUACAAUGGCUCAUCCUGCUGCUACGCAUAACACGGUUCCCGAUACAAAUUGGUACAUGGACUCAGGUGCUACACAUCACUUUACUCUGGACAUCAACGUGCUUGACACUGUGACACCAUUUAGUGGUUCAGAACAGGUGACAGUUGGGAAUGGUAAGCAACUCUGUAUCUCACAUCUUGGUACUGCAAAACUACCAUCUUCGUAUUCUCCUCCUGUUCUACAUCAGGUAUAUCACACUCCAAAAAUUUCAAAUAAUCUUAUUAGUGUUAAAAAAUUGUGUUCUGAUAAUAAAGUUUUUGUUGAAUUUUAUGCCACUCAUUUUCUUGUCAAGGAUCAGGUUUCGAAGAGAGUUCUCCUUUAGGGUCAACUUGAUAAUGGCUUAUACAAAGUUCAGUCGUCAUGCUCUCCUUCUGCUGUUUCCUUUCCUCCUCAAGUUUUCAUAGCCAACAUCAAGUAUCCAAAUCUGUGGCACAAGAGACUAGGCCACCCAGCUUUAUCUGUUGUUAAUCAAAUCUUGGAUUCUUGUAACAUUGCUCGAACACAGAAAAUUUGUUUUAAUUUUUUAAAUUCUUGUCAAUUAGCAAAGAGCCACAGGCUUCCUUUUUCUCUGUCUCCAUCCAUUGCAGAAAAACCUUUUGAGUUAAUUCAUACAGACCUAUGGGGUCUUUCGCUCGUUCGCUCUAUUUCUGGUGCUCUUUAUUUUUUACUUUUCAUUGAUGAUCAUACUCGUUUUACUUGGUUUUAUUUGCUCAAAACAAAAGAUGAAGCAUAUCCUACUUUUCUCAAGUUUCAAGCUCUCAUUGAAAAUCAAUUUAAUACCAAGAUUAAGGCUGUCCAAUCUGAUUGGGGAGGUGAGUUUCGAUCUCUCUCCAUACCGUUUUCAAAUAUGGGCAUUGUCUAUUGUUUAUCGUGUCCAUACACCUCACAACAGAAUGGGCGAGUUGAGCGAAAAAAUCGCCAUGCGAUUGUCCUUUCUUGCUUGCUCUAUGCCCUUAUCUUAUUGGCCUUAUGCCUUUCAAACUGCCACUUACCUUAUUAAUCGUCUCUCUACCCCUGUGCUGCAUCAUCAAUCCUCUUACUUCGCACUCUAUCACAAACUCCCAACUUAUACUCAUCUUAAGGUCUUUGGUUCCUCUUGUUUUCCGUAUUUGCACCCUUAUAAUACCCAUAAACUCCAAUACAGGUCACUAGAGUGUGCUUUUCUUGGUUACAGUUCACACCACAAAGGUUAUCUAUGUCUUGACAUUCAUUCUAGCAGGGUGUAUAUUUCUCGCCAUGUGAUUUUUAAUGAAGAUUCUUUUCCAUUCAAGAAUUUGAAAUCUUCUCUCUCUCAGUCUAUUUCUUCUUCCUCUUCUUUAUAAGUUCCUCUGUUCAUUCUCUUGCCUCCCCUUUCCCCAUCUCCUCUUAUUUCUUCAUCUAUACCUCAUUCUUUUCCCUCUUCUUCUUCUACCUCUAGUACUUGUUCCCCUCUCGUUGCUCCUACCUCUCUUCCUUCCUCUUCACACUCUGUGUCUCCAUCUAUUCCACCUCCUUCUCCACCUUCUCCGAGUGUGGACCUGCUUGCACCUUGUGUGAAUACAAAUUUACAUACUUCUUCUCGCACUCACAAUAUUCAUCCUAUGGUGACUAGAUCUAAGGUUUGUAUCUAUAAACCUAAGUUGUUGUUGAGUGUCUCCAUAGGUUCUCUCACUAAGCCUACUUCCUUUCUUCAAGCUAUUAAAGAUCCUUCAUGGAAGCAAUCCAUGGAAUUCGAGUUUGCUACCCUUCAACACAACAAGACCUGGCAUUUGGUUCCUUCACCUUCCUCAGGCGAAGUAAUCGGUUGUAAAUGGGUCUAUAAGCUAAAGCUUCAGCCUGAUGGCUAAAUUGAGAGAUACAGCCUGCUUAGUAGCUAAGGGUAUCAUCAAAUUGAAGUAUGGACUACUUCGAAACAUUCAGCCUGAUNNNNNNNNNNNNNNNNNNNNNNNNNNNNNNNNNNNNNNNNNNNNNNNNNNNNNNNNNNNNNNNNNNNNNNNNNNNNNNNNNNNNNNNNNNNNNNNNNNNNAGCUUCAGCCUGAUGGCUAAAUUGAGAGAUACAAGGCCUGCUUAGUAGCUAAGGGUUAUCAUCAAAUUGAAGGUAUUGACUACUUCGAAACAUUCAGCCUGAUUGUCAAGCUUUCUACUAUCUGUAUUGUGCUCAGUCUUACUUUUUCCCAGAAUUGGUGUAUUAGACAGCUGGAUGUUCAUAAUGCCUUCUUACAUGGUGACUUAGCUAAAGACGUUUUCAUGGAACAACUGCCUGGAUUUGUUGAUCCUCUCUAUCCUACUCAUGUCUGCAAGUUGGAUAAGUCUCUCUACUGUCUUAAAUAGUCACCUCGGGCUUGGUAUACUAAGCUGAGUACUUCUCGCUACACUUGGGAUUUGUUACUUCUAAGAAUGACUCUUCCUUAUUUAUUUGUCAUUCGUCUCAUGGGUUACUUCUUGUUCUUGUCUAUGUGGAUGAUAUAAUCGUCAUUGGGAGCCACUCUCCUCAGGUUACUCACCUUAUCCAACAGUUGCAUCAUUAGCUUUCUUUAAAGGAUCUUGGUCCUUUACAUUAUUUUCUGGGCUUGGAGGUUCAUCACACCCCUACUGGUAUUCACCUCAGCCAAGCAAAGUAUAUCACUGAUCUCCUUACCCGGGCGGCUAUGUUGGAUGCCAAGCCAUGUCCCACUCCUAUGUCCUCCAACACAUAUCUCUCUUUUCAUGAUGGAGUGGCUCUUGAAAAUGGUUCAGAUUAUCGAAGUUUUGUUGGUGCCCUUUAGUAUUGUACCAUGACACGCCCAGAUAUAGCUUUUGCAAUAAAUAAAGUGUGUCAAUUCAUGCACCAUCCCUCUAAUGUUCACUGGCAGGCUAUAAAACGUAUUCUCCGGUACUUAAAGGGCACAUCUCAUUUUGGUCUCUUCCUACAGCCUUCCUAUGACUUCAACAUCACUUGCUAUACAAAUGCCGACUGGGCUUCCUGUCCUGAUGACAAGUGUAGCACCAGUGGCUACUGCCUCUUUCUUGCCUCUAAUCUGGUUUCUUGGUCAUCUUCCAAACAAAAAGUGGUCUCCCGCUCCAGCGCCGAAUCAGAGUACCGAGGGGUAGCAAAUGGGGCUGCUGAAAUUGCUUGGACUGAAUCUCUUCUUUGUGAACUUUCCAUUACUCCCCCUCCCCUCAUUCUCUGUGACAAUAUCAGUGCCACGUACUUAGCUGCCAAUCCUAUUUUGCAUGCCCGCACCAAACAUGUGGAAAUCGACUAUCACUUUGUCACGGAACGUGUUCUUCAAUGCUCUCUUUUUGUCCAGUUUACACCUUCUGAUGAUCAACUUGCUGAUUGCAUGACCAAGCCUCUCUCCACCCAACGUUUCAUCACUCUACGCUCCAAGCUCACUGUUCUCACUAGACCAAUGAGCUUGAGGGGGGAUGUUAAGCCUAAAGAUGUAAUUAGUUAGGAUAUUCUUUUCCCUCUAGUCUUGUAGCUCCACGUGUACAGUUGGUUAGGACCUCAUUGUAUAUAAUGCCUGCCCUGUUAUUGUAGAAGACAACAGAGAUAAAUAAUAUUAACAUUUUUCCUCUCAUCUCUCUCUCUGUUUCCCUCUGUUUUCAUCUCCUCUCUCAUCUGAACCAAAUGAUCCAUGUUAACCUUGGCUUGGUUUGAUUUGGCUCUAUCUUAGAGAGCUCAAGGAUCACGUCAACUCUGGUUUCUACUAUUCAGGUCCAUUCCCAUAUGAACUGGUUCAAAUUUGAGAAAAUGGUAACAGACCUUUAGUGAUGUUGGUUUGGAGCCAGUUGCCAAACCCGCCCUGAGCUUUACCACUAAUGUCAAGGGAGAAAGCCAUUUGAACAAAAACAAUAGCUUCAAGGGACUGAAUCGUGGAUGAAAUCUGAUCCACAUUUCUUCUCAUUUUGGAAACAAAUGAGAACUUAACUAAGAAGAUUCUACGGCCUCAUAGUGCUUUUCCUGAUCUAAGGUUGGUUCGUUUCCCAAACUGUGAGAUGCACGUGCCAGACUUCAGAACUCUCACGCUCAGGAGUGUAUCCACGUGGUGGACAUAAGAUGGUGGCUUAAGAUCUGGUGUCGGUGGCUUUACUUUACUAGGAGAGUAGUGUGUCUUCAUCUCAUUCACUGCCGGAGGGUGGCGUAAGCAGUGACGCUAAGGUGGGGCACAGUCAAUAUCAUUUGCAUUUGACCAUUAUAGUUUUCUCCCGGCUUUAAAGUAACCUUAUCGUGAUAAAGGAUUACUAGCACUAGUUCAGAUGAUAGUCAUGUUAAAUUCGGACCAUGUUUGUGUCACAUUAUCAGCAACCAUGUGUUUAUGGUUCAUGCUUUCUGCAACUAAAAUUGAUAUAUAACCAGGUGAACUUCAAUCUAAAUUCUGAAAGUACUCAUGUGAUAGAUGGUGCCCGUCUGCAGAGUCCAUCAAUUGAAAAAUGGAGUGAGUGUAUCUAUAAGAGGGAAGGCUUGGAAAAUGUUCAGUUUUCUGGGAAUUCAACAAGGAUCUAAAAUAGAUUGUUUUCUUUGCUGAUUUCAAUGGUUGAAAUUUGAGAAGAUUGUGUCCACAUAACACAACUAUUACUGGUCCUUCUGUUGCAAUUUAUCCUCUAAAGCUCUAGCAUGUCUUCCAAUUCCCACUUCCCUGUUACUCCAGGAAAGCUAUUUCUGUCAUUGUGAAGAAGAAAAGAGAAUGUACAUAUCGAUGCUUUUAAGUGACUGGAGCAUUUAUAUCAGGUGGUCUGCAGCCAUAUAUGCCACUUUGUGAAGAUUGGAACAGUCAAUCACUAGGCUAUAUAUUAGUGUGGCCCAGCCACUUUAAUCAAGGACAAGUCUUCAUACUUAAAGUCAAAUUCUGCCUUUAGUCUCAUUAUAAAUUUCUGUUUAAAUAUUAAGCAAACAUUUGUUUAAUGCGAUUAAGACAGUACUAACUCAAUACCUGUUCUAUUUUUGGAUGCAAAUGCUUGAUGGUUUCAUCAUUGGAUGGGAUAAAGGUGCAUUCAUGAUUAGGAAUACUAGUAGUUAUAUUUUAAUUCUCUUUUUUCUCAAUGAGACUUGUUGGCACAAUUUUGCUGUUGAGAAACCUACCUCUCCAUGGAAAAUAAGUUGUGAUUGAUAGUACUGGAUAUAUUCAAGAAAUCUAAAUAUAGAUAGCACAAAAUAUUAUCGACAUAAAUAGCAUUAACAGCGUACGUAUGUCUCAGUGCUCAUCAGCUAUAAGCAUGGGGCAAACACUUACUAUGAGCAACUUACGUCAAAAUUCCAGAAUAGGACAUAGAAGUGACAGAUAUAGAACAUUGCAUAUGAGUCACAAGAAAGGAAAUUACGGGUGCAUAGCAGCUCUUAUUUUACAUACUACUACUCAUACUGAUCAAAGUCACUCAGUUGGGAUGGGUGGGAGUAGGAGGUUUGUGGGGUGGCUUGUGCGGAGGAGUUGGCAGCUUCUUUCCAGGACCUGGUUGCUUCUCUGCUGGAGUUGAAGGAGGCUUAAUCUUCCGAGGUGGCUUGUAUGAGUCUUCAGCAUUCUCAGCUGGAGGGUGACCAGGGUUGUGACCAUAAUGUGGUGGCUUCUCUCCCUUAGGUGGUUUGCCAACUGGGGUUGGUGGCUUGUAUGAGUCUUCAGCAUUCUCAGCAGGAGGGUGACCAGGGUUGUGACCAUAAUGUGGUGGCUUCUCUCCCUUAGGUGGUUUGCCAACUGGGGUUGGUGGCUUGUGUUCUGGGAGUGGCUUCUCCCCCUUGGGAGGUUUUUCCAAUGGGGUUGGUUUGUGUUCAGGAGGUGGCUUCUCCACUGGAGGCUUGUGUUCAG
Molecule: long non-coding RNA, 176464 nt
Filed under: Vitis vinifera (wine grape)
Lineage: Eukaryota; Viridiplantae; Streptophyta; Magnoliopsida; Vitales; Vitaceae
Description: long non-coding RNA (VVIN_LNC001392)
Source: RNAcentral